Molecule: long non-coding RNA, 94394 nt
Filed under: Gossypium barbadense (sea-island cotton)
Lineage: Eukaryota; Viridiplantae; Streptophyta; Magnoliopsida; Malvales; Malvaceae
Description: long non-coding RNA (GBAR_LNC011777)
Source: RNAcentral
ACUCACUCCGAUCUCCCAGCGUCUCACUCCACUCUCCUCUCCCACCACCUCAACCAGAUGAAACAAAUGGGUCAAAUUGUUAUGUUAAACAACAAUUACUCGAAACCCGACCCCAAUGCCCCACCCAAGCGUGGACGUGGACGUCCACCUAAGCCCAAGGUUCCUCUUCCACCUGGCGUCGUCGUCUCUUCUCCCAGACCUCGUGGUCGUCCGCCUAAGCCGAAGGACUUAUUGGCUCCCCCCAAGCCCAAACCCGUCAGCACCGGAAGGCCACGUGGACGCCCCCCUAAGAAGGCUAAGACUGGUACCGCCACCGCUCCUCCACCUCCUCCCGGUGUGAAGCGAGGCCGCGGUCGACCUCCGAAAGUGUUACCGUCGGUGGGUUUUCAGUAAAGUAGGCAAGUUAAUAAAUCAAAGAGAAUGGAGAAAAUGACUCAUUCCGUCACUACUCCUACCCCUGCCGCGUUAGGUGUAAUAAUUUUUUAACCUUAAUUUUUUAGGUGUCGUUUAGUUAUCUGCUAAUUGACGUUUUAGCUUUUUCGUUUUUUUCUUUUAGUUAACUUUGGGUGGAGUACUGUAAUGAAUUUAGUGUAGGGUUUAGAUUUUACUUGAGUUAAGACUCUUUGUAAUUUCCAUGUAAUUGUUAAGGAUUUUUUUUAAUGAAUUACAGUAUGAUAUUUUAAUGGUGUGACUUACAUGCGACCCGCAAACCCUUAAUUUUGUAAACCUAUUACUGUUUCAACCGGUGAUGGCUCUAAACUUUAAUUUGUUGUGGGAAUUAUGGCAGGUUUGAUGUGACUUUGUCUUUUUUUCUUCCCCCGCUUUUUUUUUUCAAUUCUUAGUUUUUUGCCAUAAUUGGUUGGUUUCAUUUUUUAUAUCUAAUUGUUAAUUAUUUUCCUGGUAAAUGUUUUGAAUUAUAUUUUAUUUUUUAUUUUAAUUGAAGAUAAAUUAAAAGUAAUUUAUUUUAUUAUAUAAAAGAAUUUAUUACCACCUCUCUAGCAUUAUUCUCAAUCAUUAGACAUUAUGUAGGAACUAUGUAUGACCUUCCAAUACUCAGAUUAGUACUCUAUCUAAAAAAAGAAAUUGUUAGAAUAAUAUCAUCCGGAAAAAAAAAUGUCAAAUAAUUGUUAUAAUAAGAAAAAAUUUAUCACCUAUUCACAGUAGAAAUACAUAUGAUUGAUUACUAAUUGAUGCCAAGAAUGGCAUCCAGUAAGGCGCCCAAGACUGCAGUAAUAUGAUGCAUCUGCCUAUGUCCACGGCAGAAGGAUUUAUCGUCGGAAAAAGUUUGCGAUACAACAUAGCUAACACUAUGGAGCCCCAACUAUACAAAUGGAAGUUAUGCAAAUCAGAUAAUAAGAGCAAGUACAUCAAGUGGACCUUGUUAUUAUUUGCAUUUGACAUGAGUACACCUUCUAAAAUGUGUAUAAUGUAAGCUCGAAUGGUGUAACGACCCAAAAUCCGUAGGCAUCGGAAAAGUAUAUUAUCGGGCCUCCGUCUUAGUGAAACGGGUUCGUAAAUAAUUAUUAGGAAUAGUUAUAAGUAUAGUAGUGUGUUUAAUUAGGUUUUAAUUAAGUGAAAUUAGCUCAAUUUAGAGUAAUUAAUAAAAAUAACUAAAUUGAAUAAGGGGUAAAAAUUGAAUUAUAGAGUAAUAGAAAAUAAAAAGGACUAAAAUAAAAAUUAAGCCAUUUAUAUGAAAUGAGGCGGCAUAUAUGCAUUAAAAUCUAAGAUUUUUGUUUUAACUAUAUAUAUUAUAUUAUGUUAUGUUAAUUUAUAGUAUUAUUAAUUUAUAGCUUAAAUAAGUAAAUAAACCAAAACAUGCUAAUUAUAUGGUUAUAAUUAAAUAUAUGUGUAAAAUACAAGAAAAUAUACUUGUAAUAUAUUUGUAUAUAUUUUUUAAAUAAUAAGUAAAAUAUAUCUAUUGAUUAUUAUUAUUUAAUUGAUAUUAUAUGAGUGAAUAAAUUAAUAAGUUGACAAAUGUAGGAUAAUGAGAUGAUACAUGUGUAAUAAUAUGUAUAAUACAAUUGUAAUAAAAAAAGUAUUAUUUAUUAAGUAGAUACUUAUUAUUUAUUAUUAAUAAGUUAAAGAUAUUUAUUAGAUAAAUAAUUAAAAUUAUAAGAUUUUUGGUAUGAAAAACAAAUUAGAUAAUGACAUUUGUAAUAAUAUGAAUAUAUACAUUUGUAUUAUAAUUAUGUAUUUACUUAAAUUUUAGGUUAAAGAUAUUUACUAAUUAAAUAUUGAUAUUAUAAGAUUUUUAUUUGUUAAAUAAAUAAAAGAAAGACAAAUAAAUGGUAAUAAUAGUGUACAAAUGUACAAAGAUACAUGUAUACAAAUGUAUUAAUUAUAUUUUUAUUAAAUAGAUAUUUUAUAAUUAUUAAAUUAAUAAUAAUCUAUAUUAGUUAAAUGAUAAAAUAAUACAAAGAAAAUAAAAUAUAAAAGAAAAACAAAGAAACCAAGGAAACAGAACAGAAGUAUUUCGAAACAGGAGAAGAAAAAGAAAGAAAGAAAAGAAAAAGGAAAAACUAGGGUUUUAAGGUUUAAAGCUUUGAUUAGUAAGUCAAUUAAGCCAUUUUUACUUAAUUUUGAUGUUUUAGAAGCUUUAGAACAAAAUUUUGAAGAAAUUAAGUUGAGGUUUUGGAAGUGUCUAGGUUUUGAACAUAGUUCAUGUUGAAUAAAAUAAUGAAUUAGGGAUUUAAUUGAAUGAAUUUUAAGGUAGAAUUGAUUAAAGGAUUAAAUUGUAAACUAAGCUAUAAGUUUUGAGUUUUAGGGAUUAAAUUGAAAUAAAUUCGAAAUUAUGAAAAUAUGAUAAAAAUUAAAUAGUUAAAUGUGAGUUUGGCAAGAAAUUGAGUAGCAAAAAUGUAUGAAUUGAGAAAGAAAAAUAUAUAGGUUUAGUUAAGAUUAAAUUGGAAUUAAAGUAAAAGUUAGAUAAAAAUUUCAACAAUUAAAUUGUGUUGUGUUAAUGAUUGUGAAAUUAUUUUAAUUGUUUGUAGCUAAUAUCGAGCCUCAAUCAUCGGCCCAAAAAGGAAAAGAAAAGAUCGUCGAAGAUUAAAUCCGAAGAGAAUUCUGGUUUGUAUCACUAUAACUCAAGCUUUAUAAUUAAUAUGUGUUUAAUUUAAUACGUAUGUGUGGUAAGUAUUUUAAGGUAAGUAUUUAAUAAACUGAUAAAAUUUGUGAUUCGGUAUUAAAAUUGAGAUUGAUACUGAACUGAAUUAUGGGAUACUGAAUAUUGUUUUGAAUACCGAAUUGAACUGUGAAAUUACUAAUUAUUGUUAUGUAUACUGCAUCGAACCGUAAAAUUUCUGAAGAAGCGAAUUACUGUAUUACUGUGAAAAAUUGAUCGAAAUAAUAAAUUAUAAUUAAUAUUAAAUCGAAAUGGAAAGUUGUACUAAAAAAAUGAUUUAAAUACCCUAUUAACUAGUCGGACUAGUCGAAUAUAGUUGGCAUGCCAUAGGAUAUGGAAGAGUACGGGUUUUUGUCGGCUUACUGAUCAGGCACUUAUGUGCCGAAUACUGUUACUGUUACCGAUUCGACACUUUGUGUGUCGAAUACUGUUAUUGUUACUAUUACAGAUUCAGCACUUUGUGUGUUGAAUACUAUUACUAUUACUUUUAUCAUUUUUUAUUACUGUUUAGGUACUGUGUACCGUUAAGGCACAAUGUGCCGUACUGGUGUGUUGGUUGGAAUCCGUGUAUCCGCCGAAUCCGAGUUAAGUUAAUAGGGACAAAUGAAAUAAAUUUACUAAUAAAACUAAAUUUGAAUGAUAUGGCAUAUGUGAAAAGGUGAGAAUUGAAAUAAAGAAAUAAGAAUGGUAUAUAUGUAAUCAAAUGAUAACAUAAAAAAAAAUUAAUUGUUCAUUAAGUGAUGAUAAUUGUAAUGUAAAAGUAUGUGUGUGAUUUAAUGUAUUUAAUUAUAAUUUGAAUUAUAGUGAUACCACUGAGUGUAUGCAUACUUAGCGUAUGGUUGUUUCCGUGCGCAGGUUGUAGAAGUUAAGUAUUGAACCAGAAUCCAAAGCCAGACCCGACUUCAGUAAACUUUUGGUGAUGUAUAUUUUCUUUUGGUGAUGUGGCAUGUAUAUAGGAUGUGUAUAAAGGUUAUUAUGUUUUGAAUAUAAAUGGUUAAAAACAUUAGUAAUACAAGUCUAAGAAUUAUAAUGAAAGAAGUUUAUCCAUUUCAAUUUAAUUAGUAUAUAGAUAAAUUUAAUUUGAUAUUAAUUGAUUGAGUUUGAUUAGAAAGUAUUUAGAAUAGAAAAUGAGUAUGUGAAAUGAGUUGGUUGAAUUGAUUAUGUUUGAAAUGGAUACGGUUUUAAUUGCAGGGGGUUUUAUGUAAAAAUAAGCAGAAAUGCUGUCGAAAUUUAUAAAAAAAAAAUUCGGAGUACUUGAAUGAGUUCCGUUUCAUUUUUAAUAUAUGUUUUAGACUUCGAGAGUUCAUUAUAAGGACUUAGUUAUUAAAUUAUACCAUGAAUGUUAUUUUAUUUGUGAGUUAUUCGUAAGUUGUCUGAUAUGUACGGUAGUGCCUAGUAACUCAAUUCCGGCGACGGUUCGGGGUUAGGGGGUGUUACAAAUGGCAUACAUCAUCUCCUAUUCAGUGGCAGUACUCGGUAAAUGCUCAAAAUUGAACUUUAGCCAUGAAAACCCCAAACCUGUAAAUUUCCCCUCACUUAGCAAGAGUCCAAGUAAGUGCAUUCCCAUCGAUAGGGAGCCUGAGUUGUAGUGCAAUAUCCUGCAGAGUGAUUGUGCACUCCUCACACGACAAAUGAAAUGUGUGGGUCUCUAGGCGUCAUCGCUUCACCAAAGUGGAUAUUAAAUCGUAUCUCAAAUCAAAGGUCUGGAUCAAUGUUAUUGAUCCUCAUCUGGCAAAUAGCCUACACCAUUCACACGACCCCUCAAUGCGCGGUAGUAGCCCUGAACAUUAUUAAAUUAGUGAAAUAGUUAAUAUAACCUAAUUUAAUUCCGUAAAUGACGUAACAAAUAACAAUUUUAUUACCAUCUCAUUAAUAUUUUUUUUAUAUGUGACCAUCAUUAUUAAUCAAAGAACUCAUUGGUUGUAAAUCUGCAAUUAAAAAAAAAGAAUUCAAUUAGUUUGUUGCAAAAAAAAACACAGUACGACAGGUAAAUAAUUUGGAUUUGAGCAUUUUUAUCUCAAUAAUAGGAGAAACAAUAUUAAAAUACAAAAGUGAGAUCCUAACAAUUGGUUGACAAUAACAAAUUUCAAUAAUUAAUUUCUAGAGGCUAUAUUUUCAAUAAUUAUCAAAACACAUUAAUAUUAUACAUACAGUAAAUAAUAAGAUAAAUAUAGUACAAUAAUAAUAUAAUUACAAUAAAAAAUCUCAUAAAUUCCAAUAUUUUACCUAUAUAAAAAAAUUUAUGUUAGUUUACAAUAAUAAUAUAAUUAAAAUAAAUAUAAAAAGCAUACUAAUUAACAAAAAAUAAAAUAGAAACAUAAAUGUUUAGCUUCUUUCAAACAACCUAUAGAAUUAUAUAAAAAUAAAUUUAAUCAACAUUUCAAUAAAUCAAAAAAAAAUUCAAAUAAAUCAAAAACAAAUUAAAUUACAUUACAAAAAAAUCACAAUAAACAGUAAACUAAACCCAAACAAUUUGUAGCCUAAUAAUAAAUUACUAACAAAAUAACUUUAAAAAUAAUUUUAAAAAAUUUAGAUUCAUAAAAAAUCAAAAUAAACACUAAACUAAACACAAACAAUUUAUAACAUAAUCAUAAAUUACUAACAAAAUAACUUUAAAUAAUUUUAAAAAAAAUUACAUUCAUAAAAAAAUUACAAUAAAACACUAAAUUAAACACAAACAAUUUAUAAUAAUUACUAACUAAAAAACUUUACAAUAAAUAGAAAAUAACAUAAAAAAAACUAAUCCCUUCUAUUUAAAAAAAUUACUAAUCCCUUCAAAUUUUAAAAAAUAAUUACUAACAAACAUACCUUCUUUUUUCUUUCUUUCUUCUCCUUCCUUUCCUUUCCUUUUCGUUCUUUCUUUUUUUUCUCUGCCUACAGGAUUUUCUCUACAAUGGGGACCAUGGUUAUAAGGUCUCGUAUCUGCUCCUGCCUCUUUCUUUCCGUGCUUCAACGGGACUUAACACUAUAUUUGCAAUGCACUGUGCAGCUAACGGAGGGGACAUGUCGCUAGCACCAGUGUCACCUGUCAAGGAGGUGUGACUGGUGUCAACAGUGCAUGUGGCACUACCUCCUUUUUUUCUUGUGAUACCGCCUACUAAUAAGGUACCACUAAUAUAAAAUUAUUAUUAUUUUUUAAACAUUAAACAAAUAAUUUUCAGAAAAAAAAAAGUGGUGUGGCUUAUACAUCACCUGCCACUGCCUUUAAUAUAUCAUUUUGAUAUAUAAUUUGAUUGUUAGUAUACAAUUUUUUUAUAUAUAUUAUUACUGUAAAAAAGCCAAAAGGGAGUCCCACAAAAUUUUGCAGAGUUCACAAACGCUAUAAGCAAUGGCAACACAAAAUUUUCUCGAACAUUUCUCAUAAGUUAUAAAAAAUAUGAAUUUCAAUCAACUACAUUUUCUAUUCUUUAUUGAAAUUCAAUCAAUCUGCUUCAAUUUUUUUUCAAAACAAUGUCUUCAUGUUUUAAAUAGGGAGAGUGCAACUUGAAAAUAAAUUUUGAUUUAGGAGAGUUAAUUCGGUAAAAAUGACUAAAUCGCGUAAUGCAUAAAAGUUGAGUUCUAUUGUUUAAAGGUAUUAAAUAGCUAUGGUUUAUUAAUAUAGAAGUACUUAUUAUGUUAUUUAACCAUAAUUUAAGUUAGUGGACAUUUAUGUCCAUGAAUUAUAUGAUAUAUUAAGUUUAAUUAUAAGGUUAUAAUGGUAAUUUAUGUAUUAAGUUAAUAAUAAAAAAAACAAAAAUUAAAAUCAUGUUAUUCUAUCCAUGUUCUUGUCAAAAUUUGAGAAAUAAAUAAGGGUUUUUGAGCUUCCAUGGUUUCGACAACUUCAAUUUUGGAUUAAGGUACGAUUUUAGCUCGGUUUUUAAUGAUUUCUACAUUUUUGAGCUCGUUGCAGCUUAAUCUAGCUAGCCCGUACCUUCGUUUUUAAAACUUUUAUAGAUUUUGAGAUAUUCCAUCGUUGAAUACUUGACUAUUUUGAAGUUUCUUGUUAGAUUAUUAAUGGUUGUUACUAGUUAUAGAAGUUUUAUAAAGUGAUUUUUGACAAAAAUGAGAAUUAGGAAUUAAAUUGUGAAAGAUUGAAAAGUUGUGGUUGAAAAUGUGAAUAAAAUAAAAAUAUGGGCUAAUAUGAAUCCCAUUGAAAUUUGGCUACCUUGGGUUAGGGCUUAAUUGUGCAAUUUUGCAUUUUUAUGUGUUAAGGACUAAAUUGCAAAGUAGUAAAAAAUUUAGGAGUAAAAUUGUAAUUUAGCCAAAAUGAAUGUUUUAGGGUAAAUUGAAUUGAAUGAAAGUUUGAAUGAGUUAAUUUGAUAUCAUAUAGAUUAAGAUAAGCAAAUACCGGAAUUAGAUCAGGGUAAACGAAAGAUAGAUGAUUAGACGACGAUUGGACGAUGAUUAUACGAGCAAAUACGAGGUAAGUUCGUAUAAUUAGAAUUGUACUUUUCUAUACUUGUGAUUAUUGAAAAGAAUGUGUAUAAUUGAGAUAUUUAAAGUAUAAAUGUCUUAUUGUUAUAUUGUAUGUGUUACCGAACCCCGUUUAAACUAUUAGAAUUCAUUGGAUACGAGUGACAUGUUACUGGAAUUACUAUAAUGGUCGAGCUCCUGCAUUUGUUGCGGACUCACCAUAGCUCGUAAGAGCUUACUAUUUCAGCUCAUUGGAACUUACCGAUUCAGCUCGAAAGAGCUUACUGUUCAGCUCAAUAGAGCUUACCGUUUUUAGCCCGAUAGAGCUUACUGUUUAUCAGCUCAGUAAGAGCUUACCAACCAUGACUUUAAAAGAGCAUGUAUGAUGAUGAAUUUUCGGAUUACUGAAAUUAUUCACUCGAUUAUCCUUUGAAGUUCUAAUAGGUUCAACGGGCCUAAAUAAUGUUAUACAAACAUAUUACGGUUUAUAAUUGUUACUAAAGUUAUAUAUAUGAUGUAUGAGUUUGGAAGGAUAUGAAGUAUUAUUUUAGUAAAUAGUUUAUGUAUUAGUUAAAUAACUAACAUGUGAUGAUUAUGUGUGAUUAGGUGAUGGUUAAAUUGAAUUGUUGGCAUUUUAUUAUUGCUUUGAUUAUAUUUAAAUGAUAAGUUUAAUUCUAAAUUAUACGGGCUUACUAAGCUAUAAGCUUACUCUGUUUCAUUUUCUACGUUUUAUAGGGUUCGUUAGCUCGCUCGUUUCGGACAAGUCGGAGUUGCACAUCACACUAUCCAAUUUCUGAUUGGUAUUUUGAACUUACGAACUUAUGUAAAUAUGGCAUGUAUAGGCUAGUUUAAUAGUAAUAGUUAUGUUUUGGUAUUAUAGUUUGAGAAUGAAUUUGUAUAUAAGUUAAGCCAUAUGAUUUGGCUUAUUUUGGUAUCAUAUUUGAAUUACAUAUAUGUGCUUAAUGAUGGUAUAUUUUGGUAUGGUAAUAUUUGCAUGAAAUUAUGCAAAAGAAGUCUUGAUAUAUAGAUGUUAAAUGAAUGAGUUGUAUAUGUGGUUAUAUAGGUAUUUUGUUAUGUAAAUGGUAAGUUUGGAUAUAGCUUAUAAUGUGUAUUGAAUUCAUCAAUUUGGUUGCCAAUUGAGUUGCAUAAAUGUGGUCAAAUAUGAAUGUAAAUGCUUAUGUUUUAGGGUGGCAAGUUUGGCUUUUCAAAUGGCCUAUUUUUGUCCACACGGGCAUGGACGACGGCGUAUGUCUCAACCGUGUGCGACACACGGUUAUGUUACACGGCCGUGUGUCCCCUGGGGUAUGUUACGAAUUAAAGUCAGUACACCCUACAGUUUUGACACGGCCUAAACACACGGGCGUGUCUAUCGGUCGUGUGUGGCACACGGGCUGGCACACGGGUGUGUGGUUAGCCGUGUGACCCAAGUCAGUAGCCUCCCUAAUUUUCGCACGUCCUGGCACACGGGCUUGUCUUGUGGCUGUGUUGACAAGUCAGUAUGUAUGCCUUGUUCUGCCAUGACUUAGACACACGGGCGUGUUUAGUGUCGUGUGAGGCACACGGCCUGUUCACACGGGUGUGUGUCACUUGAAAAGUUGAAAAUUUCCUAAGCUUCUGAAAUUUUAUGUGUCCCAAAUGCAUGAUUAAGACUUUUUAUGAUUGAUUUAAGUACAUUUUGAAUGUGAAUAAAUGAUGGUUACUGAAAUGAGAUGAAAUUUGUUAAAUGAAUAUUUUGAAUUGAGUUACAGGUCAAGUAAUGCCUUUUAACCUAUUUCGGCGACGGUUACGGGUUAGAGGUGUUACAUCGUGUGAGGCAUAUGGCCUGUUCACAUGGGCAUGUAAAUUUUGUAACUUAAAAAAAUUGUUAAGUUUUAAAAUUUUUUGAAUGUGCUCGGUUUUGUCCCGACCCCUUCCUAAUGCAAGCUUAAGGUCUCGAUGACCUAGGAAAUGGACUUUAUGUUGAUAUUUUAUUAUGAUAUGAUGACGUAUGACUUUUAUAUUGUGAAAUGAAUUCGUAACGUUCCAAUUGCUUGGUAAUGCCUCUUAACCCUAGUCCGGCGACGGAUACAGGUUAGGGGUGUUACAUUUUAUUAGUAUCAGAGCUACGGUUUAGUCAAUUCUAGAACUAAAGUAGCACGUGAGAGUCUAGCUAUACAUGCCAUAUAUAUGAAUUGCGAUAGUGUGAUGAUUCCUGGCAGUUAAAAUUUGUUUUUCAUAUAGCAAAUAGAUCCCGAACGAGCGAUAGCUGAUGAUGUUGAAAGCAAUGCACCUGCUCCCGCUCAAGGAGCAGUGCUGGUUGAAUCUAGGCCGAUAUCUAGUAGUUGGGGAGGAGAGGCUAAGCAAGCCUUCUUCCAGAUAAUGAACGAGUGGUUUAUGGAAUUCGUUCGAACGAAUCCGGCUACUUAACAGCCUCCACCCCCACCUGUUCCUCAACAAGUCUCGAUUGUACCACAAGUAAUAUAUCCGAUUCGAUUGAGGAAGCCCCCUGUUGAUAAGAUUCGUAAACAUGGAGCUGAAGAGUUUCGGGCUACAGUUGAUGAUGAUGCUGAAAGAGCUGAGUUCUGGCUUGAGAACACUAUCUGAGUAUUCGAUGAAUUCUCCUGUACUCUAGAUGAAUGUAUUAAAUGUGUAGUAUCCUUACUUAGAGAUAAUACAUAUCAAUGGUGGAAAACAUUGACAUCGGUGGUGCCUAGGGAACGGGUUGCCUGGGUAUUCUUUCAGGCUGAGUUCCGGAAAAAGUAUAUAAGCCAGAGACUCCUCAAUCAGGAACAUAAAGAGUUUCUAAAAUUGAAACAAGGCCGAAUGAUAGUUACUGAGUAUGAAAGGGAAUUUGUACGUUUGAGCAAGUAUGUUCGGGAAUACGUGUCUACUGAAGAGAUCAUGUGUAAAAGAUUUGUUGAAGGAUUGAACGAAGAUCGAAAGCUAUUAGUCGGGAUACUUGAAUUGAAAAAAAUUGUAGUAUUGGUUGAGAGGGCUUGUAAAGCCGAGGAUCUCAGCAAAGAAAAGGGAAAAGUCGAUUUAGAGGCGAGAGAUUCGAGAAAGUGAUCAAUGAAUAAAUCUUAUCAUUCAUCGUCAAAGAAAUCUAGAGACUAUUUUAAUCGAUCGACAGCUUCAAAGGAAAACAAAAUAGAGAUCGGGGAAAGCAAUAUACCAACCCUAAAACUCAAACCACAUCAGUAUCGAGUGUUGGUAACGCAAAAGAUGUUAAGCCUGAGUGUCAACAAUUUGGAAGACAACAUUUUAGAGAUUGUUGGGGGAAAAGUAAUAAUAGAGCUUGUUACAGUUGUGGUUCACGAGAUCACUUUAUAAAAGAUUGCCUAGAGUUAGUUGAAAAAGAUAAUGCUCAGAGUACGAGGCUGAUUAACACUGCAGUUGAGGUAUACCUCUUAGAAACACGAGAAAUGUGAUUUUGGUGUGUUACUUAGGGUAGAAGUAAAGUUGUCAGGGUUGGCACUUGGAGCCUAGGAGUGUUUCGGAGGAAUGUUAGCCUACCGGCUAAGCAUUUGGUGCCCAGGUUUGUUCUCGAUUGGUUUAGCUCGUUUCAACAUUUUAAUGUGUUAUGGAUGGUUAAUCGCUUAUCCGUAUUCGUUUUAUCGUUCAUUGGGCAAAUUUCUAAGCAUAGAUGACUUGUUAUGGAACUAUAGAAUGUUUGUAUGAUUUUUUCGAUAUUAUUGUGACUUGAUAUCGAAUGGUAUCAUGGGAUUGAGUCGACUAUGAAACUCGUACAUAUAUAUAAACUCACCUAUUGAAUGAUUGUGGAUGACAGGAUUAUUGAUUAUUAGUAUUGCUAAUGUAUAAUUGAUCUGUUUAUAAGGUAAGUUUUAUCUUUUCGACUGUUGAAAAUUUUAAGCUCAAUUGAAGCUUACUCGUGUCAUUUUCUUGUUUCUUUGUAGAUAACAUUUGGUAAAAUCAGACGAUCAGAUCAAUAUGAGGAUCACAUUAUCUAGAUAUCUAUCGGUAGAUUUUGAAUGUUUACCUUUGGAUUAUAUAACAUGUAAUAGGUGUGUUUUGAUAUAUGUUUUGAAUGCUUAUUUCUAAUGGUAUAAGUAUGAGAUUGAUGUAAAAAUGUUUAAAUUUGGUUUUAGUUUGUUUUUGUGUGUGCCUAUGACAUGGCAUGAAUAUGUCUUUGUGAACUUAUAUUUGGCUAUUUGAUUCAAGUUUCAUAAUGAUAUGGUAUUGAAACAUGGCAAGUUUGAUGUAUGCUUUAGGUUUGGUGUAUGAACUUGAAUGCCAUUUAGUAUAUGAAAUAUGUAUUUGUUUUGGAUAUUGAAUUGUUGUGUCAACUAGGACACAUUGGUUAGGCAUUUAGGUUGGAUGAUUUUGACAUGUUUCGGGCUCAUUUAAUUGUGUUUCGAAUAGGUUUAAUUAAUGGCAAAUGAGUUGCUUGAUGUUGAAGUAAGCAUGUUUUUUUGACAUCCCAAAAAUUCAAGUAUUUUGUUUCUUAGAUUUUGUGAUAAGUUAAUAUCUACUUUAGUGGUGAAGGGUCUCAAAUUUGUGAUUGAGGUCUUGGGUUCAAAUCUUAGCAUAAGCAAAAAGGGUUUAGUUUUUGCUAUUUCCAGUUAAGGGUGUAAGGGGUGGAAUUAGAUUGAAAAUCAAAUACUAGGUAGUUAUCAGGUUGUGGGAUAGAGUUGUUGGGAUUAUCUUAAUUUCUUUUAUUUUUAUUUUUUUUAGUAAUCCUAAAAAUGAACUUCAUUUUUCCCACGUUCUUCUUCCUUUUUGGUUCUUCUUUUUUUUUCUUGUUCCUUCACUUAUCAUUUUUGUUUUCCUUCCUCUGCGAACAAAAUUCAAGAUUAAUUUUGGGAUUCUCCUUGUGGCCUUCCGUUUAAUCAGUUUCGCUUGGAGAUCUUUGUCAUUCAAAUUCAUUUUACUGUUGAUUUGAGGAGAUUUGCGAGCCAAUGAGUGUUCCUUUGGCGGAGUGAUUGCAAUGGGUUGUUUUUCUCGAGGGUACUAGGAUUCUCAUUCUUUGAAUUACUUCAAAAUCAAACUAGGCGUGUAAUGAGAAACUCGAAAAAUAGUGAACGAUGAAAGCCAAAAUUGGGCACUGUUGAUGGCACACGGCAGUGUGUGGUACAUGGUCAUGUGACAAAUAGUGUGUUGAGCCGUGUAUGAUGCACAGUCUAGGUUAUUUUGGGUUGUGUGGACCACACGGGCGUGUGUAGUCAUGUGACAAGCCGUGUGGGCCACACGAGUUAGGCUAUUUGGGUCAUGUGGGCCCAAAAUUAAGAAUUUUUACUUAUGGUCGUGCACAUUAUCCCGAUCAACUAUGGGCCUUCUAUGGGGUCGGUAUGUUAUUAAAUAUUCCAUGAAACAUGAAAUUUGGUUAUCUGAUUAUGAAUUUUGAUAUAUGUAAUUGUAUCUAAGUUGUCAUAUGAUAAUUCAAAUUGAGUGUAACAUUAAAUACGUACAUGAUUUGCAAAUGAAAUGUUAUGCAUGAUUUCUGUUUUGUCUAUAUUUAAUUCUAGGAUGGGGUAUAUUAUGUAGAGGAAGUGUUCUAUGAGCGGCAAUUUCUCACCCAUUAUAAUGGCAGCAUAGCUGCAAAUAUUCUAAAAGGUGUCAUAUCGACACUACGUAGUGUGUAGAGCUGGAUGGGUCUUUAAUACUCUAUAUGGUGUGUUGGGAUGGUUGGAGAUAGUGUGUAGCAGGUGGGGGUAGGAAUGUAAAUUUGCAUAUGGUUCUGAUUUUGUAUGAUAUAUUCAUCGGUAUCUGCCCUGCUAUAUUAUUAAUCUGAAAUUAAAUUUGUGAUUUUGUUUUCUAGUAAGUUACACAUUAAGUUUGAAGCUCACUCUCGGUUUAUCUGAAAAUUUUAGGUAAUCUUCAGAUUUAGGCUGGUCGGUGCGACGGGAGCUCAGUUAUAUUCGUAUUCUGUUUCUUAACUAUUUUAAAUUGGUUUAAGUGUAUUGUAAACUUUGGAUUGUUUGGAUAUUUUGGGAUUGUCUCAGUUCUGGAAUUUAUUCCGAAUUUUUGCAUGAUGUUGAUAAAGUAAUUUACCAAAAAAGAUUAUUUUUUCGUAACCAACUAUUUUCGAGAAAACAAACUUGAUUUUCUAAAAGAUAGUGAUCUAAGAAUUUCUGCUGCGUGGUAUUUGAUUUAAUUAGGCAACGUAAACAAAUAACUCUUUUAAUUUAAGAAUCAUGACAAACUCGUUUCUAAUAAAAGGGUUUUUAAGUAACAAAAGUUCACGAUGUUUUUCAAUUAAACGAAAGUCGGAAUUACAAUUUUUUUACGUAACAUCUCUAGAUCUAGCCAUAAUGUCCAGGUCAAAUUUGGGGUGUUACAGUUUUAGUAAACUUACAUUUGAAGGCACAAUUAGAGGAAACGGCCUGGGACACAGGUUGGCACAUGGUUGUGUGCUGCAAACGGUCUCUUUACGCGGCCGUGUAUUUUAAGUCAGUGUGUCACACAGUCUGGGCAAUGGCCUACAACAUGGCUAUGUGUUCCAAGAUUGAAUUGAAUGUGACUUAGCACACAGCCUGCGACAUGGUUGUGUGAGGGUAUUUCGAUUGUUACGCAGUUGGGCACACGACUUGCGAUAUGGUAGUGUGAAAUUAUUUCAAAAGUUACAUGGUUUGUCACACAAUUGGCCACGCGACUUAUUUCAAAUUUUAUCUUAGAAGUUAAAUGGUCGUGUGACCCAUGUUUUCAAAAUUUUUGAAUUUUUCUAACACUUUCGAUUUUAUUUCAAAUUAGCCCCUGAUUGUUUCUAAAUUAUUUUUAAGGCUCUGUAAGCCUGAUUUAAGAUAUUUACGCUAUGAAUGACAUUUGAAUUUUAUUACUUGUUAUUUAAUUUGAUUUUUGAAUGGUUAAAUGUUAGUAAUUGAUAAGAUAUGUUUCAUAAUACUCUGUAACCCUAAUCUGGCGGCAGUGACGAGUUAAGGGUGUUACAUAAGCCUAAAUAAUGAAAGAAACGUCGAAAGUGUGACCAUCUAGCAUCACAAGUAGGUGGCUAAGUGGAGGGAGAAAAUAAGUCGUCCUCCUCCAAGGUUAUGUUUCGAGUGUUGAAAAAUUUUAGUUUAGAAAACAGAUUUGUUGUACAGCGAAAAAUUAAUAUUUUUGAAAUUCGAGCUUUUGUGUUCUUUAUAUCAAUAAAUACUUUAUCAAAUUAAUAUAUGUUUUAGGUUAAGCAGUCUAAGUCACAUCCAAACUUUUUACCAACACGACCCUCUCUGCUAUUCUCGAAUCCUUAGUUUGCUUAAGUAUAAUAUGUUCCAACAACUUUUCUUAUGCUAAAAUUCAAAUAUAAAAAAUUGGAGAUUGUGGAAAUUCAUUUUCUUACUUUUUUUUUGAUUUUUCUCUCUCUACCCAUGACCCUUUUUGAAUAAACUCGUAAAUUCUAGUUCUUGAAAUGAUGAAAAUGAUGGAGGAAACAAGAUUGGAUAAAGUUUUGCUACUAGUUUUUAAUGGGAAAUCAAUGUGGGUGAUGAAUUUUUUGGAUGAAUUAAAGGAAAAGACAUGGAAAAUGAAAAGAGGAAAAAGUUCCUCUUCCAAAGAGUGGGGGAUGGCUGAAUUGGGAUGAGUGAGACACAUUUUGUCAUAUUUUUUUCCUUUUAUUUUACUCAAAAUUAACAAAGUCAAAGGACAAAGUCAAAUCCUUUUUAAAAUGCAUGUCCGCAUUUAAUCUUCAUAUAAAAAUCCAAUAUAAUGACUCCAAAUUACUUCCAAAAAUUUAAUAUCUCAUGAUAUAAUAUUUUCAGUUUCACAUGAAAUGACCAAAAUACCCUUUAUGUGGAAUAAUUAAACUUUAGUUCCUUUUUAUCCGGACAAUUUUCUUCAUUCCAUUCAAGGAAAUUAAUAUCCCAAAAUUUCCAUAAUUUGCACUUUUCAUCUAUAAACAUUAAUUAUUCAUGCAAGGAUUGCGUCUAUAACCUUUCUCGAUAAAAUUAAAAAUUUAUGAUUUAGUUCUUAAACUUUAAUUUUCAUCCAAUUUGAUCUUAAAAAUCCUUAUUCUUUACACUUUUUUACUAUUUUGAUUGUAUGAAACUUUAUUGAUGUUUUUUAACUCUUUUCUUUAUCGUUGGGAAAUUUGCACUUUAGUUCUUAUAGUUUUCAAAUUUUACAAUUUAGUCGCCAAAGUGAGUUCCAUCAUAAUAUCAUCAUUCUAGGUCUUCCUCAUGUCCAACAAUUUAGUUGCUAAAGUGAUUUCCGUCAUAAUUAUAUUGCUUGUAAGUUUUAAAGUGUAAUCACACUUAGAAUUCUGAAUGAAUGUGUUAUACAGAAUUCUAAAUGAAUGUGUAACACCCAUAACCCGUUUUUGCCAUCAAAAUAGGGUUAUGGAAUAAUAUCGGACGAUUUAGAACAAUCAAUAACAGAUAGCAUCAAGUUGCUGAAUUAAUUAAUGAAAUUUAUAAAUAAUUCAGAUUGGACUAGAACCUACACUUAUGAACCUUAACUCGAACCAACGAGGCCUUUAAAAUAGUUUUGGAAUAAUUGGGGACCAAUUCUAGAAAAAAUAAAAGAUUUGGGAAAAAGUGAAAAUUUUCAAAUUAGGGGUUACAUGGCUUUGUGUCCAAGCCGUGUGAUAGAACCUAGACUGUGUGACUCAAACAUGAUCGUGUGUCCAUUCCACACGCCCAUUUGGCUACUCCAUAUGCCCGUGUACUUAGGUCAUGAAGUUCACUGACUUGGCUCACACGCCUGUGUCCUAACCAAAAUAAAUUGCAAGAGCCAAGGCUUGAACCCAGGCUCCUAUACAACCUUAAUGACGCCACAACCACUAGACUACAUGCUUCAUUGUGUCUUUUAUUUACCACAAUAAUUUAAAAGGCCCUCAUCCAAGCAUCCAAGUUUUUUUUCACUUAAUACCAAAAUUUUUGCUAAAGCCCAAGUUUAAACCCAAGAUUUCUCCAACACUUCUCAAAGCCAUUAACCACUAAAGCAAACAUUUAAUUGUUUCAUUUCAUUGCACAAUUAAAUACCUAUAUACAACCUCCUUACAGACCCCCACUCAAGGCCCAAUACUUCUAGGCCCAAAUUCGGGGUGUUACAAUUCUAACCCCCCUUAAAGAAAUUUCGUCCUCGAAAUUUUCCACUCUCAGACUACACCACACUUCCGCUGCGCACUCUGAUACUAAUAAUACUAACAUACACCCAAAACAUUUGUCCAUCGGAGCGGAUAAAUUUCACAUGCAACCAAUUUCUACAUUUCCAGAACACACGCCAAAUAAAUACUAAAUCUAAAUUCAAGCGUUACAGUUUACUCUUAACUAGAGAGUUUCAGUAUAGUGCUACUAUAUAUAGUGGUUUCUUAAUAUAGCAUUUCAAUCUAUAAUAGUAAACAGAGUUAGGGAACUUACAGAUUUGGUGCCGGAGACUCGGUGUGCCACACCUCCAGUAACAUCUUUUCAGAAACAAGUCAAGUUUCAUUGAGAGAUUUCAAAACAAAAUUUUAGAAAAACCCAUUUCAAACCCCAAUUUCGGAAAAAGAAAAACAACAAUAAUUUUCUGCUACCCAUACCACAGUCGAGUUUUGCAACCUAAGCUCUGAUACCACUAAAUGUAACACCCCAAACUCAGGCCAGACAUUCUGGUCUAAUCUGACGUGCCACAUUGAAGUUAAAAAAAAUCCACGCUUUAUUUUAGUGUUUUAAAAAAAACCAUCGUUUGAUAAGGCUUAACCAAGUGAAUGGAAGCUGCGCACCAGGUAGGUAUCCAAAAACAGAAGAGGUGAGCCAUGAAGGCUGCUUAAGUACCAAGCUCUUCGAAUGGAUCCAAUCCUAGACAUGCCCACAACCAUUGCCACACUUUGGUGCGAGGUUAGGUUUUGAGAAAAACGAGUUAGAAUUCAUUUAAGUAGAUAUUUUUGAUAAACCAAUUAAUUGUAUCGUUGCGUUAUUUUGAAAACAAUUAUCAUUUUGAAAACGCGGCCUAAGUCUAACCCAUUUUGGAUUGUUAUCAGUAAAAUAUAGGGUAUAAAAUAAAAUAAUCCCAGAAAAUAAUUAAAAUGGCCUUAUUACAACCCAAAACCAAAUAAAAAAAUUAAUAAGAUAAAACUUAUAAAGAAAUAAAUUGGCUACUUAUUGCAAUUAAAAGAAACAGAAACAGUAGUGUGGUCAUCUCCGAGUCCCUCGCAGCUCCAAACCAUCUAGGCUUAUGGAUUACCUGCACAGUUAGAAACGAGGUGAGUUUACGAAAACUCAGUGUAUAAUCCCAAUAACAUACAAACAGUGAAAACACAGUAUCAGUACAAUCUGGGCCAAAGCCUUAUUUAGUCUUGACAUAUACUGGGCCGAAGCCUUUCGUUUAACGGUUACUAGGCCGAAGCCUUUUCAUAAAUCAUAUCACUGGGCCAAAGCCUUUUCAUAAAUCAUAUCACUGGGCCGAAGCCUUUUCAUAAAUCAUUUCACUGGCCCGAAGCCUUCACUGUAAACGGUAUGGCCCAUAGGCCCAUUUCAAUAUCACAUGUAAUGUCAAUGGAUGUAUGCAAGCCCAUUUCAAUAUCAUAUGAAAUACCAAUGAAUGUAUGCAAGCCCAUUUGGGGAGAAUACUCGACCCACCAUCCGCUACUCUCCACCCAUACCAACCAACACACCAUGUGGGGAAUGAUUCAACCCACCCAACCAACACACCACUGGCAGCAUAGCUGCUUUAUCAUAUAUCUAGAGGCCUAGCCUCUUUUAAUAACUGGGGCAAAGCCCUUUUCGGUAAACUGGGGCAAAGCCCUUUUCAAUAAACUGGGGCAUAAGCCCUUUUCGGUAAACUAGGGCAUAAGCCAUUUUCAAUAAACUGGGGCAUAAGCCCUUUUGCACUUCCUCCAUCCAUAUAAAAACCCAAUCCAAUGCAUUUAUGAAUACAUCAUGUGCAUUUCAUACAUAUCAUGUGCAUUUCAUACAUAUCAUGUGCAUUUUAUACAUAUCAUGUGCAUAUCAUAUCUAUCAUGUAUAUCAUAUCCCACGUAUCAAAUUUAUAAUUAAACCCUAGGGGUAUAAUGGUCAUUUUUACCUAGAGGCGAAACAGUCAUUUUCAUACUAUAAGGGUAAUUUCAUAAUUUUACCAAAUAUCAGGGUUUUCCUUGUUCAUCAACAAUUAUCAAUAUUUUUGAGUGUUUAAACAAUGAUCUUUAACCCACUUUAUCAAACUCGGGCUUUUAGGCCAAAAACCUCUAAUGGGCCCUACGAAUGCCGAUUUAGCCCACUAAGCUUGCUUAAUCCAAAUUUUACGAUAGUACCAACCAUGUUAUCAUGAAACUUUUCCAAAUUCCAUUUUCUAUCAAUUUUACCCAAAUGGGCCCGAAAGCCCAUUUGGCCCCAUUCCUGCCCAUUAAGGCCUAACUUACCAUCGUGCACAAAAUUGAGUUAUUACCCGUUCCAUUGAUCAAAACACCGAUCUUAUCGUAUUUAUCGCAUCUAUACCCACACGCAACAUUACAAGUUCCCAAAAUGCCAGUAUUUUAGCAUUUGGGCUUCUCAGCAGAUAUUAAUCUAAGCUACUACGAGGGUUAGUACACACCUGUUAUGGGUUGAAGUUGAAACGUUUCCAUAAUCAAUCACCUACGAUAACCACCACCUGUCACUCAAACUUAACUAAUCCAAUAUCAAUAUAUGUAAAUCCUAAGCACAUCAGUCAUACGGAACAUAAGGACAUAUUCAUCAUUUUACCAUACAAGGGUAUUACGAUCACUUUACCCUAUAGGGGCUUUACGGUCUUUUUACCUAUUAGGGGUAUUUUAGUCAUUUCAUCCUACAAGGGUGUUUUGGUAAAUCUACAAACCAAGGGUAUUUCAGUAAUUUUGUAAACCAAUGGUAUUUCUAUAAUUUUUAGAAAGUCAAGGGUAUUUCUGUAAUUUUGUAAAUCAGGGGUAUUUUGGUAAUUUUACAAAUUGAGGGUAUUUUGGUAAUUUCACAAACCAGUGGUAUUUCGGUAAUUUUACAAACUAGGGGUAUUUGGUAAUUUUACAAACUAGGGGUAUUUUGAUAAUUUUACAAACUAGGGGUAUUUUGGUAAUUCUAUCCUACAGGGGUAUUUCAGUAAUUUCACAAUCGAGGGUAAAAUGAUAAUUUUGUAAACUGCGGGUAAAAUAGUAAUUUUGUAAAUCGAGGGUAAAACGAUAAUUCUGUAAAUUGAGGGUAAAAUGGUAAUUCUAUAAAUCGAGGGUAAAACGGUAAUUUUGUAAAUCGAGGGUGAAACGGUAAUUCUAUAAAUCGAGGGUAAAAUGGUAAUUCUACAAAUCGAGGGCAUUUUAGUAAUUUGGUAAACUAAAGUAUUCUAAACAGGGAUAACAAUACGAAUGGGCCUAAAGCUUAUUCUCGGCCUAAAUGGGCCCACACGCUCGUGUGGCCAUUUUAGCCCAAAUCUAGCCACAAAUAUGAGAUUCAACUAGCCUAGUCCAAUAUUUACUACACAAUCAAACAAACUUAUCCAAUUGGGCCCGUAGGCCCAUUGGGCCCACAUGACCCCUUUCGGCCCAUCGCGGCCCGAAGUAGCCAUCCUAUAGCUAGAGUAGUGAGAAAUACACACCUGAUAGGAGACUAGAGUUAAUCCACGCUCCGAGCACUCUUAGCCAACGCCCAACCCAAACGAGCACGCCAUACAGCGAAAGGGAUCAGCCAAGAAAAGGUACCUUUACUAUCCUCAUGGUUCCCUCUAUUUAAAGCCAGCUUCGCAACCACUCUUAUGUUAGCUUCCCGAUGUGAGAUCCCUCCAACAUCAGAAUUUAAAUUCAACACCAACUCUUGCCGCCCCCUGUUAGCAAAAUAAAUACUCCUUGCUUGCCAUGGGAUUCGAACCCAUGCCUCCCCUCAGAUGCUCCACACGCUACUUGCCACUAAGCCACAAGGCUUUUUGUGUCAUAUUUUAUCCCCAAUUAAUUAUAAGGUCUAAAGGCCAAAGUCCAGGUUCCCUAAAAAAACCAAAAUAAAUUGCAAGAGCCAAGGCUUGAACCCAGGCUCCUAUACAACCUUAAUGACGCCACAACCACUAGACUACAUGCUUCAUUGUGUCAUUUAUUUACCACAAUAAUUUAAAAGGCCCUCAUCCAAGCAUCCAAGUUUUUUUUCACUUAAUACCAAAAUUUUUGCUAAAGCCCAAGUUUAAACCCAAGAUUUCUCCAACACUUCUCAAAGCCAUUAACCACUAAUGCAAACAUGUAAUUGUUUCAUUUCAUUGCACAAUUAAAUACCUAUAUACAACCUCCUUACGGACCCCCACUCAAGGCCUAAAUUUGGGGUGUUACAACUUAUCUACAAGAAAUAAAACAAACAACACAAGUAAGCUUUCAUAAAGCUUAGUAAGUUCGUCGUUUAAACUAUAAAGCUUACUAAAUUAAACAUAAUAAUUCACAUAACAAGAUUAAUGAACAACGUUCUUUUCAAUCACGGUUCACAAUAAGUGAGUAAUGCUCAACACAAUAAUACUAUUAAAUUUUUACAUUUCAAUACCAUUUAGAGAUCAAUAGAACAUAGCUCGAUGAACGAUAAGUGGAUGCGAGUACACGGUUAACUAUCUAGCACACCAGAUGCUUGAAUGAUCCAGACUAACCAACAAACCAAAGGCUCGUAUGAGGUAGACCAACCAACAAAUCAGAAUACACUGUAAUAUAACACAAUAAUCCACAACAAAUGCUUGACUUCGACAUAUCUAGUGAAUAGAGAAUUUACAGAAAUCAUCUCCACUGCUCCAAUCAAUCCCAUACCGCGUGCAACAUAACCUAUUGGUAUGCCAAUCGUACUCAAUCCUACGUUAAUCAGCUCUGGAGAUAUCAACAGUGAUCUGUGUUUAAUCAAAUCGUUAUCUCAAUUCUCAUUUACAUGACAUCGAAUGAACUUACCAGACUAAACUGCAGCAACUAAAAAUGUACAUGGACUAUUCAACAACUUCUUUAUGCCUCGAUUUCUAACCCAUUCUUGAUCUAAAAUAACAACUUCAUUCAAUUAACUAAUUCCAAGAGUAAAAUUUAACCAAUAUUUUACGUUUAUGCAAUUUAAUCCUUGAGCUCAAAAUUUUCAAUUUAACCAAUUUUAACUAAAACUAAGUUCAGUCAAAUUGUAAAGCUCUCCAAUAUGGCCCAUAUUUUCUAUUAUUUCACAUCAAGUCCUUGUAAUUUUAUCACUUUAAUAUUUAGUCAUUCAACAUUAAAAUUACUAAAAACUACUUUAUAAAUUGUCCUAUUUAAGCUUAAUAAUCUACCAUAAAACUUCAAGAACAACUCAAACUUAUCAAUGGCAUAAUCUAUAAUGUUUAACAAUUUUACAAAUUAGUCCCCGGAUUAGCUAGAUUAAGCUAAUAUGAGCUUAAAAACAUAAAAAUUACUAAAAACGGGCAAGGUUUACUCACCAAAUUGAAGGGCCUAAGCUUGGGCGAAGCUUUCUAAUUCCUAGCUAUAGUGUUUCAACUAUAGAAAAGAAAAUUCAAGAAGAUAAUAGCCAAUUUGGCUUUUAUUUUAAUUAAAUUUCAUUUAUUUACUUAAUUACUAUUUUCGAACUGACUGACCCAAAGGACUAAUCAUAGAAAACUUUCUAGUAGUAUUUUCGGUAGUUAUACCCAAAUUUGUAGAAACAACACUAGCUAUAUACGAAUGAGUAGAUCCAAUAUCAAUGAAAGCGUGUACGAAACAUGAUAAAUAAAUAAUGUACCUACUAUGAUGUCGGCAUCAUCACUAUCCUCACAGGAUCUCAUCGCAUAAACCAGUGCCGGCUGUCAAGGAUCAGUUGGACCAGCACCUCUACCAGGUGCUCUUUGUCCUUUCCGUGAACCAUUACCCUCUCUAGUAGUACCACGACCCUAGAUGGUUAUUGAACUACUCUCGGAGGCUGAAAAGAACCCAGAGUCUGUGGCAGAAUCAUAGCACUGAGGAGGCCACGUGGGAGCCUGAGGACUCGAUGCGUUAGCAGAAUCCUCAUCUAUUCUGAUCAGGUAAAUUUCGAGAUGAAAAUUUCUUUUAGAGGGUAGAGUAGUAACUCCCCAAAAUUCUUAUUUUGGCUUUUGUGGAAGUGUGACACAAUUGAAUAUCUGCUUCUGUGGUUAUGUGUUCUAGGAGUGUCUGAGAGGUCCCAAGUUCAAGCCUUGUCUUUGGUAAAUUUUAGUAUUUUUCUGACUUAAGCUUUAUACUUGCUCAAUGGGCUCAUAUUUAAUUAUUGGUAUAAUCAUAUCAGAAUGGGCCUGCUGGUCUAGUGGUUAAGUUAAGGGUUAAUUUGCUGAAAGUCCUGUGUUCGAAUCUCUAAGCAAGUGUGGGUAGUAAUUUUUGCUCCUUUAACUGAAAGAGUUCCGAUUGUAUUGAAGGACUGAGAGUGGGUGGUUAGGGUGUGAAGUAGUGGGGAGUUAUCAAGAUAUCUCCAAGCAAAUUUUGUUUUCCUCUCCCCAAGUCUUCUAAUGUUAGUUUUGUUUCCCUGUUAUUUUUCUUUUUCGUUUUCUUUUUUCUUUCCUUCUCUUUUUCCUCCCCUUAUUGCUGGUUUUUCUUUCUUUUGGAUCAAUAUUUUGUGCGUCGUUGUUCUGGCGUUUUUGAUGCAUUAUCGGUAGGUUGGUGAGUACGUUUCCUGUAUUGGUUAAUGAGUCUUGGUUUAAUGGAAUUCGUUUUAUGUUUAGGAGAGGUUUAAAGGCUGGAGGAUUUCAAUCGGCGUUUAGAUUGCUAAUAAGCAUUAUUGUUCGCUCUAAGGUAAGAGUUCUUGGUAAACUAAAGGCUUGUCUUUUACGAGAUAGUUCGGUUUAAUUUAGUUUUAAGAGAUUUAUUCGGGCUUUAAUUGGUCUGUUUUAGGUUAUGGUGAUCCUGAGAGUGCUUUUGCGUCGAAAACGUACCAGGUGUGUACCCGAAAACAUAAAACAUGGGACUCGAUGAAAGCUGAAAUUGCAAACUGUCAACACCACACGAGCGUGUUGUCGCCCGUGUCGUAGGCCAUGUGUGAUGACAUGGCGUGUAAUCGACGAAGGCCAGGCCGUGUGAAAGACACGGCCAUGUAAUGGCUAAGUAGGCCAUAUGCGACACACGGGCUUGAUUGAUUGGGCCGUGUGGGCCACACGGAUGUGUGGGCCCAUAUAGGUAAUCCACACGCACGUGUGGAAUUUGGGCCAGGUCGUGUGAUCCACACAGGCCAAGGCCAAUCUGAGGGUUUGGGCUACAUGAGCGUGUGGGCCCGCACGGGCAAACCAUAUGGGUGAGUGGGCGCAUUUAGCUAAAAUGUUUCCUAGGUUUGCACGGGUCGCCUAAGUCGACUGUGAACCUACUGCAGGGUCGGUAAGCUUUACUUAAACCCUAAAUCAUGUGAUCUGAAUAUACAAUGUAUGAAUUGAGCAUGUUAAACUUAUGCAUGUUUACUGAUCUGUAUGUAUUGCUGAUGAUUGAAUUUUACCAAAGCAUGUAUUUCGUAUGUUUGCAUUGAGCAUCUUUAGUUGCAUCUGCAUUGAGGUGGGACAAUUGAUUAUUGGAGGAAGUGUACUGAUAGGCUUUCAUGCAUAUUAUUUGGCAGCUCACCUACAAUAUUACUGAUAAGUGCCGCAUUCAGUACAACUUGGAUUGCAGGGCUGAGUGGGUGUUUUAAACCCCACAUGGUGUGUAGGGGUGGUUGGAGAUGGUGUGUAGAUGCUGGUGGGUAGGACAUUGAUUUCUAUUCUGUAUGCAUACUAUAUCUGGGAUGGGCUAAGGCCCUAAUUUAUAUCUGAAACUCUAUCUGAAUAGGCUAAGGCCUAAACUACAUCUGAAUCUGUAAUGGGAUUAGGACCAGAUUGCAUUUGACUGAUAACUGUUGUUUGACUGUAUCAUGUCAUCUGUGGGAUUACACACUGAGUUUACGUAAUCCCCAGACUUAGACAGAUCGGUGUGGCGGAGUACUCAACGUGACCAUAUGUCUAGUGAACGGUUUUAAUUUUAUUUAAGGUUUUUAAUUCCUAUUAUUUUUGGGUUUUUUUUAUGUAAUUUGGGACUUUUGGACUGUUUACCUUUGUUUUGGAUUUUGACUAUUUUCAGGAACUUUAGAACUGCAAUGAAAACUCAGUUUUGUUAAAUACAAUGUUUUUCCUAAAGGCGAACGAUUUUAAUAAAAUAUCACAGUUUUAAAAGCUUCCCCUACAGAAUAUGUUUUUAAACGAAUCAAAUUAACGAGACAAUAGUUUUGAAAUUGAGGAAAGAUAAAUAAAAGCUAAUAAACAGAAUCAGUUUUCACUUGAUAAAUUCGAUUUCAAAUUCCAUUUCAUGUGACAUCACCAGAUUCGGCCAUAACGUCUAGGCUGGGUUUGGGGUGUUACAUUUAAACCAACCAAUCCAAGCAUUAUAACCAAACAAAAUUUAACAUGUUACAUGGUAUAUCAUUAUAGGCAUACAUAUUAAUAAUUUUAUCUUUAUUAAGUAUAUUCAUUUAGCAUAACUCAAUCAAUUCAUAAUAUAUAUUCAUGAUAUUGCCAUAGGAUAACCUCACUAGAUAUACCAAAACAUAACCAUUACUAGCCAUUCCAAUGGCUAGAUUACAAACAACAUUUAUAAGUCAACAAUGACCAAGUUAACUAUACAUGCCAUUUGAUCAAAAUGAGGUUACUAUUUAUACCAAAACAAGCUAGUGGAUAGUGUGAUGAUACUCCAACCGAUCCCCAACCUUCGCGAGCUUCCGAGCACUGUAAAAUUGAGAAAAUAAAACCUAGUAAGCAUUUAUGCUUGGUAAGUUGUAUAACAGGAAUUAAACUUACCAAUCUCAUUUAUUAAAGUUAAACAUACAAUAACAUGUUUUUCAAUGAACUUGGCAAAUUUCCUACACACAUACACUCAAUCAAAUAAGUUAGUUAUAUAAGUCUCAUGCAUAUCAAAUAGCAUAGUUAAGUUCAUCAUAAAACAAUUAUUAGAUUACUCAGAAUCAUUCAAAAUAUAAAUUUGAUAUAUCUCAUCACUUUCUCUUGUCAGGAGCUUUAUCCAUUGAAUUAACGAAAUAUCGAUGAAUACUUGAAUAGUACGCUCAAGGUUCACAUAUCUAUAAAUCGUCAAUUCUUAUUCAGGGAGCAUACUCUCGAGCUACAUGUCAAGAUGCUCAAACGAGCCAUGUAAUCAUGUAACAAGACACUUAUCCGAGCUAAUCAGGAAACUCAUAAGAGUUUUUACUUAUGAAGCUCAUAAAGCCUUUCAAAUAUCUCCAAAGAGAUAAUAUCAUGGAGCUUCGAUAAGGUAACAGAGAGUUCUUACGAGCUUAACAGGAUGCUUGUAACAUCCUAACCCAUAUCCGUCGUCGGAAUAGGGUUAUAGAGCAUUACUGGCAAUUACAGAACAUUUUCAGAUAAUUCGAGUAAAUUACUGUUCAUAGCAAAAUUGUCCACUUGAGUCAUAGUCACUAAAUUAUUUAUAUCAUGAGCUACAGGAUUCUAAGUUAAGAUCCACUUGAUUUUUUCGAAACUGGACUCAAAUGUAUUUCUACCAUAAAAUUUUCAGAAUUUAUGGUUUAGCCAAUAAGUAUAGUAAAAUCUUCAAAUUUACCCCUGUUCUGCUAUUUGACAGCUUCGACCUUUCUUACUAAAAAUUAAUUAUCUCUUAGUACGGGUUUUGGAUGAUGCUUCCGUUUGCUUCUAUUGAAAAUAGACUCAUUAAUAAUUUAAGCAUAUAAAUUUGAACCCCUAAUUACUUUUUUUACAAUUUUCGAUGAUUUUCCAAAUUCAGAACUGGGGAAACCAAAAUCAUUCUGACCUUGUCUCACAAAAUUUAUUUUGUCUCAUAAUUUAUAACUCCAUUGCUUCCAUCGUUUCUUCUAUGAAAAACUAGACUUAAUAAAAUUUAAUUUCAUAUUUUCUUCAACCUCUUUCAAUUUCCAAAGUCUUUGGUAAAUUUUCAAAGUCAGACUAUGCUAACACAUACAUAAUCACUAUAUCAUAAUUUCAUAAAUAUACCAAACCAAUCAUCACUAGUCACUCCAAUGGCUAAGUUUCAAACCACAAUUUAUAAGACAAGAUUUAGUCAAAUUAGCCUAUACAUGCCAUUAUAACCAUAAUUGUUUUACCUUAUACACUGAAUGAAUUGUUGGAUAGUGUGAAUGAUCUCCGCAAAGCUUCCAAUCCAGCGAGCAUUCCGAUUUACUAUAAGAUAGGGAAAAAUAAAACGGAGUAAGCAUAUAAUGCUUAUUAAGUCCGUAUAUCUUAGUAAUAAAUUUACCAUCCAUUCAUCAUCAAAAUAAAUAUAAAAGGGGUAUAAUCAAACUAUUUAAUCUCACAAGCCCUAUCACACAUUCUCAUCACCCUUGUUAGUCACAUGUUUCAUAAAAAUUUCAAGAAACACAAAUAUGAAUUCAUCAAUAUUUGGCUUCUCAUACACACAUGUUUUUCCACAACAUGUAUUCACAUAACAUAUAUACAAAUUAUUUCCAUGUAUUUCAGAUAUAUUUUAUAUUAAUUCAUCUCGAGUUCCGAUAUAUUUCAUGUCAUGACUUUACUCAAUAAUCAGUUAGUCUAUUGAAAAUCACUCGGGUAGUACACUCAAGGUGUACUAAUCUAUUCUCAUAGAUGAAUGUAUUCAUUAAACCAUUCUGUGUUCAUAUAUAAACAUCUCACACUUCCAUAUUUCAUUUCAUGUAACAUAUUUUCAUAUUUCCACAUAUCAUGUCUCAAUCUAUAACCAUUUAUCUCUAUUUCAUAUUUGCUCAUAUUAGAACUUUGCUCAUUGAAUUUAUUUAAAUUAUUGAUGGAUUCUCAUGUAGUAAACUCAUAGUGUACAAAUCAUAAUCCGUCAAUUCAUAUCCAGUAGUACCUUUUAGGUACACUCUCGAGCCACAUAUUGUACAACAGAAUUACCAGUCUAGGCUAAAUUUUAUCUGUAACGCAUAUACUCUAAGGGCUUUGUCGGAUUACCAGUACAGGCUAAAUCCUUUAUAUGACAAAGAAUUCCCUAUAUAGUCCAUUCUGGAUUACAAUCCAUGCUAAAUCCAGUCAAUUAGGAUUACCAAUCCAGGCUAAAUCCUAAUUGAAACAUAUGCUCGAGAGACCCAUUUCGAAUUACCUGUCCGGGCUAAAUCCUUUCUAUAAUGAGAUCAAUGGAUUACUCAUUCGAGCUAAAUCCUUUCUGCAACACAUGCAGGACCUCACUUCAUAUAGGGAAAUCACCACUAUCCAUCGAUAAUCAUUAUUCAACCAGGACUUACCAUUUAUGGGAUAUUAUCAUUUAUUGGGCACUAUUGAACAUCCUUAAUUUCAUAAAAUAUAUAUAUGAUUUAUAUAUCAUCACAUAUAUAUACCAUCACAUUCAUACAAUUCAAUUUAAGCAUAUUAACAUACAUAGUUAAGUUACACGAACUUACCUCAAAAGUUGUUCGUGUACAUAUAAUCUAUUAAUUCAACAUUUUCUCUUUUCCUCUCUCUAACUCCAUAUUCGGACUACCCAGAUCUAUACAAGUAAAUUUAACAUCAAUUUAAUGCAAUUCAUACUCAAUUUAAUCCAAUUUACAUUUUAGGCAAAAUUACAAUUUUUCCCCUAAAUUUUAAUAAAUGACGAUUUCAUCCCUAGGCUCGGAAAAUGAAAUUCAUGAAAUUUAUUCCUUGUUCCAAGCCAAAUAUUUUCAUAUAUAACAAUAGCAGCCCUUGAAUUCCAUGAAAUUUUAGAAUUUUCCAUAAAUUCAACAACUUUAAAAUUUUAUCCCUAAAUCAUGAUUUCACUCAAAAUUCUUUAAUAAAGUACCUUUACAUAUCCGUUAACAUCUCAAUUUCAUCAUAAAAUAACUAAAAUCAUAUGAAAUUAUCAAUGGUAUCUUUCAAAACUUCCAACAAAAUCAAAAACUAAAGAAAUAACAAGUUGGACCUAAUUGUAAAAGUCCAAAAACGUAACAAUUUCAAAGCAAAAGCAAGAAUUGAACUUACUUGAAGCUAAAAUAUGAAAGACCAGCUCAAACCCUCUUCAAGAGCUAUUUUUGACAGAAAAUUGAUGAAGACAAUGUAUAGAAACUAUUAAAAUAACAUUUGGCCAUAUAAACUUUAUUUUAAUUCCAAUUUUGUCCCUAAUCACAUGAAUAUCUUUGAUUUUUUUUUUCACGUUAUGCCGCCUCAGCCAUUUAAGAUUGUCUGUUUGCCCUUUUAGUGCUUCUUUAUUUACAAUUAGGUAUUUAAUCACUUUAGUAAGUUUUGCACCUUUUUCAAUUUAGUCCUUUUUAAUUAAUUGACUACUGAAAUGUUAAAAUUUUCUGACGAAACUUUAAUACUACCAUAUUGACACUCCGUAAAUAUUUAUAAAAAUAUUUAUGGCUCGGUUUAUAACACCAAGGUCUCGAUAUCUCUUUUUCCCAGUUUAUAACACAAAUUUACUAAUUCAAAAAUCUUUUAAAAACCACAUUUAACUCAUAAAUAUUAAAUAAUAAAAUUUACGGGCUCAUUUGUCGGAUUUAGUGACCUCGAACCACAGUUUUUGACAUCACUAAAAUUUGGGCUAUUACAAUGCUCAUGAAGAGCUGGGUUUGUGUCUGCAUUAAAUGCAGGAUCACAAUCGGUCCCAUGUCAAGACGCUCACAAAGAGCUGCCGUAGUGCGCAACACAUGCUAAAUCGCUACCAGUCAGGAUGCUCGCAGGAAAAAUAUAAUAGGAUGCUCGAGAAGCUAUAUCGAGAUUACUAGUUCGAGCUAAAUUCCUUCUGCAACAUAUGUAGAAUAACAUUCAUAUACUGGAAAGCACAUGUAUGCAUCGAUUUUCAUUAUUCCAACGGAACUUAGCAUUUUAAACACAUUUCCAAUCAUGUGAUCAUUUCAUAUUUUCAUAACAUUCCAUAAAUCACAUAAACAUAUAUCAUAUUCAACAAUCAAUUUAACAUGUUAAUAUGCAUAAGUAAGUUACACGAACCUACCUCGAUAAUAAUUCGUACAUGAAAAUCUACUAAUCCGAAACUUUCUCUUUUCCUCGAUAUAGCUUUGAAUUUGUGUUAUCUGGAUCUAUAUAAAUGAAUUUAAUCAUCAAUUUCUCACAUUUCAUAUUCUAUUGAACUCAAUUUACAUCCUAAGCAAAAUAAUCAUUUUUCCCCUAAACAUUUCAUAAAUUCCAAUUUCGUCCCUAGGCUCGGAAAAUGAAAUUCAUACAAUUUACUCCUUAUUCCAAGCUGAACCAAAAUUGCAAUAUAAAAUUUAUGGCACAUGUAUUCUAUAAAAUUCAGAAUUUUUCUUCAAUUUACACAACUUUACAAUUUAGUCGCCAAAUCACAAUUUCAUCAAAAUUCACCUUCUCAAAAUUGUUAAUGUAUCAACAACCUUUCAUUUUCCAACAUAAAUUUCAAAUUUUUAGCAUAUUCAUUCAUGGAAAAAAUUCUAUACUUUGAUAACUUUUCAAAUUAAUCCCCUAAAUAGAUAAAUUAGACUAUCUCAAUUUAAAAAAUAUAAAAAUUAUUAAAAACGAGACAAUAAUACUUACCCAGUCAAGCUUGAUUAGUUUCCUUUCUCUCUCCUAAGAUUUCCAUGCAAAUUUUAGGGAAGAUGAUAUAAAAUAAGAUGAUAUUUCUAUUAUCAUCUUUUUAAUUAUUUUAGUUUCCAAUUUAGUCCUUAACCUUUUAUAAUUUUUCCAUGGAUGAAUCACCAAAAAUAUCUACUAACUUUUCUUUAAUGGUCUAAUUACCAUAUAAGGACCUCAUGUUUUGAAUUCCAUAGCUAUUUGAUCCUUCUAGCUUCUAGAAUCCAACUUUUUCAUUUUAUGUAAUUUGGUCCUUUCAAUUAAGCACAUAAUCGGUAAAAUUUACUUAUCAGACUUUUUUUAUGACAUUCCUAUCAAAAUACUAACCAUGCAAAAAUAUAAAAAUAAAUUUUCUUUUCGGCUCGGAUUUGUGGUCCCGAAACCUCUGUUCUGAUUUCACUAAAAAUGGGUUGUUACAACUCUCCCCCCUUAAUAAUUUUUGUUCUUAAAAAUCAUUCCAGUAAAGAGAUUUGGAUAUUUCUUUCUCAUGGUAUCCUCCGGUUCCCAGGUAGCUUCUUCUAUAUCAUGUCAUUGCCAAAGAACUUUUACUAAAACCACCUUUAUAUUUCUUAAUUUUUUUAUUUCACGGGUCAUGAUUUUAAUUGGUUCUUCACUAUAUGUCAUAACAGUCUGAAUCUCUACCUCUAAUUGAGAAAUAACAUGUGAAGGAUCCGAUUGAUACUGCCGUAACAUAACACAUGAAAAACAUUAUGAAUCUGAUCAAGUUGUGGUGGUAAGGCUAACUGAUAUGCAAGAGGUGCAAUUCUUUCUAUGAUUUCAUAUGACCCAAUAAACUGUGGACUCAAUUUUCCUUUACAGCCGAACAGGAGAACUUUCUUCCAAGGUGAUACUUUUAUGAAUACUUUGUCACCAACUAGAAAUUCUAUUUCUUUUCAUUUAAGAUCAGCAUCAGACUUUUGACGAUUAAAGGCUGGUUUUAAACUGUCCUAAGUUACUUUCACAUUUUCUUUAGUUUCACGGAAAAAUUCAAAUCCGUGUAUCUUUUUCUCACUAAGUUCUGUCUAAUACAACGGUGUUCUAGAUUACCGACCAUACAAAGCUUUGUACGGUGCCAUUUUGAUACUGGACUGAUAACUAUUACUGUAAACAAAUUCAACUAAAGGCAAAUAUUUUUCCAAGUUACCUUUAAAUUCGAAAAUACAACAUCGAAGCAUAUUCUCCAAAAUUUGCACCACACAUUCAGAUUGACCAUCUGUCUUGGGAUGGAAUGCCGUGCUGAAAUGUAACUGUGUACCUAGAGCUUCUUGCAAUUUGCUCCAGAAUCGAGAUGUAAAUCGAGGAUCUUUAUCUGAAAUAAUGGAGACAUGUACUCCAUGCAAUCUGACAAUUUUAGAGAUAUAUAAUUCAGCCAAUUUAACCAAGGAAAAAUCAAUACGUAUCAGAAUAAAAUGUGCAGACUUUGUCAACCGAUCGACAAUUACCCAAAUGACAUCUUUCUUGUUCAGAGACAGGGGUAAUCCCGAUCCAAAGUCCAUGGUAAUUCUUUUCCAAUUCCAUUCUAGUAUUGUAAUUAGCUGUAAUAAUCCCGAAGGAAAAUGAUGUUCAGCUUUUACUUGCUAACAUAUCAAACAUUUUGAUACAAACGUAGAAAUAUCCCAUUUUAUUCCCGGCCACCAGUACAUCUUUUUCAGAUCAUUGUACAUUUUAUUACUACCAAGAUGAAUAGACAUGUUAUCAUUAUGAGCUUCAUUCAAAAUCAUCUGUACUAGUUCUGAAUUAUUCGGUACACAUAUUCUGCCUCUUAACAACAAACAACCAUCAGUCCUAAUUUCAAAUUCUGAAUUAGAAGUCGAUUCACACUGAAUCCGCUUUGCUUGUAACGUACUAUCAUCUGAGCUUCAGAAAUCUACUGCAAAAACGUCCGUCUAGCUUUUAACUCAACUAUGAUUAAAUCAUCAUCAGAUAACAUCAAUCCAGUAUUCAUUGCUUGCAAAGAAAACAUGGAUUUUUUACACAGAGCAUCUGCUACCACAUUGGCUUUUCUCGGAUGGUAGUCAAUAACCAAAUCAUAAUCUUUCAAUAAGUCAAGCCACAUGCACUGUCUUAAAUUCAAAUCUUUCUUUGACAUCAAAUACUUCAAUCUUUUAUGAUCAGAGAAUAUGUGACAUUUUUCACUAAACAGAUAAUGUCGCUAUAUUGUUAACGCAAACACAAUUGCUUCGAAUUCAUGAUCAUGUAUCGGGUAAAUUUUUUCAUGUGGUUUUAGCUGUCUUGAAGCAUAGACUAUUACUUUACCUUCUUGCAUCAAAACACAGCCUAAACCAUUUAAUGAUGCAUCACUAUAAAUUACAAAUAUCUUACCUGAUUCAGGUUGAACUAACAUAGGUGCUUCUGUUAAUAAAGCUUUUAGCCUAUCGAAACAUUGCUGACAUUUAUCAAACCACUCAAAUUUCACAUCUUUUUGCAACAAAUAAGUCAUUAGAGAGGAUAUUAAUAAAAACCCUUUUACAAAUCUCCGAUAAUAUCCAGCAAGUCCCAGAAAACUUUUAACAACAAAUACGUUCUUUGGUUGUUUCCAAUUAACAAUAGCUGAAAUUUCACGUGGAUAUACUCGAAUAACUUAUGCAGAUACAAUAUGCCCAAGAAAACCAACUUCCCGUGGCCAAUAUUCACAUUUACUAAAUUUGGCAUACAAUUGCUUUUCACACAAAGUUUGCAACACAAUUUUCAAAUGAUCUGCAUGUUCAUUUUCAUCUCGAGAGUAAACCAAAAUAUCAUUAAUAAAUACCACCACAAACUUACCGGUGCAUUUGUCAAACCAAAUGGCAUCACAAGAAACUCAUAAUGUCCAUACCUAGUUCUAAAAGCUGCCUUUCUCACAUCUGAGUCUUUUACUCGUAGCUGAUAAUAGCCAGAAUGAAGAUCAAUCUUUGAAAAUACAGUAGCACCUUUCAAUUGGUCAAAUAGAUCAUCAAUUCGAGGUAAUAGGUACUUGUUCAUUAUUGUAUCUUUUUUGAACUGUCUGUAAUCAAUGCACAGCCUUAAAGAUCCAUCUUAAUACUUUACAUACAGAAUUGGUGCACUCCAAGGUGAGAAACUGGGUCGAGCAAAGCCUCUAUCAAUUAGUUCUUGCAACUAUGCUUUCAACUAUUUUAGUUUGGUAGGAGCCAUUCUGUAAGGUGCUAUAGAUAUGGGUGUUGUCCCCGGUACAAGAUCUACAGAGAACUCCACUUCUCUAACCGGCAGUAAACCAGGUAAUUCCUCCGGAAAUACAUCAGGAAAUUCAUAAACAACCGACACUGACUAAAUCUUCGACUUAGAUACUUUAGUGUCCAACACAUAUGCAAGAGAAGCUUCAUAAUCCUUUCUGAUAUAUUUUUAUGUUGAUAUUGCUGAAAUCACAUUAGAUAACCCAUCUAAUUUAUCAGAUUCAACAUGGAGUAACUCACCGCUUUGACAUUUCAAUACAAUAUAUUUCUGUUUACAAUUCACCACCGCAUCAUAUUGGGUUAACCGGUCUAUUCCCAAAAUCACAUCAAAUUCAUCAAAUGACAAUAACAUCAAAUCAGUCGAAAAGCAAUAACCCUUUACCAUCAACAGAUAGUUUUACAAAGUUUAUCCACCAUAACAUCUGGCCCAAGGGUUUUGAAACUUUAACCACAAAUUUAGUGAAUUCAGCAGGUAAAUUUUUAACAGACACUAAAUUUGUGCACAUGUUUGAAUGUGUGGAACCAGGAUCAAUCAAAGUAGUAAUAUCAGUAUCAAGUAGAAAAAAUGUACCAGUAAUGACGUUUGGUACAGAGGCAUCUUCUCUAGCACGAACAACAUAUAUCCUUGCCGGUGCUCAUGCCUCAGAUUUAACUAUUGUAUCCCUUGUAGUACCUCGGCUACCACUGACAUUGUCGGGAUGAAGGGGUGGUGUGCCUCUUGGAGUGGUAUUACUUAGUUUUGAAGUCUGUUCAAUAUCUCUUUCAACCCUUUCUGAGCAAUCUUUAAGAAAAUGAAAAAGAGAACCACAUUUAUAACAUGCAUCACUUCUUAAUCGGCAUUCCCCAAAAUGAAAUUUGUUACAAAAUUUACAUUUUAAUUUAGGAUUACCGACACUAACAACACUGGUUACAGAUGGAGACAAAGAUCUCGGUUGCAGCGUUGAGAGCCUCGCUCUCUUCCAGAAUAUCCUGUUGAUAUUGUAAAAUAAUUCAUCUAAAACCCAGAUGGUAUUUUCCAACCAAAACUCAUACCUUUUUCAAUAAUGAUCUGAAGUAGCUCUGACUUUCUCUGCCCCAUACUUUUUUUAUCUACCGAAGGCUUACCGGUUCUAACAGAUUCAGCCCCUUGUGGCAUCUCAAGAACUGGUUCAGGAGCAAGUAGGGGAGGUUGUUUUACAGUGGGAUUUGUUCUUAUAUAUUGAGUGAACCAUUCAUUCAUCAUUUGAAAGAAGGUUUGUUUUGCCUCCUCACUUCGGCCUUCAGAUACAAGCAUUCACUACUAGAUGCAACUAUUUGAACUGAAGCUGAAGCAUUGCUCUCAGCUUCCUCGGAUUUAGCUCUAGCUUGGUUAGAUGACAUUACUAUAUGAAAAACACAUUAAAAAUGGUUUAGUCAAUCUGAGAAUCAACUAAACUGUGGCUCGGAUUCAGCUCUAGCUUGGUGAGCAUAGGAGAGUGAAAGGAACAAGAAAUGGGCCAAAAAUAGAGAAAAUGGGCCAACGUACUAAAUCAACAUAGCUUGGACCUCCUCACACAGUUAGACCACACGGCCGUGUCAAUUUGGCAGAAUCGAAGCACGACUCACACGGGUGGACCACACGGCCAUGCCUAUUUAACAGGCUUGACCACGGUCUUAAGCAAUCGCACAUGGGCAUGUCCCUGCGGAGCCCAAGUUUAGUCCAAUUCGGAAAAGGACAAUUUUGAGGGUUCUUAGGCAUUCUAAAGCUUAUAAAUACACCCUAGAGGAGGAGAAAAAGAGGACACACAGAGAAGAAAGUAGGGAACUGCUCAAGGAAUGCCGAUUGAUCCAUCUCAGAAGCCGGAUUCAUCAUCAAGACUGAAGAUCUCCCCUCAAUUUCCCUUCAGGAGUUUUGGGUUUUUCUUUAUGUUUUGCAUUCAUUAUUCUUCUAAAAUGUUUACCUUUUUAGUUAUGAACUGAAACCCCUAAAUACCUAAGGGGAAUGUGAUGGGCGUCGAAUCCACCAUAUAUAAUUCCUACUAAAUACUCUGAAUAGUAGUAAGAGUGGUAGUAGGGUCGAGUCCACAGGGAUUGGUACUCUAAUCAACUUUCGAGUUUGGCUUAUGAAUAGAAUGUCGUGUCAAGGGUCGUGGCUAGAGUCGUGCACACGACUCAAAACGUACCAGUUGAAAAAUAAGCAAAUAAAUAAGUAAAGCGGGGAUUUUGAAAUUGAUUAGAAAUUAAAUAAUCAAAACUGCUAAGAUAAUUAAUUAAAUAAAUAAGAAAUUAAAUUGGGAUUUGCAAUCAAAUGUAAUGAGCCUUAGCCUUAGACUCGAUAAAUUUCGUGUUGAGAAUCGAUCCUCGAAAAUUGAUUUUCUCCUUCAAAUGAUAAGCUAGUUAUAGUGGUUAAGAACGUCCUAACCACCAAUUCUUCCUCUCGUAGCUAGUUCCGGUAUGACUUGCAAACCAACCCUUACCGAUUACCUAACUGAGAUACACGUGUUCCAGAUUCAAGAUUCCGGUAGCCUUGCGUUCUGAAGAACCCAACUCAAAUUAACGGCUUCAACCGCAUGGGUAGUUUAAACCCGAUCACCUCUUCCUCAAUUUGUUCUCAGAGAUCCAAAUACAGCAGGGCCGAUUCGUUUCUCCAACUGUCAGAAAACACGACUCCAACCCAACGAGCUCUUUUUGACUUGAAAUCGAAUUAUCCUUAAAGGAUGAAUUGUCAAUCCCGAUACUUAGGAAAAAAGGUGAAUACCGAUUGGAAGAAUUUUAGGCGCGAGUACGAAUCUCACAAUUUUCGACCGGAAAGAACACCGGUCUAAAGCUAAGAUGGAAUUUAGUGGAACAUGAAUUUAUUCAUGUUUGAAAGUUGUGGAAAAUGAUGGAUUUAUAUGAAAGGUGAUGAAAAUUAAAAAGGAAAAGUACUUGGAAGGUAAUUAGCCCGAUUUGACAAAAGAAACAAAACCAAAUGAAAAAGUGGCAGAAUGCUAAACUUCAAUUUGAAAAGGGAAAAUGAGAGUAUUUCUAUUCCAAAUAGAAGUAGGAAUACAAAGACAAGAGAUGAGUUUCUAAGAACUAAAAGCCCCUAUUUAUAUACAUAGGGUUUACUAAAAUUAGGCUAAAGCUAAAUUAAUAAAAUAAUAAUAAUAAAUAAUAAAUAAUAAAUAAUAAAUAAUAAAAUAAAAUAAAAUAGUAUCUUCUAUUUUUAUCUUUUUACAAAGUCAAAAUUGAUGUUAAAUCCUUGGCUUUCCCAUCUUUAUGAUUUGUCCCCAACUCAACGAUCUGUCUUUCAAUUUGACCCUUUUUUGCUCGUUUUUGACCAAUUGCAUCCCUGACAAGAUUAAGCCAUAAAAACACCAAUUAAGCAUGGAUUAAUUCAGAAAUAAGCCAAAUUAAACACAAGAAUCAUGUAAAUUUACAUGUUUAUCAACUCCCCCUACUUAGCUCAUGCUUGCCCUCAAGCAUGUUUGUUUUUUCAAGCAUUAAAUUUGUUCUACAAUUUAUUAAAAAUCAAGCCUCUUUUCACAUACAUAAUCAAUGCAAACAACGGCAGACAAAAAUAAAUAAACGCUCAAGAUAUAAAGUUUGAUCAACAAAUGUCAUAAAAUUGAAACAUGUGGACUAAAUAAUUUCACUAAAUUGAGUUUGAAUCCAAUAAAAUGCAAGGCAAUAUUUAAUUAACUAUGCAUUAGAAAAAAUUAUUGACGUGGUCAAACCUUUUUACGUGAAGUAGGAUGACAACCCAAGCACCCUAUCCUAGUUAGUCAGUUUAAACCUUCUUAAAUUUUAUUUAUUUAUUUAUUAUAUAUGUUUUUUUAUAUAUAAUAAAGCUCAGUUAGCGGAAUGUUUAUAAGUUAUCGACUUGUCAUUCGAAUCUUUUUACACGAGAUAAGAUGACAACCCAAGCACCUUACCCCGGUUACUCAAUCCGGUCACGUUUUCGAAACUUCACUCAUAACUUGAACCUUUAUUUAUUCACUUAUUUAUUAAUGCACAAGCAAAUAUCAUUUUCCAAAAAAUCAAUUUAUACGAAAAAAAUCAAGCUACAUAUAUCAAUUUUAAGACACAAAUGUUGACUGACUGAUAUACUUGAACAUUUUAAUUCAAAUUUUGCCCAAUUGUCCAAAUUAACUAAGUAUGGGAUUAAAGGCUCAAUGUUAAAUAAACUGUUGAAUGAACUUAAUGUAAGAUUGAACACAUGUAAAAAAGAGACAUGCGGCAAAAAACAUGCAUAUUUACCAUCCAUUACUAUCCAUCCAUCCCCCCUACUUAAGCUAUGCUUGUCCUCAAGCAUAUAUUAUAUGAAAUAAAAGUUAGCAGCCUAAAAUAAAAAGAAAAAGUGAAGAAUACUCCCCAUAUAUGUUAAUGACGUGGUUGGUGUUGGGAGUAACGAUUCUGCAAGAUGUCGAGGAUUGUGGAGACUUGGGUUUCCAUUGUUCCAAGUCGAGCCUCGAUUCGGCUUAAACGGGCCUCUACAGUCAGAGGUUGUUCCUCUUGUUCUCGAGUAGCAAAAUAUGGGCGUUGGCGAAAAACCAUACUCCUACGAGCAGUCCGUGUACUUGGAGGAACAAAAUAACACGCAGUAGGGGUGCCGGCAAGCAAACCCAUUGUAACACCCCGAAUUUGGGCCUAGAAGUAUUGGGCCUUGAUGGGGGUCCAUAAGGAGGUUGUAUAUAGGUAUUUAAUUGUGCAAUAAAAUGAAACAAUUAAAUGUUUGCUUUAGUGAUUAAUGGCUUUAAUAAGUGUUGGAGAAAUCUUGGGUUUAAACUUGGGCUUUAGCAAAAAUUUUGGUAUUAAGUGAAAAAAAACUUGGAUGCUUGGAUGAGGGCCUUUUAAAUUAUUGUGGUAAAUAAAUGACACAAGAAAGCAUGUAGUCUAGUGGUUGUGGCGUCAUUAAGGUUGUAUAGGAGCCUGGGUUCAAGCCUUGGCUCUUGCAAUUUAUUUUGGUUUUUUUUAGGGAACCUGGACUUUGGCCUUUAGACCUUAUAAUUAAUUGGGGAUAAAAUAUGACACAAAAAGCCUUGUGGCUUAGUGGCAAGUAGUGUGUGGAGCAUCUGAGGGGAGGCAUGGGUUUGAAUUCUAUGGCAAGCAAGGAGCAUUUAUUUUGCUAACAGGGGGCGGCAAGAGUUGGUGUUGAAUUUAAAUUCUGAUGUUGGAGGGAUCCCACAUCGGGAAGCUAACAUAAAAGUGGUUGCGAAGCUGGCUUUAAAUAGAGGGAACCAUGAGGAGAGUAAAGGUACCUUUUCUUGGCUGAUCCCUUUCGCUGUAUGGCGUGCUUGUUUGGGUUAGGCGUUGGCUAAGAGUGCUCGGAGCGUGGAUUAACUCUAGUUUACUAUCAGGUGUGUAUUUCUCACUACUCUAGCUAUAGGAUGGCUACUUCGGGCCGCGAUGGGCCGAAAGGGGUCAUGUGGGCCCAAUGGGCCUACGGGCCCAAUUGGAUAAGUUGUUUGAUUGUGUAGUAAAUAUUGGACUAGGCUAGGUGAAUCUCAUAUUUGUGGCUAGAUUUGGGAUAAAAGGGCCACACGAGUGUGUGGGCCCAUUUUGGCCGAGAAUGGGCUUUAGGGCCAUUUCUAUUGUUAUCCCUAUUUAGAAUACUUUAGUUUACCAAUUAUUGAAAUGCCCUCGACUUGUAAAAUUACCAAAGUACCCUCAAUUUAUAGAAUUAUCGUUUUACUCUCGAUUUAAAAAAUUACCAUUUUACCCUCAGUUUACAAAAUUACCGUUUUACCCUCGAUUGUGAAAUUACUGAAAUACCCCUGUAGGAUAGAAUUACAAAAAUACCCCUAGUUUGUAAAAUUACCAAAAUACCCUUAGUUUGUAAAAUUACCAAAAUACCCCUAGUUUGUAAAAUUACCAAAAUACCACUGGUUUGUGAAAUUAUCGAAAUACCCUCAAUUUGUAAAAUUACCAAAAUACCCCUAAUUUACAAAAUUAUAGAAAUACUGUUGACUUUCUAAAAAUUAUAGAAAUACCAUUGGUUUACAAAAUUACUAAAAUACCCUUGGUUUGUAGAUUUACCAAAACACCCUUGUAGGAUGAAAUGACUAAAAUACCCCUAAUAGGUAAAAGACCGUAAAGCCCCUGUAGGGUAAAGUAACCGUAAUACCCCUGUAUGGUAAAAUGACGAAUAUGCCGUUAUGUUCCGUAUGACUGAUGUGCUUAGGAUUUACAUAUAUUGAUAUUGGAUUGGUUAAGUUUGAGUUAUAGGUGGUGGUUAUCGUAGGUGAUUGAUUUUGGAAACAUUUCAACUUCAACCCAUAACAUAACAUUCAUAGGGCCCAUUAGGGGUUUUGGGCCCAAAAGCCCGAGUUUGAUAAAGUGGGUUAAAGAUCAUUGUUUAAACACUCGAAAAUAUUGAUAAUUGUUGAUGAACAUGGAAAACCCUGAUAUUUGGUAAAAUUAUGAAAUUACCCUUAUAGUAUGAAAAUGAUUGUUUUGCCUCUAGGUAAAAAUGACCAUUAUACCCCUAGGGUUUAAUUAUAAAUUUGAUACAUGGGAUAUGAUAUACAUGAUUGAUAUGAUAUGCACAUGAUAUGUACAAAAUGCAGAUGAUAUGUAUGAAAUGCAUAUGAUAUGUAUGAAAUGCAUAUGAUAUAUAUGAAAUGCACAUACUGUAUUCAUAAAUGCAUUGGGUUGGGUUUUUAUAUGGAUGGAGGAAGUGCAAAAGGGCUUAUGCCCCAGUUUAUUGAAAAGGGCUUAUGCCUCAGUUUACCGAAAAGGGCUUAUGCCCCAGUUUAUUGAAAAGGGCUUUGCCCCAGUUAUUAAAAGAGGCUAGGCUUCCAAAUAUAUGAUAAAGCAGCUAUGCUACCAGUGGUGUGUUGGUUGGGUGGGUUGAAUCAUUCCCCAUAUGGUGUGUUGGUUGGUACGGGUGGAGAGUUGCGGAUGGUGGGUCGAGUAGUCUCCCCAAAUGGGCUUGCAUAGAUCCAUUGGUAUUUCAUAUGAUAUUGAAAUGGGCUUGCAUACAUCCGUUGACAUUACAAGUGAUAUUGAAAUGGGCCUAUGGGCCAUACCGUUUACAGGAAAGGCUUCGGCCCAGUGAAAUGAUUUAUGAAAAGGCUUCGGCCCAGUGAUAUGAUUUAUGAAAAGGCUUCGGCCCAGUAUAUGUCAAGACUAAAUAGGGCUUUGGCCUAGAUUGUACUGAUACUGUGUUUUCACUAUUUUUAUGUUAUUGGGAUUACACAUUGAGUUUUCGUAAACUCACCCCAUUUCUAACUGUGCAGGUAAUCCCUAAGCUUAGAUGGUUUGGAGCUGCGAGGGACUCGGAGAUGGCCACACUACUGUUUCUGUUUCUUUUAAUUGCAAUAAGUAGCCGAAUUAUUUCUUUAUAAGUUUUAUCUUAUUAAUAUUAUUAUUUGGUUUUGGGUUGUAAUAAGGCCAUUUUAAUUAUUUUUUUGGGAUUAUUUUAUUUUAUACCCUAUAUUUUACUGAUAACAAUCCAAAAUGGGUUAGACUUAGGCCGCGUUUUCAAAAUGAUAAUUGUUUUCAAAAUAACGCAACGAUACAAUUAAUCAGUUUAUCAAAAAUAUCUAUUUAAAUGAAUUCUAACUCAUUUUUCUCAAAACCUAACCUCGCACCAAAGUGUGGCAAUGGUUGUGGGCAUGUCUAGGAUUGGAUCCAUUCGAAGAGCUUGGUACUUAAGCAGCCUUCAUGGCUCACCUCUUCUGUUUUUGGAUACCUACCUGGUGCGCAGCUUCCAUUCACUUGGUUAAGCCUUAUCAAACGACGGUUUUUUUUAAAACACUAAAACGAAGCGUGGAUUUUUUUAACUUCAAUGUGGCACGUCGGAUUCAGCCAUAACGUCUGGGCCGGGUUUGGGGUGUUACACCCAUAGAGUCCAAAUAAUAUUUAUCUAGGCUGUCCAUAUGAUACGCACAUGUCAAGGACGAGAAAUCAAUUUUAGAGGGAAAAAGUUUAGAGGUUAAGUUCGUAAUAUACGAUCCAAGUAUUAGAGGACGAUUACAAUGCAAAACAACAUGAAAAUUUCGUGCAAACCAAUAUCCUAAAUUAACUUUAUAGCCGAAAUGCAUACACCACAAGAAAAAUAAUUCAGUUCUCGUUAAAAUAGCGGAUGAAUCGUUUCGUCGCGAAAAACUAAAUGCCAAAAAUCGGUGAAUAUAUCUUAAAGCAGGUUCAUGCACUAAUAAGUCUUUUGUGGUUUUCGGAUUAUAAAGUUAAUUAGAAUUGGUUAAAACACGAUAGGCAUCUUGAGCAUUAAAGUCGCUCGGAAAGUCUAACAGAGUAGUAUGAUAGGAAUCGAAUUGAAUAUUGUCAGGGUCAAUGAAACCCAUGGAAAUGUUAAAAUCAAAUAUCGACAUUCGAAAGUCCUUUCCAAGUAGACGAAAACAGAUAAUGUUUUGUGUUUCAACUAUUUGUAAUGCAUUAAUAUUGAAGCUAAAUGUGGUGUAAAACUUAUAUAUUAACUCAUAAAAUGCAUAGCAAGAAAUAUUGGCAAAUGAGCUCCAACCAAUAGCAUCAAAAUAAUUAAUCACAGCAUCAUGAAUAUCUAACAUAUCAAGAGUGGUGAAAUCGAUUUGCUUACAAACCGGGAUUGGACGUUGUCGAAUAUCAUCAUAUCGUGUGCGAUGCUCUGGGGUUGAAAAAUCUAAAAACCCUCGCAAUCGUCCUUCGGUGGGAAUUGUGUUACCACGACCUCGUCUAUUACGCUGACUGUUUCGUGUUGGUCGAACUUAUACGUCGGGCGAGGGGGAAGGAUUUGAAUUUUUAGCAGCAUCAGUACUGCUACUCGGUGGUGUUGAUGGCUCACGUCUUGACUGUCGACGACUUCAAGUAGUCCGUGUUUGGAAUUGACUGACACGUUCAUUCAUGGUCGAAAGAGCGUCGACAUGUUCGUUAAAGGUUUGAGUCUCGUCUACAUGAUAUGUUAGUAAAGGAAAAGGAGGUUGAAGUUCAGUAAUCGACCUUUUGGGAGGAACAGGGUUAUUGUCCAAGUGUUCUGUAUCAACAGGAGUUGGGCUUCAUCGAUGACGAGUUCUCGUGGGUGGGGCCGUUCAUCUAGGAGGAGGUGGAGAAGGUUCAUCGUCGGCUAUAUCGACGAUAGGAGGCACGGAGAAUCAGUGCCGACUUCGAUUGAGUGAUACCAGAAAGUUAUCGGGCCGUUUGGUUUUGAGUUCGAGCCAUUGUGUCUAUAUAGAUGACAAAUAAUCGGCUCUGUCUACUAAGGCAUUGUGGUGGACGACAACGAUAGGCGGCAGCGACAGCAGCGGCGACAACGACAACAGUAUCAACGGCGGCAAUGGUAGGUGGUGCUAUUUCAGUCAAUUUUUUUAAUGGUGAUGGUGGGGGCAUCGGUGUUGGUGUCAAUUAAGGUGGUGGGUGGCGGUUUUGGUGUUUCAAAGAAAAAGAAGAAAAAGAAAGAAAAAAAUAGGGGUCGGGGGAAGAGGAGCGACGGCGCACGGUGGAAGGCUCCAUUCAGCGACGAUGGUGCAUCACAGGUUGGAAGUUGCUGUUCGGUGGUAGUUAGGUGGUAGAGAGGUGUUGGUCGACGUGGAGGAAAGGAAAAGAAGAAAAAGAAAAGAAAAUGGAGGGGUUUGGGUUCGGGUUCGUCAGCGUGAGGUAGGGUGGCGAGGUGCAAUGUCGGCUACGGGGUGCGACGACGGUACUUAGAAAGUGGUAGACGGCCGUCGAAGGGAGUGGCGGCGAUGGACGGCGGUUUGGGGAGUGUUUGGAGGUUGGGUUUUUUUUAUGGAGAAGAAAUUGGGAAAUUAAGGAUUUUGGGUGUUUAAAUUUUUAUUUUUGUUAUUAUUAUGUAUUUGGGUUAUUUUAGGUUGGGUGAGGUAUUUGGGUUAGGUGUUGGUUAUUGGGCCAACCUUGGGUAUUGGGUUUAUGUGCGUAUUGGGUGUGGUUGGUUUGUUUGGGUAGGUGAUUUAAUUGGGUUAGGUUGAUUGAUCGCGUGAUUCGUAACAAGUAAAAAAUAUUUAUAAUGAAGAUCAAACCUAGUCUAACUAAUAUCACGACGAAAAGGCAAGCGCACCUAUCAAACAAUAGUAUAGUAAUGGCAAGACCGGGAUAUCGUACCCAAGGGAACCAAAAGUACUAGUAAAAACUAUCUUUUUAUUAUUUAACCUAAGAAUAGAGAGGUUUUUUUUAAUUAACUAAUUAUCUAAACUAUGAACUCACAGAGAAAAGAAUCGGGGAAUUGCUUUUGGGAAAAUCGAUUGAAUGAAGACAAUACCUAAGGAAAAAUCCACCUAGACUUUACUUGUUAUUCUGGCUCUGAAUCGGAUGAUUUAUUCAUUCAACUUGUUCCAUAGAGAUCCCUAAGUUAUGUUAUUAUCCUUAUUCAAGACUAAUAACGUCUAAUCCCUAGAUUGAAUAACCGAGAUUUUUUUCUAAUUAACACUCUAAGAUUACAUUAACUCGAUCUAUGGAUCCCCUUAUUAGGUUUCAUCCUAAUCCAGUAAAAUCUUGUCACCCUAUUUCUAGGCGCGCAAUUAACUCCGUUUAAUCAUGACAAAUGUACUCUAAGACAGGGUCUAUUCCUCCUCUGAAUAAGAGCGUGUCUUGAAUCAGUAUCCUGGAAUAUCAAAACAAGAAUUAAGAACAUAUAAUUAAGAACAAGUUAAAUAUUUAUCAUACGAUUCAGAAAAUAAUAAGAAGAUUCAUCUUAGGUUUCAUCCCCCUUAGGUAUUUAGGGGUUUAGUUCAUAACUAAAUAAGAAAACAUCUCAGAAGAAUAAAGAAUACAAAACAUAAAGAAAACCCAAAACUCCUGAAGGGAAAUUGAGGAGAGAUCUUCAGUCUUGGUGAUGAAUCGACCUUCCGAGAUGGAUCAAUUGGCUUCCUUGGGGUAAUUCCUUACCCUCAUUCUCCGUCUCCCUUUUCUUCCUCCUCUAGGGUGUAUUUAUAGGCUUUGGAAUGCCAAGAAGCCCUCAAAAUUAGCCUUUUCUAAAUUGGACUCAUCUUGGGUUCAACAGGGACACGCUCAUGGCACACGCCCGUGUUCAAUUAUUUUAGGUCGUGCUCGAGCCUGCCAAAUUGACACGGCCGUGUGGUCUGCCCGUGUGAGGAGGUCCAGGCCGUGUUGAUUAAGUACUUUGGCCCAUUUUCUCUAUUUUUGGCCCGUUUCUCGUUCCUUUCGCCCUCCUAUGCUCUCCUAAGUAUAAAAUAUGAAAUUAGAGCAUUAGGAGCAUCGAAUUCACCAAUUCUAAUGAGAAAUCAUCUCUAAAAUGUAUUAAACAUGGGGUAAAAAUAUGUAUAAUUUAUGGUUUAUCAUUUAUGGAUGUGGGUAUUGGUGGGUGAUUGGGUAGUUUGGUAUUCGGGUUUGGGUUAAGUGGGUUAAGUGAGGUGGAUAUUUAUUGGAUUUUUGGAUUUUUGGAUUUCUGUAUUUUGGUAUGUGGGUAAAUGGGUUUGGGUAGGAAUUUAGUUGAUUUUGGCUUUUUUUCUUCAAUCACCAAAUUAGCAAGUCGUGCCCAUGCCACCAUCAUCGUUCGUCAUCUUGAAAAUUCAUGACCUCUAUAGUGUUCCUGAAAAUAUCAAUUUGAAUUAAAUAAAAAUUUAUUUAUUUACACCCUAAAUUCUACUUAAACUAAAAAAAAUUAGAAUAAAUAAAGAUAAAUUUGGGUUGCCCCCCAAAAAGCGCUUUUUUUAACGUCGUUAGCUCGACGACCUGUGAUAUUAUUCAGCUGGCUCUUCGAGGACUAAUUCCUCAACCAAGUGGACUUGAAAGUUUUCGUAAAAAUGCUUUAAGUGCUGCCUGUUGACUUUGAAAAUUUUUUCAGAUUCUUCACUUUUAACCUCGACUGCACCAUGUGGAAAUACGUAACAAUAAAAGGCCCUAACCACUUAGUCCAAAGCUUACCUGUAAAAAUUCUUAAUGUAGGGUCAUAAAGUAAUACUUUCUGUCCUACCAUAAAUUGUUUGCAGUUUAUCUUUUGGCCAUGGUACGCUUUGACCUUAUCUUUGUAUAUUUGGGCACUCUCAUACGCUUCUCGUCAAAUUUCCUCAAGUUCCUGGAUAUUUAAUUUACGAUGCUUACCUGCAACUUCCAAUUCCAUGUUGUAUAGUUUGACCGCCCAAAACGCCUUAUGUUCUAGCUCAACAGAGAGAUGGCACGGUUUACCAAAAAUUAGUCGAUAAGGAGAUAUACCUAUAGGUCCUUUAUAAGCUGUUCGGUAUGCCCACAAUGCAUCGUUAAGUCGUAAACUCCAGUCUUUCUAAUCCGGCUUAACGGUCUUCUCCAAAAUCAACUUGAUUUCCCGAUUUGACACAUCCGUUUGACUGUUCGAUUGUGGGUGAUAAGCUGUAGCAACUCGAUGCACUACUCCGUACUUUUUCAAGAGCGUAUCAAUCACUUUAUUGCAAAAAUGCGUCCCUCGAUCGCUGAUCAAAGCUCGCGGUGUGCCAAACCUGGAAAAAAUACAACUUUUUAGAAAAUCGACUACUGUUUUGGCAUCAGCACAACGAGUGGCUUUCGCUUCUAACAAUUUUGACACAUAGUCAACAGCAAGUAAAAUAUAAACAUUAUCGAACGAUGAGACAAAAGGGCCCAUAAAAUCAAUGCCCCAUAUAUUGAAAAUUUUACAAGCAUGUACAGGGUUUAGAGGCAUUUCAUUUUUUCAGCUCAAGUUUCCUACCUUUUGACACUUUUCGCAGGUUUUACAAAAUAGAAUGCGUCACGAAAAAUAUUUUUCCAAUAUAGUCCAUAUUCAAGUACUUUAUUCGCAAUUUGUUUGGGGCCAGAAUGUCCACCACAUGCAUAAGAAUGACAAAAGGAUAGAAUUGAUUUUACCUCAGUUUCAGGAAUGCAUCGGCAAAUUACCUGGUCAGAAUAGUACUUCUAAAGAUAUGGGUCGACCCAAAUAUAGUAUUGAGACUCACGUUUGAUCCUGUCUUUUUCAGAUUGCGAUAGGUUAGGAGAGACUAUACCUGUAGCAAGGUAGUUCACUAUGUCCACAUACCAUGGAAAAAUCGUCUGGGCAGCAAGCAAGUUUUCAUCCGGAAAAUCAUCUUUAAGUGAUGUUACAUCUUUUGAUGGAGGAAUUCGACUCAGAUGGUCAACGAUCAGAUUUUCACGUCCUUUUAUAUCUUUCAUUUCGAGAUCGAAUUCUUGCAGAAUUAGUAUCCACCUUAUAAGUCUCAGUUUUGCUUCCUUCUUCCGGAUCAAAUAUUUGAGGGCUGCAUAAUAAGAAAAAACGACAAUCUUAGUUCCUAAUAAAUAUGAACGAAAUUUUUCUAAGUCAAAGACUAUAGCUAGAAACUCUUUUUCAGUGGUUGAAUAAUUGAUUUGGGUAGCGUCCAAAGUUUUAGAGGCAUAGGAGAUGACGUGUGGUUCUUUCUCGAUCCUUUGUCCAAGGACUGCUCCCACGCUAUGGUCACUAGCAUCAUACAUUAUCUUGAAAGGAUAACUCCAAUACAGUGGUUGAACAAUAGGUGCCGAAACGAGCUUAUGUUUGAGCGUGUCAAACGCUUCUCUGCAUGACUGGUCAAACUCGAAUUCCUUGUCCUUCUGUAAUAGGUUGCAAAGGGGUUGCGCAAUUUUCGAAAAGUCCUUAAUGAACUGCCUGUAGAAACAUGCACGUCCAAGGAAAGGUUGAAUCUACCUCACAGUAGUGGGGUAUUGUAGUGAGUUAAUAAUGUCGAUUUUUUGCUUUAUCGACAGAAAUUCCCUCUGCAGAAAUAAUAUGACCUAGAACUAAUCCCUUGUCUACCAUAAAAUGGCAUUUCUCAUAAUUUAAAACAAGAUUAAAUUCUAAGCAUCUUUCCAAAAUUUUUGCAAGGUUAGUCAGACAUACCUUUAAGGACUCACCAUAUACAGUAAAGUCGUCCAUGAACACCUUGAUAAUUUUCUCAACGUAGUCUGAAAAUAUACUUGCCAUGCAUCUCUGAAAAGUGGCUAGUGCGUUACACAGUCUGAACGGUAUCCGUCUGUAAGCGAAUGUGCCAAAUGGGCACGUAACGUCGUCUUCUCCUAAUCCUCCGAUGCCACUGGAAUCUGGAAAAACCCAGAGUAACCAUCAAGACAACAAUUGUGAGACUUUCCAGCUAAACGUUCUAACAUCUGGUUAAUAAAAGGAAGUGGGAAGUGAUCUUUCUAAGUUAAGGAAUUCAACUUCCUGUAAUCGAUGUAGACUCUCCACUUAUUUUGGACCUGAGUGGGAACCAUCUCACCUACCGAAUUCUCAAUUACAGUCACACCAGUCUUUUUUGGUACUACGUGUACUGGGCUAACCCAACUACUAUCGGAAAUGGGAUAGAUCAUCCCGGCAUCAAGUAGCUUUUGGACUUCUUUUUUUAACACUUCUAUCAUAGGCGGGUUGAGACGCCUUUGAGCCUCUCUUUUGGGAACAGCAUUAUCGAUAACCUGCAUUUUGUGCAUGCAAGUCGAUGGACUCAAUCCCUUGAUGUCGACUAUUGUCCAUCCAAUUACCUCUUUAUAGUCCCUAAGGACUUGUACCAAGUUUUCUUCUUCUACCUUCGAGAGUUUACUCGAGAUUAUCACCGGUAGUGAAUUUCUUUCACCGAGAAAAGCAUACUUCAAGUGGCUUGGGAGUGGUUUGAGUUCUAACUCCGGAGCCUGCAAAAUAGAUGGUACGAGCUUAGUCUGUGAGGGAGAUAAUUCAAAGGUUUUACCUGAAGCUUUCCGAAGUUGUGAUGCCUCCAUAUGAGCUACUGUUUCGUGAACAGAAUCUUCAAUGGUUAUCCACUCCUCAAGUUCCUUAAUGGCAUCAAAGUCCAAACUUCUUCAAAGGACAGUUUGCAAUUCAUCCUUGUCAUGAUAUUCCAAAUAUAACUCAGUUAAAGGAUCAAUAAUAUCAAUAUUAGAAACAUUAGAAAUCAUGCUAGGACGGUUCAUGGCCUCGUAGACAUUGAAUUUUAAUAAUUCCCCAUCGAACUCCAUAGUGAGUAUCCCACUUCUUACAUCAAUCUUCGUUUGUGCGGUACUCAAAAAUGGUCUACCAAUAAGUAUGUUUGAUGCAUUGGCCGAAUUGUCAUCCUCCAUGUCGAUAAUGUAGAAGUCUGUAGGAAAUAUUAGCUCGUUUACCUUGACAAGAACGUCCUCUAAUACUCCCUCCGGAUGCACCACAGAUCUAUCUGCAAGCUGGAUUAUCACGCCUGUUUCCUUUAAAGGACCCGCGUUAAGUAGUUUAUAAAUUGACAAAGGCAUAACAUUAAUUGAUGUGCCUAGGUCACACAUUGCUUUUUUAAUACCAACGCUACCUAUUUUACAGGAUAUGGGAAACAUACCUUGGUCUUUAUAUUUGGGCGGUAUUUUUUGUUACAGAAUGGCAGAGACAUUUUCUCCGACACUUACCUUUUCAUUUCCCAAAAGUUUCCUUUUCGUGUAUAACUCUUUCAGGAACUUCGUGUAUCAUGGGAUUUGCUUAAUUGCAUCGAGAAGAGGUAUGUUGAUUUUCACCUUUUGGAAGGUGUCGAGGAUCUCAUUCUCGUCUCGCUCCUUACAUUGGACAAGUUGUCUGGGAAACGAAGGUGGUACUGCAAAUGACUUUUGUGGUACCGACUCCAUUGGAGCCUCUGUGCCAAGUUUCUCCUUAUCUUGACUAGCGUUGUGGGCGUAACUAGUGUCGUGGCCACGACUUGUGUCAUGUACGGGCUCCAAAACCUUCUCACUCCUUAGCGUCAUAGUGCUUGCAUUGUGUCGUGGAUUUGGCUCAGUCUGGGAUGGCAGCUUACCUUGGGACUCGGCUAACCGUGAGCGCUAGUUUGCUCACUUGCCUGUCCAACUCCUGCAAAUGCAUGUCAGUUUUUUUUUGGAACUUCUCAGUACUGUUGGCUAGCCAUUCCACUAUGGUUUCCAAAGAUGACUUUGGGGGUGGUAUCUGUUGAUUCUACGACGGCCUUUGUUGGAAUGGUUGAUUGAACCGCGGAUUUGUCCCAUAGCUAAGAUUCGGGUGAUCCUUCCACCCCACAUUAUACGAGCUCGAGUAGGGGUCAUACUGUCUUUGGGGUGGUCCUGGGAAGUUCCCAACAGCAUUCGCUUGUUCUGCCGAACCCUUUUGUAAAAUUGGACAUGAGUCAAUCGAGUGGUCUAGCUUGGCGCAAAUUCCGCAUAACCGUGCUGGGCCUGUUUUAUCUAAAAGAAAAGUUUGAACAACAUUAGUCAACUUGUCAAUUUUAUCUUCUAGAGAUAGAGAAUUUAAUCCAUGAACCUCGUGGGUUCUGUAACCGAUCAGAAUUGUUGAAAGUUGGCAGCCAUGGUUGAAAUCAACUCUCUCGCUCUGUGAGGUGCCAUGUUAACAAGUGCCCCCCACUUGCAGCAUCUAUCAUUUUCAUUUCCAUCGAGAGUAAACCCUCAUAAAAAUACUGCAAGAGUGACUGCUCAGCGAGUCCAUGUUAUAGGCAGCUUGCACACAACUUUUUAUAUCGCUCCUAGUAAUCAUAGAGCGACUCAGUGUCUUUCUGACGGGUUCUUACGAUAUCCCUCCUUAGUUCGGCCGCUCGGGCUGCAGGGAAGAACCUAUCAAGAAACAAAUAAGACAUGUCAUACCAUGUGUUGAUAGAUCCCGGAGGCAAAUAAAAUAGCCACUCUCUAGUAGAGUCGGCUAAUGAGAAUGGAAAAGCUUGAAGUUUGAUUUGGUCUUCUGUUACUCCCUGAGGCUUCAUGCUUGUGCAGACCAUAUGGAACUCCUUAAGAUGGGUGUGCAGAUUUUCGUUUUCUAGUCCACGAAAAGUGGGUAGUAAGUGGAUCAAACCCGACUUUAGUUCGAACAACAUUCCUCCUAUCGGAUAGGUUAUACAUAAAGGCUAUUGUUCAUCUGGUGCCGCUGCGAGCUGGCGUAUAGUUUGUUCAGCCAUCUCGUCUAGUUCGUCAAAAAAUUCUUCGGUGUAAGAUAUAGUUUCAAAUUCACGAUUUGGCCGUUUACCACGUCGUAUGGCUUAUAUUCGUAGUUGUCGAGCCAAUUUCUCAAUUUUUGGCUCAAACUCUAGAUUUCCCGGUUCUGAUCUGGUCAUAAGGUAGACAAGCAAAAGUUAGAAAAUAUCUCCAAUCACCAGCAACGACGCCAAAAUUUGAUGGGUGUCGAAUCCACCAAAUAUAAUUCCUACUAAAUACUUUGAAUAGUAGUAAUGGUAGUAGGGUCGAGUCCACAGGGAUUGGUACUCUAAUCAACUUUCAAGUUUGGCUUAUGAACAGAAUGUCGUGUCAAGGGUCGUGGCUAGAGUCGUGCCUACGACUCAAAACGUACUAGCUGUAAAAUAAGUAAAUAAAUAAGUAAAGCGGGAGAUUUUGAAAUUGAUUAGAAAUUAAAUAAUCAAAACUGCUAAGAUAAAUAAUUAAAUAAAUCAAAAAUUAAAUUGGGAUUUGCAAUCAAAUGUAAUGAGCCUUAGCCUUAGGCUCGGUAAAUUCCGUGUUGAGAAUCCAUCCUCGAAAAUUGAUCUUCUUGUUUGUAUGAUAAGCUAGUUAUAAUGGUUAAGAACGUCCUAACCACCUAUUCUUCCUCUCGUAGCUGGUCCCGGUACGACCUGCAAACCAACCCUUACCAAUUAUCUAACCGAGAUACACGUGUUCCAGAUUUAAGAUUCCGGUAGCCUUGCGUUCUGUAGAACCCAGCUCAAAUUAACGGCUUCAGCCGCAUGGGUCGUUUAAACCCGAUCACCUCUUCCUCAAUUUGUUCUUAGAGAUCUAAAUACAGCAGGGCCGAUUCGUUUCUCCAACUGUCAGAAAACACGACUCCAACCCAACGAGCUCUUUUUGACUUGAAAUCGAAUUAUCCUUAAGGGAUGAGUUGUCAGUCCCAAUACUUAGGAAAUAGGUGAAUACCUAUUGGAAGGAUUUUAGGCGCGAGUACGAAUCUCAAAAUUCUCGACCGGAAAGAACACCGGCCUAAAGCUAAGAUGGAAUUUAGUGGAACAUGAAUUUAUUCAUGUUUGAAAGUUGUGGAAAAUGAUGGAUUUAUAUGGCAGGUGAUGGAAAUUGAAAAGGAAAAGUACUUGGAAGGUAAUUAGCCCGAUUUGACAAAAGAAACAAAACCAAAUGAAAAAGUGGCAGAAUGCUAAACUUUAAUUUGAAAAGGGAAAAUGAGAGUAUUUCUAUUUUAAAUAGAAGUAGGAAUACAAAGACAAAUAGAUGAUUUUCUAAAAACUAAAAGCCCCUAUUUAUAUACAUAGGGUUUACCAAAAAUAGGCUAAAGCUAAAUUAAUAAAAUAAAUAAUAAAUAAUAAAAUAAAAUAAUAUCUUCUAUUUUUAGCUUUUUACAAAGUCAAAAUUGAUGUUAAAUCCUUGGCUUUCCCAUCUUUAUGAUUUGGCCCCAACUCAACGAUCUGUCUUUCAAUUUGAUCCAUUUUUUCUUAUUUUUGACCAAUUGCAUCCCUGACAAGAUUAAUCCAUAAAAACACCAAUUAAGUAGGGAUUAAUUCAGAAAUAAGCCAAAUUAAACACAAGAAUCAUGUAAAUUAACAUGGUUAUCAACUCCCCCUACUUAGCUCAUGCUUGCCCUCAAGCAUGUUUGUUCUUUCAAACAUUAAAUUUGUUCUACAAUUUAUUAAAAAUCGAGCCUCUUUUCGCAUACAUAAUCAAUGUAAACAACAGCGGGCAAAAAUAAAUAAACGCUCAAGAUAUAAUGUUUAAUCAACAAAUGUCAUAAAAUUGAAACAUGUGGACUAAAUAAUUUCACUAAAUUGAGUUUGAAUCCAAUAAAAUGAAAGGCAUUAUUUAAAUAACUAUGCAUUAGAAAAAAAUAUUGACGUGGUCAAACCUUUUUACGCGAACUAGGAUGACAACCUAAGCGCCCUAUCCCCGUUAGUCAGUUUAAACCGUCUUAAAUUUUAUUUAUUUAUUUAUUUAUUAUUUAUAUAUAUGUUUUUUUAUAUAUAUAAUAAAGCUCAGUUAGCGGAAUGUUUAUAAGUUAUCGACUUAUCACUCGAACCUUUUUACGCGAGAUAAGAUGACAACCCAAGCACCUUACCCCGGUUACUCAAUCCGGUCACGUUUUCGAAACUUCACUCAUAACUUGAACCUUUAUUUUUCACUUAUUUAUUAAUGCACAAGGAAAUAUAAUUUUCCAAACAAUCAAUUUAUACGGAAAAAAUCAAGCUACAUAUAUCAAUUUUAAGACACAAAUGUUGACUGACCUAUAUACUUGAACAUUUUAAUUCAAAUUUUGCUCAAUUGUCCAAACUAACUAAGUAUGGGAUUAAAGGCUCAAUGUUAAAUAAAUUGUUGAAUGAACUUACUGUAAGAUUGAACACAUGCAGUUGAUAAACAUGUUAAUUUACAUGAUUCUUGUGUUUAAUUUGGCUCAUUUCUGAAUUAAUCCCUGCUUAAUUGGUGUUUUUAUGGAUUAAUCUUGUCAGGGAUGCAAUUGGUCAAAAACGAGCAAAAAGGGGUCAAAUUGAAAGACAGAUCGUUGAGUUGGGCCCAAAUCAUAAAGAUGGGAAAGCCAAGGAUUUAACAUCAAUUUUGACUUUGUAAAAAGCUAAAAAUAGAAGAUAUUAUUUUAUUAUUUAUUAUUUAUUAUUUAUUUUAUUAAUUUAGCUUUAGGCUAUUUUUAGUAAACCCUAUGUAUAUAAAUAGGGGCUUUUAGUUCUUAGAAAAUCAUCCCUUGUUUUACAUUCCUAUUUCAAUUUGGAAUUGAAUUACUCUCUCUCUCUUGUAUUUCCUUCUUCAAUUUGGAAUUGGAAUAUGAUUUUUUUUCUCUUCAAUUUGACGUUACAUUUUGUAGCAUUGUCCCUAAUUUUUGUUUAUUUUCCAUAAUUGGGUCAAUUGCUCUCCAAGUCCUUUCUAUUCAUUUCUUCACCAUAAUCAUCAAUCUCCUUUCCAAGCUCACAAAGCAUGAACAAUUUCAUGCUUAACUAAAUUCUAUCUUAGCUUUAGGUCAGUUUUCUUUUCGGUCGAGAAUCGUGAGAUUUGUACUCGUGCUUAAAAUCCUUCUAAUUGGUAUUCACCUUUUUUCUAGGCAUCGAGAUUGACAACUCGUCCCUUAAGGAUAAUUCGAUUUCAAGUCAAAAAGAGCUAGUUGGGUUGGAGUCGUGUUUUCUGACAGUUGGAGAAAUGAAUUGGCCGUGCUGUAUUUGGAUCUCCGAGAACAAAUCAAGGAAGAGCUGAUCUGGUUUAAACGACCCACGCGGUUCAGGCUGUUAAUUCGAGUUGGGUUCUUCAGAACGUAAGGCUGCUGGAAUCUUGAAUCGGGAACAUGUGUAUCUCGGUUAGAUAAUCGGUAAGGGUUGGUUUGCAGGUCGUACCGGGACCAGCUACGAAAGGAAGAAUUGGUGGUUAAGACGUUCUCAACCACUAUAAUCAGCUUAUCGUUUGAAAGAGAAGAUCAAUUUUCGAGGAUGGAUUCUAAACACGGAAUUUACCAAGUCUAAGGCUAAGGCUUAUUACAUUUGAUUGCAAAUCCCAAUUUAAUUUCUGAUUUAUUUAAUUAUUUAUCUUAGUAGUUGUGAUUAUUUAAUUUCUAUUCAAUUUCAAAAUCCCCGCUUUACUUAUUUAUUUGCUUAUUUUUCAACUGGUACGUUUUGAGUCGUGGGCACGACUCUAGCCACGACCCUUAACACGACAUUCUGUUCAUAAGCCAAACUCAAAAGUUGAUUAGAGUACCAAUCCUUGUGGACUCGACCCUAUUACCACUCUUACUACUAUUCAAAGUAUUCAGUAGGAAUUAUAGUUGGUGGAUUCGACGCCUAUCAGAAUGUAACCUAAGACAGAUCUUGUUAUUAUUAUAUGAAUUGUAUCAUAAAUAUUUGACUUAUUCUUAAUUAUGUGUUCUUAAUUCUUGUUUUGAUAUUCUAGGAUAUUGACUCAAGUUAAGCUCUUAUUCAAAGGAGGAAUAGACCCUGUCUAAGUGUACAUUUGUCAAAAUUAAGUAGAGUUGGUUGCAAGCCUAGAGAUAGGGUGCCAAGAUUUUGCCAGAUUAGGGUGAAACCUAAUAAGGGGAUCCAUAGAUCGAGUUAAUGCAACCCUAGGGAGUUAAUUAGAAAGAGAUUUCAAUUAUUCAACCUAGGGUUAGACGUUGUUAGUCUCGAGAAGGAUAAUAAUAUAACUUAGGGAUUUCUACGAAUCAAGUCAAAUGAAUAAAUUGUCCGAUUCAGAGUCAAAUAACAAGUGAAGUCUAGGUGGAUUUUUCCUUAGGUAUUGUCUUAAUUCAAUCGUCUUUCCAAAAGUAAUCCCCCAAUUCUAUUUUCUGUGAAUUCUUAGUCUAGUUAAUUAGUUAGUUAAAACAAACCCCAUUAUUCCUAGGCUAGAUAAUAAAAAGACAGUCAUUACUAGUACUUUUAGUUCAUUUGGGUUCGACAAUCCGGUCUUGCUAAAACUAUACUACUGUUCGAUAGGUACACUUGUCUUUAUCGUGAUAAUAGUUAGUUUCAAGAACAAUUCAUUAUAAAUUUAUAAAACUUACCGCACCAAAUCACGAUCAAGUUUUUGGCGCCGUUGCCGGGGAACUAAGAUAUUAGGGACACUCGAUUUUUAUUACUUUAACCAUUUACUUUUACUGUAUUUUAAAACUAUUCCUAAUUUUUAUUACUAAUUCUUCUUUUUCCCUUUUUUCUGGGAGGUUCUUAUAGUUUAUGACUAGAAGAAACCCGUCAGGACCAUUACUUUUUGAUAGUGAGAUCGAUCGCACAGUUCGCAGAAACCAAAGAGAAAUAAGGCGAAGCUUAAGAUACGCAGAUAACGAACAAGAGGACGAUAUUCAAACCCCAACCGAAGAGAUGACUGAAAAUCAAGAAAUCCGCUACCUCCUGCAAUUACUGUUAAUCAGAAUCCUGCUCCACGCACUAUGUAUGAUUAUGCUAAACCUAAUUUAAUAGGAACUGAGUCAAGUAUAGUUAGACCUGCUAUUGCUGCAAAUAAUUUUGAACUAAAACCUAACACCACCAUUCCAAUGAUACAACAGUUUUUUCAGUUUGAUGGUUUGCAGGACGCGGAUCCCAACGCUCACUUGGCAAAUUUCCUAGAAUUUUGCGAUACCUUUAAAAUUAAUGACGUUUCUGAUGACGCCAUUCGUCUUCGGUUGUUUCCCUUUUUGUUAAGGAACAAGGCUAAACAGUGGUUGAACUCGUUACCACGAGUGUCAAUCACUACUUGGGAACAAAUGACCGAAAAUUUUUUAUUAAAAUAUUUUCCACCAGCUAAAAUAGCCAAGUUACGUAAUGAUAUCUCUUCUUUUGUGCAGAUGGAUUUAGAAAAACUCUACGAUGCAUGGGAAAGAUACAAGGACCUUUUGAGAAGGUGCCCUCACCAUGGGUUACUGCUUUGGCUACAGGUUCAAACGUUUCAUAAUGGCCUGAAUCCUUCGACUCGGCAGAUGAUUGAUGCAGCCGUUGGAGGAACUAUCAAUAAUAAGACACCUGAGGUGGCUUACAAAUUUAUUGAGGAGAUGUCACUGAAUAACUAUUAAUGGCAAGUUAUGAGAACAAAACCGACGAAAGAAGCCAGUGUUUUCAACCUCGACGCGGUUACUAUGCUAUCUAACCAAGUAGAACUCUUAAAUAAAAAGAUUGACGGUUUGUGUGGUUCUACUAAGGUACAUCCAGUGAUGAGGCGCGACUCGAAUAGAGGAUAAGCAUGCAUGGAAUAUCAACCCUUCAACCCUAGAAUCGAGGAGGAACAAAUCCAAUAUAUGGGUAACAAUAAAUCUAGAUCUCAAAAUAACCCAUAUAGUAACACUUAUAAUACAGGUUGGAGGAACCAACCCAAUUUCUCGUGGGGCGGUCAAGGAAAUCAAAGGCCACAACACCCUUCGGGUUUUCAACAACCACCUUACCAGCAACAAAAGAAGCCGAACCUUGAGGAGAUGCUAACCAAAUUCAUUUCGGUGUCAGAAACCCGUUUUCAAAAUACCAAGACAGCACUUAAGAAUCAACAAGCAUCGAUCCAAGGGCUCGAAACUCAGAUUGGACAGCUUGGCGAGUUGAUUUCUGAACGACCACAAGGUAGCUUGCCAAGCAACACAGAAUCUAAACCAAGGGAGCAACUCAACGCAAUUACUAGUCAAGAUGAGGAAGGGUUAGUCACACUUGAACCAGAACCAAGGCAAGAAAUUGAUAUAAGCAAAGGCAAAUGUGAGGUAGACCACAAUGAGCAGAAAUCGGUAAGUACAGAAUACAAACCUCGUGUGCCAUACCCUAAUGCGAUAAGGAAAGACCGCUCAGAUGAACAAUUUGGUAAAUUCUUUAAACUCGUAAAAAAAUUACAUAUUAACUUACCAUUUAUUGAAGCUCUAUCGCAAAUGCCAAAUGCAAUGAAAUUUUUAAAGGAGCUUUUAGUAAAUAAGUGAAAGUUGGACGAGGCUUCUCAUGUGAAGCUAAACGCAGUUUGUUCAGCUAUUCUACAGAAUAAACUACCCAACAAACUAAAAGAUCCAGGGAGUUUUACGAUUCCUUGCUUAAUUGGUAAUUUAGAUGUUAAGAAUGCAUUAGCUGAUUUAGGGGCUAGUAUUAACGUCAUGCCCUACAAACUGUUUAAACAAUUAGGUCUUGGGAAACCCAAACAGACUAGGAUGAGCAUUCAAUUAGCAGAUAAAAAUAUAAGAUUUCCUAGGGGCAUUAUUGAAGAUGUGCUAGUUAAAAUAGAUAAAUUUAUAUUUCCCGUUGACUUCAUUGUUCUAGACAUAGAAGAGGAUAGCAACACUCCUUUGAUUUUAAGAAGGCAUUUCUUACCAACUGCUAGAACAAUUACUGAUGUUGGCACAGGUGAGCUCACACUUCGUGUGGGAGACGAAACAAUCACCCUUCAAGCUCGCAAUUCUGGCAACACAUCAAAAAUUGAAGGUGAUUGUCUAAACCAUUCUACUAAAACUGACAAUAUGGUGCAACCUACUUUGCAGGAGAUGAGUUUGAAGGAAGUACAUGAGCCAUUUUCAAGCAAUAGUAGAGGACCUAUUCAAGAAGAACGAAGGCUACAAAUUGAGGAGCUAGAUGAAUGGCGAACACAUAAAUCGAGAACACACGAUAAACCAAAACUACGCCAAAACAAGCUCAAUACCUUUCCAAAUCAACUUAAGGUUGGAGAUAAAGUUUUAUUAGAUGCCGCAGAUCCUCACAUUAUAACUGCCAAACCGAAUGAAGAAAUCCCUCUUACGGUACUUAGCAUUUUCUCAUUUGGUACAGUCAAGGUAAAUUAUCCCAAGUUUGGCACUUUUAAGGUAAACAAUACCCGCCUAAAACCUUAUUUUGAUGAGAUUCACAGCAGGAAUGAGGAGUGUAAACUCCUCGAACCACCAAGACCAUUAAAUGGAAAGGUAAGUUGAGCUUAGACUAUAAAUAAGCGCUUCUCGGGAGGCAACCCGAGCACUAACAAUAUUACUUUCUUUAAAUUUUAGUUUUUAAAAUCUAAAACUUUCUUUAAAUUUUAGUUUUUAAAAUCUAACAUACUAACCAAAUCAUUGAGCACAGGCUUUUCAGAACCACACGGCUAGGCACACAGGCGUGCCGUAGGCCGUACACAUACCAUGGUAUGCAAUAUGGCCGUGCGAUAUGGCCGUGUGAAAACAAGGCAAAAAUUUCUUCCCCAACACAGGAUGCGAUAAGUAGCCACGACCGUGGGCGGAAUUGUCAAAAUAACACGGGCGUGCAACACGCCCGUGUUUUGAAACUGUGGGUAAACCUAUCAAUUUAACAUGGGCGUGCGCCUGCCUACACGGGCGUGGGAGAAGCGAACAGAGAUCGACACGGCCGUGCAACAUGGCCGUGUAAACCAAUGCGCCUAAUUUCGAAAAUCAGAAAGAGCUCCAAAGCUCAUCCCCGCAUAGAAACUAAAAACUCCAACGGGAAAGGUUCUCCAUGACUGCCUUGUCCUGUUUAACCAUGACCAUAGCUACCACUAGAUAUAAUAUUCUUUUGGCGCAGGACUUAUGGACUAAUGAACCUCUACCACCACCAGAGUAUCCUCCACCACCCUCACGCCGAUUAUUCUCCAAAACUCCAGUUCAAGGAAAUUCAUUCAUCACUCAGGAAGUUUCACUUCUCUCCCUAUCUUAUUUUUAUAUUCUUUUCUAAAUAUCUGUUUUUGUACAUUGAGGGCAAUGUACAUCUUAAGUGUGGGGGGUAUUCAUUUCACUAUCAGAAAAAUCCCUGAAUGAUUGUCUUCUUCUCUUGAAAAGCUCUCAUAUCAUGUUUAGGAUAAAUUUUGAUUGAUUUAUGACUUCUAUUGAUAUAUCUUGAAUUAAAACAUAGGCAUUUAUGCAUUGAUUGUUUAAACUUUAAGACAUUAGGGAAUCAAGCAUGAUAAGUUGAUUUUUGAAGAAUUAAAAACUUCUAGGUUGUUUCCCUAAGCUUAGAUAUUAUCUUGAGUUGGAAUUCACAAGUUUAAACAUCAAAAAGCCAUAAUUUUUAUGAGAUCUUAAGCCUUUAGAGCAUAUAUUAUUUCUUUCAUGCUCACUUUCAUUAUGAGUGCGUCAGUCUUGAAUUGUUAUUCUAGAACUUGCUUGAUUAUGCAUGUCAGGAUCACACCAUUUGAUUUGAUAUGUCAAAAUGAUAAAUGCACUUAGGUUUAACCCACUCAUUCCAUAAAAGCACACCUUCAAAAUUAACCCUUAGUGAACCCCCCUUGAGCCUAACAACCCAUUCAUUAAUUUACCCUCAAUAUUAACCCAUAACUCAUUAUUGUUGAAAUCCCCUAAAUUAAUUUGAUUUGAUCCCUAUUUUUAGUCGAGAUUUGAGCUGAAUAGUUGCUUAGUUAUGUUUUAUUCUAUUUUGUAAUUUACUUGUUCUUAAAAAAAAUGUAUACAUAUUAGUAGUAGUGAUCUUCUGAGCUAAAGAAGUUAAAUUCCAUAUUCUGAGAAAAAGCUUUGUUGCACGCAUUGUUAACUAGUCAUUUUUCUAGUUAGGCAAUUUUUCAAUUCAAUCUCGAUUCUAACCCUUUCUUUCAGUUUGUGACCACAACCUCUAACCAAAGCCACAUUACAACCCUCUAAAGACCUUUUGAUUGAUGUUCAUCUCAAUUUAUUGUGGUAGAGAUUUGAUUUUCAUACAAGCCUAAGGUAAUGGCUUUUCAUUAUUGACUAUUGAGUGCUUCAUUUUAUUGUCCUUAAACACCUCGAGUGUUUAAGUGAAUCUUAAGUGAGAAUGUGAAACUCUGUGAUAUUUGAAUCAAAGGUAAUUACUUAAAUGAGGGGAGACACCUAUGAUUUCAUGAUAAAAUGCUCAGCUUGGAAUGUUUGAAACUUUGAUGUUCUUUCAGUUGAAUUUUCAAUGUAUGAUUACCUAUGGAUUAUUUUGAGAUAUUAUCGAUAGAAAUUAUAAGUUAAGAAGAAUAUAUUUUGAUCAUGAGUUGAGAAUUUUGCUUGAGGACAAGCAAAUGCUUAAGUGUGGGUGUAUUUAAUAAACCGUAAUUUAUACAUAUUUCUAUCCCAUGCUUAGCAUAUUUUAUGGAUGAUUUUUCCUUAAAAUUGGUGAAUUCGAUGCUCCUACUGCCUUAAUUUCAUGUUUUAUACUCAGGUGAGCAUAGGAGAGUAAAAGGAACAAGAAAUAGGCCAAAAACAGAGAAAAUGGGCCAACAUACGAAAUCAACACAGCCUGGACCUCCUCUCACGAGCAGACCACACGGCCGUGCCUAUUUAACAGGCUUAACCACGGCCUUAAGUAAUCGCACACGGACGUGUCACACAGGCGUGUCCCUGCCGAGCCCAAGUUUAGUCCAAUUCAGAAAAGGCCAAUUUUGAGGGUUCUUAGGCAUUCUAAAGCCUAUAAAUACACCCUAGAGGAGGAGGAAAAGAGGACACACAGAGAAGGAAGUAGGGAAACGCUCAAGGAAAGCAUAUUGAUUCAUCUUAGAAGCCAGAUCCAUCAUCAAGAUUGAAGAUCUCCCCUCAAUUUUCCUUCAGGUGUUUCAGGUUUUCCUUUAUGUUUUGUAUUCAUUAUUCUUCUGAAUUGUAUGAUAAAUAUUUUACUUGUUCUUAAUUAAGUGUUCUUAAUUCUUGUUUUGAUAUUCCAGGAUAUUGACUCAAGUUAAGCUCUUAUUCAGAGGAGGAAUAGACCCUGUCUAAGAGUACAUUUGUCAUAAUUAAGCACAGUUGGUUGCGCACCUAGAGAUAGGGUGACAAGAUUUUGCCGGAUUAGGGUGAAACCUAAUAAGGGGAUCCAUAGAUCGAGUUAAUGCAACCCCAGGGAGUUAAUUAGAAAGAGAUUUCAAUUAUUCAACCUAGGGUUAGACGUUGUUAGUCUCGAGAGGGAUAAUAAUAUAACUUAAGGAUUUCUACGGAUCAAGUCAAAUGAAUAAAUCGUUCGAUUCAGAGUCAAAUAAUAAGUGAAGUCUAGGUGGAUUUUUCUUUAGGUAUUCUCUUAAUUCAAUCGUUUUUCCAAAAGUAGUCCUCCAAUUCUAUUUUCUAUGAAUUCUUAGUUUAGUUAAUUAGUUAGUUAAAACAAACCCCAUUAUUCCUAGGCUAGAUAAUAAAAAGACAGUCAUUACUAGUACUUUUAGUUCCUUUGGGUUCGACAAUCCGUUCUUGCUAAAACUAUACUACUGUUCGAUAGGUACACUUGCCUUCAUCGUGAUAAUAAUUAGUUUCAAGAACGAUUCAUUAUAAAUUUAUAAAACUUAUCGCACCAAAUCACGAUCAUAGGCCGUAUGGUUAAUUAAAAUAUUCAAAACUAAGUGCAGGUUUCACACGGCCAAGACUUACGCCCGUGUUUUAAGCCGUGUAGCACACAUGGCUGAGACACACAAUCGUUUCUCUGCCCGUGUGCUCAAUUCUGAGAUUCUAUUUGUUAAAUUUUAAGAUGCAGGGGACACACGGUCAAACCACAUGCCCAUGUGCCAGGCCGUAUAUCACAAAUGGUCAAGACACACGCCCGUAUGUCCACCCGUAUGUACAAAAUAAAUCCAUUUCCUAGCUUUAUUUCUAACCCAAAUUUGCCAAUAACCUACACCAGCACUUACAAGUAUAUACCAGCCAAUCCAAGCAUUAUAACCAAACAAAUUUUAACAUCUAACAUGGUAUUUUAACAUCCAAGUAUAUUCAUUUAGCAUAACUCAAUCAAUCCAUAAUAUAUACUCAUGAUAUUGCCAUAGGACAACCUCAUUAGAUAUACCAAAACAUAACCAUUACUAGCCAUUCUAGUGGCUAGAUUACAAACAACAUUUAUAAGUCAACAAUGGCGAAGUUACCUAUACAUGCCAUUAUAUCAAAAUGAGGUUGCUAUUUACACCAAAACAAGCUAAUGGAUAGUGUGAUGAUACGCCAACCGAUCUCCAACCUUCACGAGCUUCCGAGAAUUGUAAAACAAAGAAAAUAAAACCUAGUAAGCAUUAUAUGCUUAGUAAGUUCGUAUAACAGGAAUUAAACUUACCAAUCUCAUUUAUUAAAGUUAAACAUACAAUAACAUGUUUUUCCAUCAACUUGGCAAAUUGCCUAAACACAUACACUCAAUUAAAUAAGUUAGUUACAUAAGUCUAAUGUAUAUCAAAUAGCAUAGAUGAGCUCAUCAUAAAACAAUUCAUUAAAUUACUCAGAAUCAUUCAAAAUAUAAAUUUGAUAUAUCUUAUCACUUUCUAUUGUCAAGAGUUUUAUCUGUUGAAUUAACGAAAUAUAGAUGAAUAAUCUGUAAACCGUCAAUUCUUUUUCAGGGAGCAUACUCUCGAGCUAGAUGUCAAGAUACUCAAACGAGCCAUGUAAUCAUUUAACAAGACACUUAUCCGAGCUAAUCAGGAAACUCAUAAGAGUUUUUACUCAGGAAGCUCAUAAAGCCUUUUAGAUAUCUCUAAAGAGAUAAUAUCAGGGAGCUUCGGAUAAGGUAACAGAGAUUUCCAGUGAGCUUAACAGGGCACUCAUGAAGAGCGGUGUUUGUGUCCGCAUUAAAUGCAAGAUCACAACCGAUCGCAUGUUAGGAUGCUCACAAAGAGCUGUGGUAGUGUGCAACACAUACUAAACCACUACCAAUUAGGAUGCUUGCAAGAACUAUAUAAAAGGAUGCUCGAGAGUCUAUAUCGGGAUUACUCGUCCAAGCUAAAUCCCUUUUAUAACAUAUGCAGAAUCACAUUCAUAGACGGGAAAGCACAUGUAUCCAUCGACUUUCAUUAUUCCAACGAAACUUAGCAUUUUAAACACAUUUCCAAUCAUGUUACCGUUUCAUAUUUUUAUAUCAUAUGCAUAAAUAAGUUACACAAAACUACCUUGAUAAUAAUUCGUACAAGAAAAUCUACUAAUCCGAAACUUUCUCUUUUUCUCGAUCUAGCUUUGAAUUUGUGUUAUCUGGAUCUAUAUAAAGGAAUUUAAUCAUCAAUUUCUCACAUUUCAUAUUCUAUUGAACUCAAUUUACAUCCUAGGUAAAAUUAUCAUUUUGCCUUAAACAUUUCAUAAUUUCCAAUUUCAUCCCUAGGCUCGGAAAUUGAAAUUCAUGCAAUUUACUCCUUAUUCCAAGCUUAACCGAAAUUUUAAUGUAAAAUUUAUAGCACUUGUAUUCUAUAAAAUUCAAAUUUUUCUUCAAUUUACACAAUUUUACAAUUUAGUCCCUAAAUCACAAUUUCAUCAAAAUUCACUUUCUAAAAGUUGUUUAUCUAUCAAUAACCUUUCAUUUUCUAUGAUAAAUUUCAAAUUUUUAGCAUAUUCAUCCUUGGAAAAAAUUCUAUACUUCGAUAAAUUUUCAAAUUAAUCCCCCAAAUAGAUAGAUUAGACUAUCCCGAUUUUAAAAAUAUAAAAAUUACUAAAAACGGGACAAGAAUACUUACCCAAUCAUGUUGCUAUUCCUUAUUAUUAAUAGCCCUGAUUGCUAAGUAAAUACACACUCGUUUAGAAAAGAUUCUCGAAAUUCAUAAAAAUCCUCUGUUCUAAAUAAUUUACAAAAUAAAAGAAAAUUCACGGAGAUGCUCGCAUUGAUAGUUACUUACCGACAGCCUUUUGACCAGUGUCUAACCACAGAACUUUUGUUAAUCUCGUAUCCCAAUACCACAUCCUGUUAACAAAAAAAAAUAAAAAUGAAAAAAAAUAAAAAUGGGAAGGAAAAAGAAGAAAUUAUCGUUAAAAUUAAUUUCUUAAAUUCCAAGCAGAUUUCUGACAUAUAACAAAAAUAGUUUCCUAAUGCAUGCGAUGGCAUUCGAACUCGGAACCCGAUAGAAUACAGACAGUUGUUUAACUAUUGAACCAGAAGACUAAUUCUUGUCACAAGUUCACACUGAAUCGAACUCAAGCGGUUAACGCGUGCUUAUGGGUUGAUUUUAAAACUAACAAAACUUUUAAUGAUGCGACUCGAACUCCAGACCUUAAACUCAAUCGUAGAACACAGAUCCACAGAUAUAGAAAUUAAUUACAAUAGAAUCUCACACUUAAAUUCUUAAAAUUUUGGGGCGCUACAACUCUCUCCCUCUAAAAGAAAUUUCGGCAUCGAAAUUUUACCUGAUUUGAAUAGAUAUGGAUACAGUCGUCAAAUUGAUUCUUCUGAUUCCUAUGUGGCUUCUUCAGUACCGUGGUUCCACAAAAGAACUUUCACUAGUGUAAUAGUUUUCUUCUUCAGUACCCUAAUGUCCUAUUCCAAGAACUGGACAAGCUCCUCCUUGAAAGUUAAGUCCGGUCACAAUUCAAUCUUGUCGACAAUAACAACAUGUGAAAGUUUUAGCCUAUACCGUUUCAGCAUCGAGACAUGAAAUACAUCAUGAAUUUUUUCUAAUUCUAACAGUAACUCCAACUGAUGCGCAACAGGUCCAAACCGCUUCAGAAUAUGGUAAGGUCCAAUGAACCUCGGGCUCAGCUUACCCUUACGUCCAAAUCGGGAAAAUUUCUUUCAAGGUGAUACUUUUAGAAAAACUUGGUCACCUACCGAAAACUCAAUAUCUUUUCUUUUCAAGUCAGCAUAAGACUUUUGUCUAUUGGAGGCUGCUUUCAAACGAUCACGAAUUAGUUUCACUACGUUCUCUGUCUCAGAAACCAGUUCAAAACCUAAUACCCGAUGUUCACUUAAUUUAGUCCAACAUAAUAGAGUACAACACCUGCGACCAUAUAAGACCUCGUAGGGUGCCAGAAUAAUACUAGACUGGAAGCUGUAAUUGUAUACAAACUCAGCCAACUGUAAGUAUUCCUUCUAACUACCCCUGAAGUCUAUCAUACAACCUUGGAGCAAAUCCUCUAAGAUAUGAAUAAUUCGCUCCGGCUGUCCAUUAAUCUGGGGUGAUACAUAGUGCUAAAAUUAAGCCGGGUGCCUAAAGCCUCAGGGAGUUUCUUCCAGAAUCGAGAAGUAAAUCGUGGAGCUCUGUCAAAGAUGAUCGAGACCAGAAUCCUGUGUAGUCUCACAAUCUUGGCGAUAUACAAUUUAGCUAACUUUUGUAAGGAGUAAUCUGUUCAGAUAGGAAGGAAGUGAGCCGGUUUGGUCAAGCGAUCAACGAUGUCCCAAAUCGAAUCUUUCUUAGUGGGGGUUAAAACCAACCCCAUAACAAAAUCUAUUCUUAUCUGCCCCCACUUUCACAGAGGAAUUUUAACUGGUUGAAGCAACCCGGAUGGCAACUGAUGUUCUGCCUUAACAUUUUGACACGUCAAACAGCGAGACACAAAAGUAACUACUCCCGUUUCAGUCUGGGCCACCAGUAGAGUUCUGGGAGAUUUCAAUAGAUUUUGUUCCCACCAGGAUGGAUAGCAUAGAGACUGUUAUGCACCUCUUGUAGGAUCGAAUACCUUAGUUCCUUAUCAUUGGGUACACAAAUUCGCCCUUUGAAGCAUAACACAUUAUCGCUAUUCAAGCUAAAAUCAGAAUUUUCAUGUGAACCCAUAUGUCGCAAUCGCUGCAUUAAGGUUUCAUCAUUCAGUUGUAAUUUUACCCAAAUCGGUCUAACUUGUAAUUUUACCAACAGUCCUCCAUCCCUAACCAAGCUCAAACGAGCGAUUAUUGCUUUUAGUUCAGUCAUCGCUCUACGACUACGGGCGUCAGCCACCACGUUAGCCUUACCCGAAUGGUACUCUAUCGAGCAAUCGUAAUCUUUUAGUAACUCAACCCAUCAACGCUGCAGAAAAUUUAACUCUUUUUAGGUUAAAUAAUAUUUGAGACUCUUGUGAUCGGUGUAAAUAAUACACCUUUCACGAUACAAAAAGUGUCUCCACAUCUUCAGAGCAAACAUGACCGCAUCUAGUUCAAAAUCAUAUGUAGGGUAAUUACCUUCGUGUGUCUUAAGCUGCCACGAUGUGUAAGCGACCACCUUACUGUCCUGUAUAAGUACACAUCCUAACCCCACAUGUGAAGCAUCACUGCAAACCACAAACAUCUAACCCAAUUCUGGGGCAUUCUUGGGAUCAACUCGAUUCUGGUUCGUCAGAGGUAACCAGCUAAACCCAAGAAGCUACAAAGCUCAGAAAAAAAUUUUCUAUUGUUUCCACUCAACAACAGCUUCAAUUGUCUUGGGAUAAACUCGAACCCUCCGUCGUCACAACAUGACCCAGAUUGGCGACUUCCUGUAACCAAAACUUAUACAUACCGAACUUGGCAGUAUCUAAAGUACAAUACGGAGAUGACCAUCGUGCUCAAUUUUAGCUUUUAGAGUAGAUCAAGAUAUCAUCGAUGAAAACCACUACAAAUUGAUCCAAAUAAGGUUGAAACACCAGAUUCAUUCAGUCCAUAAAUACUGCCAAGGCAUUUGAUAACCCGAAAAGAAUUACUAAGAACUCGUAAUUUCCAUGACGAGUCCUGAAAGUAGUUUCGUACACAUCAGUCUUUUUUACUUUGAGUUGAUGGUAAUCAGAGCGUAGGUUGAUCUUGGAAAAGAUAGAUGCUCCUCGAAACUGAUCGAACAAGCCUUCAAUCCUCGGUAACGGGUACUUGUUCUUGAUUGUCAACUUGUUCAACUGUCUAUAAUCAAUGCACAUUCUCAUCAACCCAUUGUUCUUCUUAACAAACAAUAUCGAUGCCUUCAUGGAGACACACUCGGUCAAAUGAAUCCUCUAUCAAAGAGUUCUUGAAGUUGCCUUUUAAUUUAGUCAGUACUUUCGGCGGCAUACGAUAGGAUGCAAUGGACACUAGAGUGGUACCUGAUAACAGGUCAAUUCCAAAUUCCACCUUACUCUCCGAGGGUACUCCGGGCAGUUCCUCGGGAAAGGAGUUUGGGAAUUCCCUCACAGUGUAACACCCUCUACCCGUAUUUUGAGCCUAGAAUAGGGUACGAGGCAUUACCAAACUUAAUAUGAUCAAUCAUGUAAACAAAAUUAGCCAUAAAUUUUUUUUCUAAAUUAAAAACUUUCAUACAUAUGUUUAACGUCCCUUAUAUGGGCCUACGGGGCCAAAAACAUACAUUCAGGAUGGUUCGGGAUCAAACGGUAAACAUAUGAAACUUUUGCAACACCUAGAAAAUUUUCACACUUUGGAGAGUCACACGCUCGUGUUUUCAACCCGUGUAACUCUCUGUUUAUAACUUCAUCACCCUUGUCAGUCGUACACUUCAUAUAAAUAACAAGAAACGUGUAUGGGCUUUAUUCUCAUUCAAUUUCUCAUAUAUAUACAUAAUUUCACGUUAUGUAAUCAUACAACAUAUAUCAGCCAUAUCUCUGUAAUCUAAAUAUGUUUUCAUAACAACUUAUCUUGAUUUCAGACUAUUUCAUAUUUAAGCUUAAAUAACCAAAGUAUUUGAAAUAUCAUCUUUAUGCAAAUAGUACAAAUGAGGUAUAUAAUUCUAUAAUUAUAAAUAAACACAUUUAUCAAACAUUUUUCAUAUUCAUAUAUCAAUGUCUCAUGUCUACAUAUAUCAAUAACCAUCAUUUUCAUGAAUUCCGAGUUCAAUUUCAUAAUUAUUUGUCUCGUGUUCAAUUUAUUCCAUAUCGGAAUUUUAUUCAUUAAAACAUUUGAAUUAUCAAUACAUAUGGACAGUACAUUCAAGAUGAACAAUUAUAUAAUCACAAAUGAAUUCAUUUAUCAACCAAGUUCUAUACUCGUAUCUUAUCAAUUCGUACUUCCUUGUAUCACAUAAUUCCAUGUAACACUUAUCAAACUUUGUCAAAUUAGUGAACGUCUUACGGAAUUGAGUACUUCGUUUUCUCGAUGCCAUAGUUCAACUAUGGUCUUACACAUCUUCACAUAAUGAUGCCAUAUCCCAGCUAUGGUCUUACACAUAUUCAUAUAUCGAUGCCAUAACCCAGCUAUGGUCUUACAUGAAUCACAUAUCUCACUGAUGCCAUAUCCUAGAUAUGGUCUUAUACAGUAGCAUAUAUCACACCGAUGCCAUAUCCCAGAUAUGGUCUUAUACGGAAAUCACUUGUCAUCACUUGUCACUUGUAGCCGAAGCUACCACUAUUCACUGAUCAGGUAGCCGGAGCUACCAUUUUUCACUGAUCAGGUAGCCGGAGCUACCACUUUUCACUGAUCAGGUAGUCGGAACUACCACUUUUCACUGAUCAGGUAGCAGAAGCUACCACUUUUCACUAAUCAGGUAGCAGAAGCUACCACUUUUCACUUGUCAUUUGUCAUUGAUCAGAUAAGUGUAGCUGAAGCUAUCACUUAUCACUUUCACUUUUCCUUGAUCAGAUAAGUGUAGUCGAAGCUAUCACUUAUCACUUGUUGCCAUGGUCCAACCAUGGUCUUUUCCUUCAAUUCAUCUUGUCACUGAACUAAAAUACUCAAUUUGAUCAUUUAUUCAAUUUUCAUGCUUUUACAUUAUUCACGAUUUUAUCAUCAAUACAUAUGAAAUAACACAUCAUGAAAUUCAUAAAAUUAGCAAAUAAUCACUAAAAUUUAGCCAUAUAAACUCACAAGUUCAAUUUUUGUAUUAUAACGAUAAUCAUAAUUUCAUAUAAUUAUACCAAAUAAAACAUUAUAUCAUUUCUGAUCCAACACUUAUCGAUUAUAAUUGGGCAUGUGAUCAAUUUAUACACGAGUCAUUCAUAUAUUUUUGUAUAUUUUCCUUCUCCUCCUCUCCAUCCACAUCCUUAGUAUAAACAACACACUUAUAGGUAACAUUAUCCAUAAUUUUCACUAUCAACUUAUGUGAAUAUUCAAGCUGUCCAUCUGUGUCAUAGUAACAAAAUUAUUUUUAUCUUGAGCUACAGAACUCAGAAUUAAGAUCCAUAAAUUUUCCCAGAAACUAGAUUCAAGCUGUCCAUCUGUGUCAUAAUUUUUGGUUGGGCCAAUUAAUACAGUUUAUUCAUUGAAAUCUCCUCUAUUCUGCUGUCUGACAGUUUCGACCCUUCUUCACUAAAAAUUAAUUAUCUUCUCGUACAAGAUUCGAAUGAUGUCCUUGUUUGUUUCUCUUGAAAAUAGACUCAUUAAGGAUUCUAAACAUAUAAAUUUAAGCCUCUAAUUAUUUUUAUCCAAUUUUUGAUGAUUUUCCAAAUUCAAAACAGGGGAACCCGAAAUCAUUCGAAUGAUGUCCUUGUUUGUUUCAUGAUUUACAAUUCCAUUGCUUACAUAAUUUCUUUUAUAAGAAACAAGACUCAAUAAGCUUUAAUUUCAUAUUUUAUUCAUCCUUUAAUUCGAUUUCUACAAUUUUUGGUGAUUUUUCAAAGUUAAACUACUGCUGCUACCCAAAACAGUUUUAGUGCAAAAUGUUGAUUUCCAUUUUACCUCAAAUUUCACAAUUCAUACAAUUCAGUCCUUGCUCAAUUAACCCCUCAAUUAAGAUAAUUUUCUCAAUUAAUACUUUUUCUAGACAUUAUAAGUUAUUUCAUAACUAUUGAAAUUUAGAAUUUUCACAUAAAACUCUAACUUCAAACUCUUUUACAAUUAGGUCCCAAAUAUACACUUUCUAUUCAAUUCUUUCAAUAAAAUCAGAAUAUAAACAAUUUAAAGCUCUAAUUCCAUGCCAAAUCAUCAUAUACUUCCAGCACUCAUCCAUAACAACUUCAAAAAUUAGACAUGGAAUCAAAAACAAAUGAAAUAGUAAGUUGGACCCAAUUGUAAAAGUCUAAAAACAUAAAAAUUUCAAGGAGAAAGCAAGAAUUAAACUUACAUGAAGCUAGAGUAUGAAAACCAGCUUGAACCCUCCUCCAUGGUUGUUUUUCAGCUGAUGAAUAUGAAGAGAAAUGAAGAGAAUUCUAGAUAUUUCAAUUUAGUCCCAUUUUUAUUUAGCUAAUUUUGUCAAUGUUCCAAUUUUGCCCUUAUUUCAGCCAUUUCCUGAUUUUUCUCGGCUAUUGCCGCCAAAAAUAUCUCCUUUGGGCUUAUUUGCACUUUAGGUCCUUCCUCAUUUGACAAUUGAGCUAUUUAAUCCUUUUAGCAACUUUUACACCCUUUUCAAUUUAGUCCUUUUUAUUUAAUUAACCACUCAAACUUCAAAAUUUUCUGACUAAAUUUUAUUACUACCUCACCAACACUCCAUAAAUAUUUCUAAAAAUAUUUAUGGCUCGAUUUAUGAAGUCGAGGUCUCGAUACCUCAUUCUCGACUCAAUUUACCUAAUUAAUUCUUUUAAAUCACCAAAUUCACUAAUUCAAAAAUGAUUUUGUAUUCACAUUUGACUCAUAGGUAUUAAUUUAUUAAAUUUUCAACUCACUUGUCGGAUUUAGUGAUUUCAAAUCUCUAUUCCCGAUACCACUGAAAAUUAGGCUGUUACACACAGUAUGGAUAUCUCUUACUUAAUAAGGUAUGCCUCGCACCAUUUUAGGACUAGCUUAUCUGCUACAAGGGCGGAGAUUACAUUAGAGAGAUAAUCUUGAUGCUUACCAACCAUAACCACCUCGUCAUUCUCAGUUGGUCUCAGGGUAACCCUCUUGGUUGCAUAGUCUAGACUGACCCGAUACUCAACAAGCCAACCCAUUCCCAAAAUAAAGUCAAACUCAUUAAAGGGCAUUUCCAUUAAAUCAGUUGGAAAUACUAUACCCUGAAGUUCAAGGGUACCCGUCUAUAUACUUUACCAACUCAGAUUGAUUGUCCCAACGAACUAAUCACAGAAAACUCUCUAGGAGUAUUCUCAGCAGUUAAACCCAUAUUUACAGUAACAACACUAGCUAUAUACAAGUGAGUAGAGCCAAUAUCAAUGAGAGCAUAAUACGGAAAAAAAUGAAUAAAGAAAGUACCUACAAUGACAUCAGCAUCAUCGGUCUCCUUGUGGCUUCUCACCGCAUAAACCAGUGCUACCGACGAGCCUCAACCUGACCUGCACCUCUAGCCGGUGCUCUCUGUCCUCUCCCUGAUCCAUUACCACCCCUACCAGUACCACAACCUAUGAAUGGUUGUUAAAUCUCUCUUGGCGGCCGAACAAAAUUGGUAGUUAGAGUUUGUGCUGCAAUUGACACUGAAUCAGGUUGACGGGGGCAAUCCCUAACUCGAUGCUCUAUCGAACCACAAUGGAGGCACGCUCCUAAUUUCCUCCAGCACUGGCUGGGAUGGCAUUUCCCACAAUCACUACACUGUUGAAUCUCAGUCACUGCAGCUGAUGCCUCGGCCCUUAGGGGCCUAUAAAACCUCGUCUGUUUCUUAGUGCACUGAACAGAACCAAAGGGACCCAAAUCCCUCAUAACCCUAUUCUAAUCGUUAUCACGGUCCCGCCUCUCGUACUCAAUGUGUUUCACUUCUUCCACUAUCUUAGUCUUGUGGACUAGAAUCAUAAAAACCCUCUCCCUCUAAGAAGCUAUCAAGACUCGUAGAUCAUAUUUCAAUCAUUCCUAAAAUCUCAUGCACCUGUCAUAAUCAGAUGCUACUAGAGUCCAUGCAUACCUACUCAAUCGUAGAAGCUAGCCUCAUAGUCAGCUACACACUGAUCGCCCUGAACUAGGCUCAUAAACUCAUGUCGACGAGGCUGGACAUAACUUGCCCCCACAUAUUUACCCAGGUCGGCGUUCUUGAAACAAUCCAGUUCACUUGUUCAGAUUGAGCACCUUGCUUAACGGUUAACCACCACUAAUAAGCUUCAUCCUAGAGUAGGGACACAUGUAACACCUCUAACCUGUAACCGUCAUUGAAUUAGGGUUACAAGGCAUUACCAGACAGACAGAACAUUUUAGACCAAUUCAGAAUCACAAAUAUCACAUAAUAUUAAUACAUAGGCAAUCAUCAACAAUUCAUAUCUUAUGAAGGUCUACGAGACCUAAAACAUACUUUCAAGGACAGUCGGGACUAAAUCGGACACAUUCAUAAAUUUUAGAACUCAGAAAAUUUUUCAAUUCGGUUGAGGCCACACGCCCGUUGAUAAACCCUAAUUUAUACAUAUUUUUAUCCCAUGCUUACCACAUUUUAUGAAUGAAUUUUCCUUAAAAUUGGUGAAUUUGAUGCUCCUAAUGCCUUAAUUUCAUGUUUUAUACUUAGGUGAGCAUAGGAGAGUAAAAGGAACGAGAAACGGGACAAAAAAAGAGAAAAUAGGCCAACGUCCAAAAUCAACACAGCUUAGACCUCCACACACGGGCAGACCAUACGGCUAUGUCAAUUUGGCAGAAUCGAAGCACGACUCACACGGGUGGACCACACGACCGUGCCUAUUUAACAGACUUGACCACGGCUUGAAGUAAUCGUACACGGGCGUGUCACACGGGCGUGUCCCUGCCGAGCCCAAGUUGAGUCCAAUUCGAAAAAGGCCAAUUUUGAGGGUUCUUAGACAUUCUAAAGCCUAUAAAUACACCCUAGAGGAGGAGGAAAGGGGACAAACAGAGAAAGAAGCAGGGAACUACUCAAGGAAAGCCGAUUGAUCUAUCUCAGAAGCCGGAUUCAUCAUUAAGACUAAAGAUCUCCCAUCAAUUUCCCCCACGAGUUUUGGGUUUUCUUUAUGUUUUGUAUUCAUUAUUCUUCUGAGAUGUUUUCCUUUUUAGUUAUGAACUAAAUCCCCUAAAUACCUAAGGGGAAUGAAACCUAAGAUGAAUCUUGUUAUUAUUUUCUAAAUUGUAUGAUAAAUAUUUGACUUGUUCUUAAUUAUGUGUUCUUAAUUCCAGUUUUGAUAUUCCAGGAUAUUGAUUCAAGUUAAGCUCUUAUUCAGAGGAAGAAUAGACCCUAUCUAAGAGUACAAUUUUCAUAAUAAAGUGGAGUUGAUUGCGCGCCUAGAGAUAGGGUGACAAGAUUUUGCCUGAUUAGGGUGAAACCUAAUAAGAGGAUCCAUAGAUCGAGUUAAUGUAACCCUAGGAAGUUAAUUAGAAACAGAUUUCAAUUAUUCAACCUAGGGUUAGAUGUUGGUAGUCUCGAGAGAGAUAAUAAUAUAACUUAGGGAUUUCUACGGAUCAAGUCAAAUGAAUAAAUCGUCCGAUUCAGAGUAAAAUAACAAGUGAAGUCUAGGUGGAUUUUUCCUUAGGUAUUGUCUCAAUCAAUCGAGUUUUUCCAAAAGUAAUUCCCCAAUUCUAUUUUCUGUGAUUUCUUAGUUUAGUUAAUUAGUUAGUUAAAACAAACCCCAUUAUUCUUAGGCUAGAUAAUAAUAAGACAGUCAUUAUUAGUACUUUUAGUUUCUUUGGGUUCGACAAUCCGGUCUUGCUAAAACUAUACUACUGUUCGAUAGGUACACUUGCCAUCAUCGUGAUAAUAGUUAGUUUCAAGAACAAUUCAUUAUAAAUAUUUAAAACUUAUCACCCGAAUAUCACGAUCAAGUUUUUGGUGCCGUUGUCGGGGGACUAAGAUAUUAAGAACACUCAAUUUUUAUUACUUUAGCCAUUUAUUUUUCUUGCAAGUUAAUUUUAUUUUAUUAUUAUUUAUUAAUUUACUUUCUUUUUCUCUUGGCAGGUUUUUAUAGUUUAUGAGUAGAAGAAACCCGUCAGGACUACUACUUUUUGACGAAGAAAUCGAUCGCACAGUUCACAGAAGCCAAAGAGAAAUAAGGCGAGGCUUAAGAUACACAAAGAACGAGCAAGAAGACGAUAUUCAAACCACAACCAAGGAGAUGGCUGAAAACUAAGAAAAUCCGCUACCUCCUGCGAUUGCUGUUAAUCAGAAUCCCGCUCCGCGCACUAUGUCUGAUUAUGUUAAACCUAAUUUAACAGGAACUAAGUCAAGUAUAAUUAGACCUGCUGUUGCUGCAAAUAAUUUUGAACUGAAACCUAACACAAUUCAAAUGAUACAACAGUUUGUUCAAUUUGAUGGUUUGUAGGACGAGGAUCCCAACGCUCACUUGGCAAACUUUUUGGAACUAUGCGACACAUUUAAAAUUAAUGGGGUUUCUGAUGAUACCAUACGUCUUCGAUUGUUUCCCUUUUCAUUAAGGAACAAAGCUAAACAGUGGUUGAACUCGUUACCACGAGGGUCAAUUACUACUUGGGAACAAAUGACCGAGAAGUUUUUACUUGAAUAUUUUUCACCGGUUAAAAUGACUAAAUUACGUAAUGAUAACUUUUCUUUUGUGCAGAUAACUUAGAAACACUCUACGAUGCAUGAGAGAGAUAUAAGGACUUUUUGUGAAAAUGCCCUCAUCAUGGGUUACCAUUCUGGCUACAGGUUCAAACUUUUCAUAAUGGCCUAAAUCCUUCGACUCGACAAAUGGUUGACGCAGCUGCUGGCGGAACCAUCAAUAAUAAAAACACCUGAAAAUGCCUAUGAAUUUAUAGAGGAGAUGUCACUGAAUAACUAUCAGUGGCAAGUCAUGAGGACAAAGCCAAAGAAAACAAUCGGUAUUUAUAACGUUGAUUCUGUCACCAUACUCUCUAAUCAGGUAGAACUCUUGAAUAAGAAAAUUGACGGUUUUCUUAGUUCUUCACAGGUUCACCCAGUAAUGCAGUGCGAAGCAAGUGGAGGUGGAUCAAGCAAUUUAGAAUACCAACCUUUUGGCCACAACAUGGAUAACGAGCAAUUAAAUUACAUGGGUAAUAAUCCUCAAUCUCAAAACAAUUCAUAUAGUAACACUUACAAUGCAGGUUGGAGGAACCACCCAAAUUUCUCAUAGGGAGGCCAAGGAAAUCGGAGACCACCUCUAGGCUACCAACAUCCGCCCUACCAACAGGAAAAGAAGCUGAACCUUGAGGAGAUGCUCUCCAAGUUUAUCUCGGUGUCAGAAACUUGUUUUCAAAAUACCGAGACAGCACUUAAGAAUCAACAAGCAUAAAUCCAAGGGCUCAAAACUCAGAUUGGGCAGCUUUCCAAGUUGAUUUUUGAACGACCACAAGGUAGCUUGCCAAGCAACACAGAAUCUAACCCAAGGGAACAACUCAACACGAUUACUAGUCAAGAUGAGGAAAGGUUAGCCACACUUAAACCAGAACCAUGGCAAGAAACUGAGAUAAGCAAAGGCAAAGGUGAGGUAGACCACAAUGAGUAGAAACCAGUAAGUACAGAAUACAAACCUCGUGUUCCAUACCCGAAUGCCACAAGGAAAGACCGCUUAGAUGAACAAUUUGGUAAAUUCCUUAAAUUCUUAAAAAAAAUUACAUAUUAACUUACCGUUUAUUGAAGCUCUAUCACAGAUGCCAAAUGCAAUAAAAUUUUUAAAGGAGCUUCUAGCAAAUAAGCAGAAGUUGGACAAGGCUUCGCAUGUGAAGUUAAACGCAGUUUGCUCAGCUAUUCUACAGAAUAAACUACCCAACAAACUAAAAGAUCCAGGGAGUUUUACGAUUCCUUGCUUAAUUGGUAGUUUAGAUGUUAAUAAUGCAUUAGCUGAUUUAGGGGCUAGUAUUAACGUCAUGCCCUACAAAAUGUUCAAACAAUUAGGUCUUGGGAAACCCAAACAGACUAGGAUGAGCAUUCAAUUAGCAGAUAAAACUAUAAGCUUUCCUAGGGGUAUUAUUGAAGAUGCGCUAGUUAAAAUCGAUAAAUUUAUAUUUUAGGAAGACCUUUUUUAGCAACUGCUAAAACGAUUAUUGAUGUUGGCAUAGGUGAGCUCACACUUCGUGUGGGAGACGAAAUAAUCACCCUUCAAGCUCGCAAUUCUGGCAACACAACAGAAAUUGAAGGUGAUCGUCUAAACCAUUCUACUAAGACUAACAAUAUGGUACAACCUACUUUGCAGGAAAUGAGUUUGAAGGAAGUAUAUGAGCCAUUUUCAAGUAAUAGUAUAGGACCUAUUCAUAAAGAACAAAGGCUACAAAUCGAGGAGCUAGAUUAAUGGCGGACACAUAAAUCGAGAACACACGAUAAACUAAAACUACGCCAGAACGAGCUCAAUACCUUCCCAAAUUAACUUAAGGUUAGAGAUAAAGUUUCAUUAGAUACCGUAGAUCCUCAUAUUGUCACUACCAAACCAAAUGAAGAAAUCCCUCUUACGAUACUUGGCAUUUUUCCAUUCGGUACAGUCGAGGUAAGUCAUCCCAAGUUCGGCACUUUUAAGGUAAACAACACCCGUCUAAAACCUUAUUUUGAUAAGAUGGAUAGCAGGAAUGAGGAGUAUAAACUCCUCGAACCACCAUGACCAUUCAAUGGAGAGGUAAGUCGAGCUUAGACUAUAAAUAAGCGCUUCUCUGGAGGCAACCCGAGCACUAACAAUAUUAAUUUCUUUAAAUUUUAGUAUUUAACACCUAACGUACUAAUGGAGCUCUUGAAUACAGGUUUCCCACAUAGACACGGCCUAACACACAGGUGUGCCUUAGGCCGUGUGGAAACAGGGCAAAGAUUUUCCCCAGCACAGGCUACGAUAAAUCGCCAUGGCAGUGCGACAUGGCCGUGGGCAAGCCUGCCAAAUCAACACAGGUGUGAAACACACCUGUGCCUUGAAACCGUGGCCAAACCUGUCAAAUUAACACAGGUGUGCGACACGCCCGUGCCUAGCAACCGUGGUCUAACCUGUUAAAUUAACACGGGUAUGUGACUAUAUACAUGGGCAUGGGAGAAGCGGAUGAAGACAAACACGCCCUUGCGAAACGGUCGUGUGCACCCACACGCCCAAGGAACACAAGCGUGGGCCAAUUGUGAGACGCGCCCAAAUUUAAAAUACGUGAAUCACACAAGAAAAAAUUGGGGAACACGGACGUGUUCCAUGGCCAUGUGUCCCAAAAUCUAUAAAUAUCAUACACUAUUCAUUGUCUUCUUCACUCAAAAUCCCUAACCUUAGCCGCUGUAAGUCCGCACGACCUCUCUACCAUGCCCGUGCGCCGCUUCGCACUCUAUUUUUUACGCCCAAUCUCUCUCCCUUAGCGUUUGUUCACUCUUUUCACUUCUAUUUUACUUAUUUCUAAUGCUUAUUAUCAAAAUAAUCUUCAUUCUUCUCAUACUAUUUUCAUUUUACUCAUUAUUCUAUCAUUUAAUUUGCAUUCUUAGGUUAUUUAUCAUACAUUUCAUGUUGAAUCGAGUUGUUAGGAAAGCUUCAUUCUAUUGUCUUACUCAUGCCAUUACUAUGCUCAUUCUCAUGCUAUUACCAUACUAAUGUCACAAAAUUACGCUAUCAAAUUGUUUAUUCUGGUUGAGUUUGGUUAGUAUUAGUAGUUUUGGCUUAAAUAGUUAUUUCAAAUUCAUGGUUUUUUCCUUUUCAAAUUUGUCUACCUACUAUUAUUCUUUUUUAUAUUGUAGGUACACAAUGUCGUCUUCAUGUGGUAAAAAGGUCGUCAUCCCUACUUCAAAGAAAAGGAAGGGAACGUCAUCUUCCUCGGGUCCUACCGCGAAAAUUCACCACCCUUUCCUGUAAUUUCCUAUCGGGCCCCAAGAAGAACUUUUCCAAAUACUCCGGGCCCGACCUUUAAUUGCGAGCCACUGCAUCGAUUGGGCUGUAGUAGAAUAAGUUCAGUUGGCUGAUGCGAUUCGGGUCCUCCUAACCACGACCCUUGGGAGCUUUUCUUUGGGAUCAUUGAACCAACAUAUCUCGACCUCACGAUGGAACUAUGCUCAACGUUUCAUCUUCAGACUGUAAUGACGAACUACGAUGAUCCUAGCACGGUCCAAUUUUGCCUAGGCGGAUUAGUCCGCCAGCUAAGCGUCCCAAAAUUCGAUACUGCACUGGGCUUAUAUACAGAGGAGUUCAAGGAGGAGAAUGACUUACAUGCUUUCAACCGCCACAUCUAUCGUUCUCAUUCACGAUGCUGGUAUGUACCAGUACCAGGUUCAGCCAUCUACAAUCCUAGCCACACCAAAGCAUCGGCUCUCCCUCCAUCUCUGAGGUACGCACACGCCAUUUUGGCUCACACGAUAACAGGAAAGUGAGAGAGCACUGGCGUCGUCAGCACUCAUGACGCCUACUUUCUAUGGUGUAUGUCGCACGGGCACGUCAUAGACCUUGCUUAUUUCAUUGCCUUUGCCAUUCAGCACCACACGGAGUGGCAUAGGAAUGGGGUCAUCUCCAUUGGCCCCUAUGUUACUUGGUUGGCUCGACACUUCGGGCUCCUCAACACCACGGCCCAAGAAUCAUCCUUGACCCUUAUUGGCCAAAUGCCUUCCCAAGGCAUCUCGAGCAUGCCAAGCAUGAGGAUGAUCGAAACGCGCUGAGGAACCUACCCUCCUCAAUAUCGUCUCGUCCAAUCUACUGAGGAGGAGGCCCCCGUGGACAUUACUGAUGAUGUCCGUCCACAUCACAAGGACCUACCAUCUCAGCCACUACUACCCUCUCGUCUAGUUCAUGCGGCGGCUCCAUACGAUGAUAUCUCUGAGCGCUUAACUCGAUUCGAGCAGCAAUGUUCUCAGUGUUUCGAUCACAUUGAUGCUACACUGCACCAGAUUUGUCAGCACUUCCACAUCCCAUCCCCACCCUCACCUUGCGAACCAUCUAGCGAUGAAGAUGUUUAAAAACUUUUGUUUAUUAUUUUAUGUUUUUACUUUUAUUCUACUUUAGGACUACAUUUUAUUUUUCUUUAAGCUUAUUUUUAUUAGGUUUUAUAAUUUUUAUUUAACAAUUUUGAAUUUCGGCUAUUUCCUAUCAAGUAAUUAUUCUUCCUUAUAUAUUUUCUAAAAGAGUUCCUGAUUCUAUCACAGUUAUAAAGAUCUCCAAAGCUCACUAUUACUUAGGGACUCGAAACUCCACUAGGAAAGAUUCUCCAUGACUGCAAUGUCUUGCUCGACCACGACCAUAACCAACCUCAGAUAUAAUAUUCUUUUGGCGUAGGACUUAUGGACUAAUAAACCUUUACCACCACCAGAGUAUCCUCCUCCACCCCCACGCCGAUUAUUCUCCAAAACUCCAGUUCAAGGAAAUUCAUUCAUCACUCAGGAAGUUUCACUACUCUCCCUUUUUUAUUUUUAUAUUUUUUCUACAUAUCUAUCUUUGUACAUUGAGGGCAAUGUACAUCUUAAGUGUGGGGGGUAUUCAUUUUUAUAUUAGAAAAAUCCCUGAAUGAUUGCCUUGUUCUCUUGAAAAGCUCUCAUAUCAUGUUUAGGAUAAAUUUUGAUUGAUUUAUGAUUUUUAUUGAUAUAUCUUAAAUUAAAACAUAGACAUUCAUGCAUUGAUUUUUUUAAACUUUAAGACAUUAGAGAAUUUAGCAUGAUAAGUUGAUUUUUAAGAAUUUUAAGUCGUUUCCCCAAGUUUAGGUAUUAUCUUGAGUUGGAAUUCACAAGUUUAAACAUCAAAAAGCCAUAAUUUUUGUGAGAUCUUGAGCCUUUAGAGCAUCUUUUAUUUCUUUCAUGCUCACUUUCAUUAUUAGUGCGUCAGUAUUGAAUUGUUAUUCUAGAACUUGCUUGAUUAUGCAUGUCAAGACCACACCGUUUGAUUUGAUAUGUCAGAAUGAUAAAGGCACUUAGGUUUAACCCACUCACUCUAUAAAAGCUUACCUUCACAAUUAACCCUUAGUGAACCCCCUUGAGCCUAACAACCCAUUCAUUGAUUUACCCUCAAUAUUAACCCAUAACUCAUUAUUGUUGAAAUCUUCUAAAUUAAUUUGAUCCCUAUUUUUGUCGAGAUUUGAGUUAAUAAUUGCUUAGCUAUGUUUUAUUCUAUUUUGUAAUUUGACUUGUUCUUAAAAAAAAUGUAUACAUAUUAGUGGUAGUGAUCUUCUGAGCUAAAGAAGUUAAAUUCCAUAUUUUGAGAAAAAGCUCUGUUGUACGCAAUUAUUGACUAGUCAUUUUUCUAGUUAGGCAAUUUUUUAAUUCAAUCUCGAUUCUAACCCUUUCUUUCAAUUUGUGACCACACCCUCUAACCAAAACCACGUUACAACCCUCUAAAGACCUUUUGAUUGAUGUUUCAUCUCAAUCUAUAAUGGUGGAGAUUUGAUUUUCAUGCAAGCCUAUGGUAAUGACUUUUCAUUAUUGACUAUAGAGUGCUUCAUUUUAUUGUCCUUAAACACCUCGAGUGCUUUGAGUGAAUCUUUAGUGAGGAUGUGAAACUCUGUGGUAUUUUGAAUCAAAGGUAAUUACUUAAAUGAAGGGAGACACAUAUGUUUUCAUGAUAAAAUGCUCAACUUGGAAUGUUUGAAACUUUGAUGUUCUUUCAGUUGAAUUUUCAAUGUAUAAUUACCUAUGGAUUAUUUUGAGAUAUUAUCGAUAGAAAUUAUAAGUUGAGAAGAAUUUAUUUUGAUUAUGAGUUGAAGAUUUUGCUUGAGGACAAGCAAAUGCUUAAGUGUGGGGGUAUUUGAUAAAUCGUAAUUUAUACAUAUUUUUAUCCCAUGCUUAGCACAUUUUAUGGAUGAAUUUUUCUUAAAUUUGGUGAAUUUGAUGCUUCUAAUGCCUUAAUUUCAUGUUUUAUACUUAGGUGAGCAUAGGAGAGUGAAAGGAACGAGAAACGAGCCAAAAACGGAGAAAAUGGGCCAACGUACAAAAUCAACACGGCCUGGACCUCCUCACACGGGCAAACCACACGGUCGUGUCAAUUUGGCAGAAUCGAAGCACGACUCACACGAGUGGACCACACGGCCGUGCCUAUUUAAUAGGCUUGACCACGGCCUGAAGUAAUCGCACACGGGCGCAUCUCUACCGAGCCCAAGUUGAGUCCAAUUCGGAAAAGGUUAAUUUUGAGGGUUCUUAGACAUUCUAAAGCCUAUAAAUACACCCUAGAGGAGGAGGAAAGGGGACACACAGAGAAGGAAGUAGGGAACUACUCAAGGAAAGUCGAUUGAUCCAUCUCAGAAGCCGGAUUCAUCAUCAAGACUGAAGAUCUCCCCUGAAUUUCCCCUAGGAGUUUUGGGUUUUCUUUAUGUUUUGUAUUCAUUAUUCUUCUGAGAUGUUUUCCUUUUUAGUUAUGAACUAAAUCCCCUAAAUACCAAAGGGGAAUGAAACCUAAGAUAAAUCUUGUUAUUAUUUUCUGAAUUGUAUGAUAAAUAUUUGACUUGUUCUUAAUUAUGUGUUCUUAAUUCUUGUUUUGAUAUUCCAGGAUAUUGAUUCAAGUUAAGCUCUUAUUCAGAGGAGGAAUAGACCCUAUCUAAGAGUACGAUUGUCAUAAUUAAGCGGAGUUGAUUGCUCGUCUAGAGAUAGGGCGAUAAGAUUUUGCCGGAUUAGGGUGAAACCUAAUAAGGGGAUCUAUAGAUCAGGUUAAUGCAACCCUAGGAAGUUAAUUAGAAAGAGAUUUCAAUUAUUCAUGUAAUGCCCCGAACCCAAGACCAUCACCAGAGUCGAGCACGAGGUGUUAACGGACUUAAUUCAUUAAUUAAACAGCUCAAACAAUUUAUUUUAGAACUUCUAGACAAGCUGGCUAACUGCAUCAUAGUCGCUUGAAAAUUCAUAUCUUGAGUUACAAAACUCGAAAUCCAAUUCUGUAAAUUUUCCCUAAAACUAGACUCAUAUAUCUAUCAACUAAUUUUUUUUUAGAAUUUUUGGUCGGGCAAAAUAGUACAUUUUAUUAGUUAAAAUCUCCCAUGUUUAAGGGAUCAACUAUUCUGACCCCUGUGUAUUACGAAUUAAAUAUCUCCUUGUACAGAGUUUAAAUUAUUAUGCCAUUUGUUUCUAAUAAAACUAGACUCAAUAAGAAAUCUGUACAUUUAAAGAAUGACUUCUAAUUAUAUUUGUACAAUUUUUGGUGAAUUUCCAAAGUCAGAAUAGGGGAUCCAGAAAUCGCUCUGGCCCUAUUUCACAAAAAUUUAAAUAUCUCAUAAAAUAUAACUCAUAUACUUGUUUUGUUCCAUCCAUAUGAAAAUAGACUCAUCAAGAUUUAAUUCUAUAUCUCAUUCACUAUCUAAAUCUAUUUCUACUAUUUUUAGUGAUUUUCCAAAUUCAUGUCAUUAUUGUUGUCUGAUACUGUUUUAAAGCUAAUUUCACCUUUUUCAUGAUUUCCAUGGAAUAACUAGCAUUUAGGCAUACAUAACACCAAACAUGUCCUUGAUUAGCCAUUCCAACAGCUAAUCAUUAUCAAGCAUUUACAUACCAUUCAUCAGCCAUAUCAUAAGAUCAUACACACAAAAUGGCUACGAUGCUAUACAUGCCAUACUCAAAAUGAAACGUCUAGCUAUACCAAAAUAAUCCUCGUGAUAGUGUGCCCGGACCUCCGACGUACUUUACGAUCCCCGAGUUAGCUUGAAAAAAAUAUAAAAAGAAGGAAAAUAAAUGGGUUAAGCAUUAAGCUUAGUAAGUUUGCAUGCAAAUAAAUAACAACAUUCAUAAGAAUUAUCUUACUACUUGGCAUGAUACUACUUAAUGCAACUUCAUUAAUUGUCAUAGACAUAUUUUAAAAUUCUUCACUUACUCACUUACUUAAAUACUUACUUACUUAAUCAAAUUUAUUAAUACAUUUUACUUACCUUUUUCCUUAUCAAGCAUACAUGAACAUUAUGUACUUACCUUUGCUCUUCUAGCAUGAACUUGUCUUACCUUUUUAGUAUAACUCGUCUUACCUUACCUUACCUUGAUAUUCUCUUUAAAUUUUCUCGUUGAACCACUUGGAAUACUAAGGAUACGCGGAUACCUUACCAUUGCCAUGACUUGUCAUGGUCUUACGUGGUAUCCUUUUGAAACUUACCAUUGCCAUGUCUUGACAUGGUCUUACAUGGUAUCCUUGCCUUAUGAACUCACCAAUGCCAUGUCUUGGCAUGGUCUUACAUGGGACCUUUGCCUUAUAGUAACUUAUCAAUGCCAUGUCUUAACAUGGUCUUACAUGAUUACCUUGCCUUAGAAACCUUACCAAUUGACAUGCCUUGGCAUGGUCUUACAUGGUAUCCUUAAACCCUAAUGUCAUGACAUUUGUAUCCUACACAUUCCUAAGGUUUAAUCGGGACUUUCUGAAAUUACUUCUCCAUCAAUUCAUGCUUGAGUAUUCUUUGAAUAAUUUCAUAAAAUAAAUAUACACAUGCUAGAAAUUAACAAAAUUAACAUAAAAAAUAGAAUAUUGCAUUUAUUUACCGCAAACUUACCUCGAAACAAAAUACGAUCAACUAUAUCGAUUUAGUCCACUAUCUUUUUCUUUCCUCGGUCUAACUUCGGAUUUUGUUCUUCUUGAUCUAUAAUAAAAAAAAUUUAGCUUAUUUAAUACUCACAUUUAUUAAAACAGUCCUUGACCCAAACUUUGGAAAAAUUACAUUUUUGCCCCUAAACUUUUAUUUACACUUUUUCCCCAAGGCUCAAAAAUUAAACUUCAUCCUAUUUUCUUAUGUUUUAUGACAUGCUGAUCAUUUUUCCCUUCUAUGACAACAUCAAAUUCUCACUCUAACAUGUACUUAUGACUAUUAGGUAUUUUUACCGAUUAAGCCCUUUUACUCACUAGUACUUAAUACCUUUGUGAACUAGAACACACAUUUUACAACUUUUGCAAUAUAGUCCUAAAUAUCAAAUUGGACCCUCUAUCGAUAAAAUUUCUAAAUGAAAUUUUCACACAAUCAUGCAAUCAUUCCAUAGACCUUAAAAUGAUAAUAAAAUAAAUUUUUCUACCUCGAAUUUGUGGUUUCGCAACCACUGUUCCAUUUAGGCCCUAUUUCGGGAUGUUACAAUUCAACCUAGGGUUAGACGCUGGUAGUCUCGAGAGAGAUAAUAAUAUAACUUAAGGAUUUUUACGGAUUAAGUCAAAUGAAUAAAUCAUCCGAUUCAGAGUAAAAUAACAAGUGAAGUCUAGGUGGAUUUUUCCUUAGGUAUUGUUUCAAUCAAUCGAGUUUUUCCAAAAGUAAUUCCUCAAUUCUAUUUCUGUGAUUUCUUAGUUUAGUUAAUUAGUUAGUUAAAACAAACCCCAUUAUUCUUAAGCUAGAUAAUAAGAAGACAGUCAUUACUAGUACUUUUAGUUUCUUUGGGUUCGACAAUCCUGUCUUGCUAAAACUAUACUACUGUUCGAUAGGUACACUUGCCUUCAUCAUGAUAAUAGUUAGUUUCAAGAACAAUUCAUUAUAAAUAUUUAAAACUUAUCACACGAAUAUCAAGACCACCCGUGUAACUAGACCGUGUGCCUCACACGGGUACCAGACAUGCCCAUGUGAACCAGCCGUGCCAAAACAAGGCAUACAUCCUGACUUUCACCCAUGGCCAACAGACACGCCCGUGUGCUAUGUCCGUGUGAUACAUAGCUAGCUACUGACUUAAGCCUACAGCCAUAUGUCACGCCUAUGUGUCUUAACCAUGUGGUCUUAAGAGGUUACCUCUUUGCAUACACAGCGACAAGGCACGCCCAUGUGCCCUGGCCGUGUGGCACAAUGCAGGCUUGGUUUAAGCCAAUUUGCCACCCCUUUUUGGGUUAUUCCUACCAGAAAUAUUAAACAACAUUCAUGCUACAAUUUCAGCCAAUUCAUACUUAAAAUGACCAAAUCAUAUUAGAUCAUAAAACAUUACAAGCAUACACCAUUUGGCAUCACCAACCGAAUACCAAAACUAUGCUCAAACAUAACAUUCGCUAGCCAACUGUCAUGGCAUAACAUAUAUACAUUUCAAAGAUUAAAUACAUAAACAUUCUUGCCUAUACAUGCCAUACUUAAAAUAUUUACACUUUUAAAAGUACCAAAAUGAGUUUGAUAGUGUGGUGACAAUCCUCAACUAUCCUCGAGCCUUCAGUAGCUACGAUAAUUGUAAAACAGACAGAAAUCACACAGAGUAAGCUACAUAGAGCUUAGUAAGCCAAAUACAAUUGGUUUAACUAUAAAAGCAUAUAAAGUGAAAGUCAAUAGCAUGAAUUUAUAGCCAUUUCACAGAGUAAUUCAUGAGCCUGAUCGUGCUCAUUUGCUUGUCUACAUGUCAUGCUUCAUUUCCAAAUUCCAUACAUACUUCACAUUCAUUGUUUCACAGAAACCGAGUCUUUCACAUUUAGAAAUUUAGUACGAUGGACAUGUACCAGUAUAGAUUAUACGUUUCAUAUAUUCAUUCCUGUAUCUCAUACUCUAUCAUCAGAUGGUUCAGAAACGAUACAGAUGCUCAUAAAAUGCCGACGUCCCAGAUGUGGUCUUACAUGUAAUUUAGUAUCGAUGCCUCUGUCCCAAAUGGGUCUUACAAAAAAUCAGAUAAGAUGCCAAUGUCCCAGACAUGGUCUUACAUGUAAAUCUCAAAUCGAGGCCUGUGUCCUAGACACAGUCUUACACGAUAUCUCAGAUCGAUGUUCACAUUCCUUUAGAUACAUACAAAGGUUUUUAGAUACUAGCAUAUUAUUAGAAUUUAAUCGGAAUUCAUUCAUCAGGAUCUUAAGGCCUUCCAAUACAAAUUACAGUUUGUAUGCGCAGAAUUUAGUCAAUUGAACACAUAAUUGUAAUUUGACUUACCUCGUAUGGAUUUCGGACGAAACGAGUCGACUAUUCAACUAUUUUGGACUUCCUUCGAUCUAAAUCCGAUUUUCUUUGUUCUUGAUCUAUUAAAAUUAAAAUUCAACCAUUCAAUCAUUUAUUUCAUUCAAAAUAAUCCAUGAACACAAAUUUAGGGCACUUUGCAUUUUAGCCCUUACAUUUUCACACUUUGACAAUUAAGUCCAUUUUUCACAAAAUCACAAAUAUGAAAAAUUCACCAAGACUAUAGCUUGGCUGAAUAUACAUAGCUUCUAUACAAGUCCAAAUAACAUAUUUAUUUCACAAUUUAGUCCUUCAAAACCUCAUUUUCACAAAUUAGCCCAAAUAGCUCAAUUCCAUAAAAAAUUCAAGAACAAAACAUGAUAAUCUCACGUAUAAUCUUUCAUAAUCCAUAUAAAAACAUCACAAAGCUCAUAUAAUCAUCAAUGGAACAUUUCAUAAUCUUCAACAAAAAUAGAAAUUCAGACAUGGGUUUUGAAGAACACGAAGCAACGAUCACAAAAACAUAGAAAUUAUCAAGAAAUAACCAAAGUACAUACCUUAAUCAACCAAAUCAAUGACCGAACCCUAGGAUGGUCUUCUUCUUUCUAUUUUAUUGAUAUAUAUUCGGCUAUAUGAAGCAUAAUGGUUUUAUUUUAUGCUUUGGUUUUAUUAAUAUAACUUCAUUUUGCCCUUGACUAAUAAACAUUAAAACUUACCAAUUACAUGUCCAUAUUUGUCCACCAGUAAAACAAAUGGUAAAUUUGACAUACAAGGACCCUCACUUAAAUAAUACAAAUCAAAUAGGUACUUUUAACUUCUAGCACUCAGCUUUUUAUAUUUUACGCGAUUAAAUCCUUUUUCAUAAUUAAGUACAGAAACAGACAAAUUAAAUCACAGAAACUUCGUAGAUAUAAAUUCACAUAUCACAGACGCAGAAAAUAAUAUUAAAAUAUUUUUUCAGAAUCAGUUACGUGGUCUCAAAACCACUAUUCUGACUAGGGUCACAACCGGACUAUUACAACACAACACUCUUCAAUUUCUAAGUAGGAGUACAGUCAAGGUCUCUCAUAAUACGCUCUAUAGCCUUGAGCCAAUAUUCAGCCACAAUAAGAGCAACUCCUAUAACACCCCUGAAAAUUUCAACACCAUUCGACUGGAUUCGUUCAGUAAUCGACCCUUAGCCUCCCGAUCUCGAAUGUGUCCCAACGACUCUCUCUAGUUCCUGAAUCAUGGCCUGGGAUAGUGUGUCGUCCCUAGCAGUCGGAGUCUGGGACUCCAUCUUAGCAGUGGGAGUACCAACAAUCUUACUGGUCUCUAGGUUGGGUAUGCUAACCAUGAAGGAUGACUCGGCUAGCGAUCCUCCUUGGCGUCAUCGAUGCCCCCGCAUACCAUGAUCACGACUACCGCGUAAACUCAUUCUGGCAAUUCUAGCUACAAUAUCAGAGUACACAGAUCAGUUCAGACAUCCAGUAGGAUGAUUUCACUAGUUCGCAUCAAACAAUUUACCCAUAAUAGUUCAAUAGUUAUGAUAUUUAUAAUAUAACAUAAUUAUUUACAGGGUCAGCGUCGGAGGCUCGGUUGUUCACUAAAGUUUUAGUGUUUCUCUUAUUAGUUCAGAUACUAAUUAUCACUAAGAUACUUUUCUCACAAUUUAUGAGCCCAAACACGGUCCGAUGUUGACUAACUUGGCUUUGAUACUACUAAAUGUCUAGACCAAAUUGGAGAGUUACAUCACCUGUACUAAAAUUAAUACUAUCAUAGCACAAUCAAAUUGAACCAUUCGCCACGCAAUAUUCAUCACAACCAUAAUUUAAAACAUAUAACCUUCAUAAAUUCCAUAAUAUCAUAAAACAUAGAUCCCUAAUAAUAAUGCUUAAAAGGAAGGAUAGAAGUGUAACACCCCGUACCCGAGACCGUUGUCGGAAGCGACCACGAGGUGCUAACAAACACAUUUCAUGUAUGUUCACAGUCCAUUUUAAAAAUUUCCAGACAGCUCGCUAACUGCGUCACUGUCACCUUAAAAAUCAUAUCUUGAGUUCCAAAACUUGAAAAUCAGUUUCGUAAUUUUUCCCUGAAACUAGACUCAUAUAUCCAUCAACAAAUUUUUUUCUAGAAUUUUUGGUUGAGCCAAUUAGUACAGUUUAUUAGUUAAAGUCUCCCCUGUUAUAGGGUUCGACUACACUAACCUUCCUGCAUUGUGACUUAGAUAACUCCUUAUACAGGGCUUCAAUACUUAUGCCGUUUGUUUCUAAUGAAACUAGACUAAAAAAGGAAUCUAUACAUAUAUGGCAUGACUUCUAAUUAUCUCUGGUUAAUUUAUAAUGAAUUUCCAAAGUCAGAUCAGGGGAUCCAGAAAUUGCUCUAGCCCUAUCCCACGAAAACUUAAAUAUCUCUUAAAAUACGACUCAUACGACCGUUUUGUUUCUUCCAUAUGGAAGUAAAUUCAUCAAGGUUCGAUUAAAUAAUUUAUUCACUAUUUAAUUCCAUUCCUACUAUUUUUAGUGAUUUUUCAAAUUCACACCACUGCUGCUGUCAGCAUCUGCCUUUAAGGUAGACUUUACCUAUUACAUAGUUUCCAUGAUUCAACUAACCCUUUAGCAUAUAUAGCACAAAGUAUGAUCGUGAUUAACCAUUCCAAUGGCCAAUCAUUUCCAAGCAUAUCCACACCUCUCAAUAACCAUAUACAUACAAAAUGAUUAUAACAUUAUGCUCAAAUAUAUAUAUAAGCCAUUUUCGCAUGGCUAUCCAAAUUUGUACAAUACCGAAAGGUACAUGACCAACAUCAAAAAGGGUAGUCCUAUACAUGCCAUUUCAAAGUUCAACCAAAAGAGUACCAAAAGGGGGCUUUGAUAGUGUGGACGACUUCGACUUCAACAAUCCCCCGAGUCAGAUAGCUGACGAACCAAAAUCUAUAAAACAGAAAAUCAAAGAAACGGAGUAAGCAUUUAAUGCUUAGUAAGUUUUGAGCCAUGAAAUUAGACACAACUAAAGUAUAACAUUCGUAUGGCUAAACGGAUAAUUUCAUAUGCACAAAUUCUCAAUAUCAUACUUACUUCACAUUACCGACCCUUAUAUUCAUACACAAAGGAUCAAUUUAGCCAAAGGCCGGUAGCUCAUUUAUCGACUGAGCGAAUACUAUUUGUAAGGAAUCAACCAAUUCAAUGCAUAUACGAAACAUACCUCAUCGCUGGGAUUUUACGAGCGUAUUAAUUGAAAUUAUUACAGCAAGUUCGCUCAUUCCCAAGCCAGGUACCUUCGGGAUUUAACCGGAUAUAGCUACUCGCUCGAAUGCCUUCGGGACAUAGCCCGGAUGUAGUAACUCGCACAAAUGCCUUCGGGACUUAGCCCGGAUAUAGUAACUCGCACAAAUGCCUUCGGGACUUAACCCGGAUAUAGUAACUCGCACAAAUGCCUUCGGGACUUAGCCCGGAACUAGUCACUAGCGCAAAUGCCUUUGGGACUUAGCCCGGUUAUCAUCCGAAUAUUCACGCACAUAUCAAUAGAUCAUGACACAUUUAUAUCUCAUUUUCAUAAUUAGAGUUCAAACACAAGUCACGUAUUAAGCAUUAACAUUUUCAGCUCAAAAGCUACAUACAAAGGGCAUGAUUUUGAUUUGCUUAUAACAUAAUCUAAUCGAAUCGUAAUCUAAGUUUCAUUACUCGAAAACUUACCUCGGAUGUUGUCGAACGAUUUCGGCGGCUAUUCGAUCACUUUUUCCUUUCCCUUAUCUAACUUUGGUCCUCUAAGCUCUUGAGCUAAUUCAAACAAAUUUAACUUAUUAAAGUCUCAUUAUGCUAGCUUAUGGCCGAAUAUGACAAGAAGUUUGAUAGGUCAUAUGGCCACUUUUAGCUCAAAUACAAAACGGUCAUACGCAUUUUUAAUCGCAUUGAGUAAUUUAAUACAAUUAAUCUAACAUUUCCUCAUGUGCACCUUUAUGACCGAAAACACACAUCAUUAACCUAAUAUCAAUUACUAAGCACUUUAGCAAUUUCUCCUUGAGCCGAUUAUCCAAGUCAAGAUAGAUUCAUCAUCAUGCUUACCUAUAACCGAACACAUGCAACACCAAUCCAUCUAUUCAUUCAUGCGUGCAUCUUAUUCAAGCAUGUAUAUCUACAACCGAAUUCAUCAUAUAAAUGACUAUGAAUUUACUCAAACAAUCUCAAUACCACACAUGGUGCUCAAGCCCUUUUUCAAUUUCAAAACUCGGCUAGUACAACUAUAUACACUAGUAAAUCAAACACUAACAAUUGCACUUCACCUUACUACCAUUUCUCAUCCAAAUAACGUGAACAACAACCAUAUUUCUCUUCUACUUCCUACCAUGGCCGAAUGCAUCAAAACACCAUACCAUUUCAAUUUUGGUCAUGGUUAAACAAAGAACUUAAUGUCUAACUCAAAAAUGCUAAAAAGAAAAUUUAAAAGUCAUCAAUCCACCUUCACAUGUAUCCUUACAAAGCUUCACUUUUAGCAUGCAAAUGACAUCAACACCAAUCCACCUUAGCCGAAUAUCAUCUCCAUGGCAUAGCAAAGAUUUGAACCAUGGGCUAGGUAGAACUCAAGCUAACAACUAAAAGCAUGCAUGAAUCUCAUGGAACAACAUCAACAUACCUUAACCUAGAUACAAGUAUGGCCGAACCUCUUCCUAAUCCUCUUCCAAGCCGAACAUGAAGCAAGAGAGCACCUUCCUUCUUCCUUCCUCCUUAGAACUUUCGGCCAAAAAAUGUAAAAGGAUGGACACUUUUUUUUUCUUUGUUUUCAUCAUUUUCCCUUCCAUUAUUUUAUUACCAUGCUCCUUAUUUUAUCAUUCCUCCCAAGAAACACCAACAUAACAUGUUUAUGACAUGUUUUUCCCAUCACACUUUGUCCACCCUAUUUGUCAUGGCCGGCCACUACUACUUAGGGGGAAAUUGACAUGCAAGUCCACCCUUUUUAUUACAUGCACUAAUAGAUCCUUAUGUUUUGACCUACCACAUUUCAAAAGUGUUACACAUAAGUCCUAUUGACUAAAUUCACAUGAAAUUUACUAAAUCGAAGCUUAAAACUUUCACACAUUCAUAUUCACAUAUUUUAGACAAUAAAUAUCAUAUUCAAAAAAUUUGGUGACUCGGUUAACGGUCCCGAAACCGCUUUCCGACUAGGGUCACUUUAGGGCUGUCACAAGAAGUUUGACCGAGCUUCCGCGACACUGACCUGAUCAAGACUGGGUACUACCUGAAAUCCAAUCAAUAAAUGGGUGAGCUAUGAACUCAGUGCGAAAAAGGAAUAUAAUUCAACAAUGGUUAUUAAUAAAGAAUUUCAAAUUCAGAUAUUCAAUUGAAGUAGAAGCAUGUUCAAUUAAGAUUCAGAGCAGAGUGGUACAUAUAUGUACAUAUAUACAAUUCCAGUUCAUGUAUGGUUAAGAUCUGAUUCAGAUGUAAUAUUCCUAUUUCCGUCUGCUACAUAUCAUCUUUAGCCAUCUGAACACACUACUAUGGACAUUUAAUGCCCAUCCAUCCCUGCACACCUUUAGAGUGUUCAAUGACACUUUCACAGAAACGUAGCUUAGUUGCUAAUUUAAUAUGCGACAAGUGCCAGAAUCAGAGUAAUACUCAUUAUGGCAUAGCAACAAUUUCAGCACAUAUAAUAUUAUUACUUACGAAUCAGUUCCAAUGUAUCAGACAAUUCUCAUAUAAUCAAUUUUAAUUACCCUUCCAUUGAGGAAACCAAUAUCAAGGUUAUGUAACAUUUUCGGCCUCAAAAGACAAUUUUUGGCCUAAUUAUCAGUUAAACGGUAGGGUCACACGCCUGUGUGCCCUGGUCGUGUGGUUUUAAAGCAUAAAGAGUGAGUUACACGGGCCAGACACACGCCCGUGUCUUUGCUGGACACAUGUCCGUGUCCUUACCCGUGUGAUUUACACGGCCUGGGUACACACCCGUGUUCUUGCCUGUGUAGCUUUUAUACCCUAACAGCAAGUUACACGACCUGGGCACACACCCGUGUCCUUGGCUCUGUGGUCUCAAUCGACAAAAAAUGAGUUACACAGCCCAAACACAAGCCCGUGUCUGUUGCUCGUGUGAACCCUACACCAAUAUGCCUAUAUAUGGCCUAGACAUACGUCCGUGUGUUCACUCGUAUGGCCUUAAUUUAACAAAUAGUGAGUUACACUACCAUUCACAUGGCCUGCCACAUGCCUAUGUAGCUCACACGACCUAGUUACACGCCCGUGUGUCUGGCUUGUGGCUCCGGCAGCCACUAUUUUUGGUGGUCGAAACUUGCAAAACUAUGGUUUCCGAUAUGCACCUGGAAAGAUUUCAAAGUGACAAAAACUUUACAGAUUCUCGAGGCUUAAAACAAGCGUUCAGUAGCACAAUUUAGCCAAUUAACCAACAAAACUUCCUAAUUACUCUCUUAAUACCUAUGUCAAAAGUUUCGACACGAAACCUUCAGAUAUCCCAAACUUAUCGAAACUUUAGCAACAAUUACAGAAAUUGUCUUAUUGCUAUUCCUUGUUGUUAAUAGCCCUGCUUGCUAAGUAAAUACACACUCGUUUAGAAAAGAUUCUCGAAACUCACAAAAAUUCUCCGUUCUAAAUAAUUUACAAAACGAAAGAAAAUUCAUAGAGAAGCUCGCAUUGACAAUUACUUACCGAUAGCCUUCUGACCAGUGACUAAUAACAGAACUUCCAUUAAUCCCGUAUCCCCUUACCACUUCUGGUUAACAAAAAAAAUAUAAAAACGAAAAAGAAGAAGAACAAAAAUAAAAAUGGGAAGGAAGAAGAAGAAACUAUUGUUAAAAUUAAUUCCUUAACUUCCAAGUAGAUUUUUGACAUAUAACAAAAAUAUUUUCCUAAAGCAUACGAUGGUAUUUGAACUCGAAACUCGACAGAAUAUAGACAAAUGUUUAACCAGUGAACCAGCAAGCUCAUUCUUGUCAUAAUUUCACACCGAAUCGAACUUAAGCGGUUAAGGCGUGCUUUUAGGUUGAUUUCAAAACUAACAAAACUUUUAAUAAUGCGACUCAAACUCUAGACCUUAAACUUAUUCGCAGAAUACAGAACCACAGAUACAGAAAUUAAUUACUGCAGAAUCUCACAAUUAAAUUCUUAAAAUUUUGGGGCGUUACAAGAUCUCUUCCUCCUUCACAAAUAUCCCAACCUAUGCAAAUGUAGAUUACAGAUAUCAACAACAUGUGUUCAGUCAUUCCAAUUCAAUUCAUAAAUAGUUAAUACAGAUUAGUGUCAUUAAUAGUGAUCACAACUUAUAUACAUUUAUAUACUUUAUAUCUCAAUCUCAUAGUAUCAGAUAGUCCUCAUACAAUUAAAUUUAGAUCAUAGAUACAUUGUGGAGGCUAGUACUCGAGUUAGACAAUACUCAUGACUUCAAAAAUAAGGUUCGGACCCUAUUUAAAUGCGACAUGGCCUCACACAUACCCAUACCGUCUGCUCGUGUGGUUCUAAAUCGUAAACAGUGAGUCACACGACCUGGACACCUGCUCGUGUCCUUGCUCGUGUGAUUCACACGGCCUAACCCUCACCUGUGUCAUCUGCCCUUGUAAGUUUAAAUCGCAAAUAGAGUGUUACACGGCCUGGACACACACCCGUGUCCUUGCCCAUGUGACUCACACAACCUGGGCACAUGCCUGUGUCCCUAGCCGUGUGGUCCUAAUUCAUAAACAGUGAGUUACCCGGCCUAGACACAUGCCCGUGUGAACCAUGGAUUAAUAUAGCCACACACGACCUGGACACACUGCGAACCACAAGAUCUACCACACGGUUGUGUGGCGUCGACAACCACAUUUUUCGACAUCCAAAAUUCACAACAACAAGGGUUUUUGGUACGUACCUGCAAUAGUUUCAGAGUAUAAACAACAUAAAAGAAUCCUAGAACCUAAAACAACCAUUCAAUAAUCAAUUAUACAAUUAUUCUCAAAUCAUCGCUAAGAUCGACCUAUCGCCAAAAUUUUGUCGAAAGUUUUGACACAACCCCAACUCAAAUUCGUACACUUACCUCGCACGUAUCAAAAGAAAACCAGACUAACACGACGGAGGAGUGCCUCCCGUAAGCCGUUCUCCUAAAAAGGUAAGCAAUUGAACAUUUAAACAGAGGAUUCAAGUAAAACGAGCAAAAUCUCGUUUUGACAGAAUAAACGAUAACGAGACGAAAACUCGCAGAAAUUGAAUAAGAUAACUACGAAACUUACACAACGAUCGCACAAACAACGCAAUGAGCAACAAAAGAACUCCCACUUAACACAGUAUCAAGUAUUGAAACAAGAAAAAAUAUAAAAAAAGAAAAAAAAACAAAGAAAGAAAAUGAAUAAGAAUAAGAAAAGGAAACAAAAAAAAGACGAUAGAAUUAGUUCAAAAUAAUUUAACCACAAACCAACUUUCCAAUGUUUAGCAAAAAUAUUCCCCCAUCGCAGACUCAAGGAUUCAAACAUAAGACCAAACAAAAUAAAAUGUUUAACCAUUGAACCAAUAAGCUCAUUCUUAUUACAAGGUUACUUGUAUUAAACUUAUUUAUGUCAUUCAAGGAUAAAGGUUAUCUUUAAAUUAAAAUAAUAAAACUUCUAAAGAUACAACUUGAACUCUUAACCUUAGAGAUUUAAUUACAAUGAAAUUCAACAGUCAAUGUUAAAAUUUUGAGGUGUUAGAUACUCAGUAUUCGCUUUUUCUUUAGAUUAGAAGAAAAAUAGGGUUGUCUCUUAGUAUUGGAAAGGCCCCGUGUUCGAUGCUUGAACAAUACAUGGUUGAUUAAAAUAACUCGAUUCUUAACUUUCGUUUUUAUUUUACCGAAGAACAAAUUGGUGUUAUUCGACUGGUGUACAGUUGGGUGACACCAUGAGAUUAAGUGAUCUAAUUUAAAUGAUAUGCACAAUUGAGACUGUUAAUUAGAGUUGGAUUCUUCUCGUUUCGCAAGACUGUCAGUGACUUAAAUUGUCAGGAUGUUCUUGUAGUUAAUUUAUAACUAAAGAAGGAUUGAUACAAUAUGUCAAAUAUGAAGACUAAAUUUAUUAUUAUACCAAUUUUGGUACUAUCACCGCCGCAACUUACAUUUAACAAGACUUAGUAGAAAAAAAAAAACUAAAAUAGUUGAAGGGUGAUUUUGAAAGUUUCAAAAGUGAGAUGAGAAAAAAACAAACCAACCUAGAGUGCAAUUUAUCUAUUGUUUUAAUAAAAGUAUUGGUCCAGCUCAGUUGUACUCGAUUAUCAUCAGGCCCCCACCCUUUGCUGUAAAUUCUCCCUUGUGAUCUCCUCUACAUGGCCUUUUCUGAUUCGUCAUAGUAAAUCUGAAGCCCCGCUUUCCUCUCCUACCCUUCCUUUCCCUUUUUUGUAUUACUUUUGCGCAGCCAGUGGUACACCUUCGACGCAUCAAAAAAGAAAAAACCUUAAUUUAUUAUUGUAACUGAUGUGAUGAAUUCAAAGCAGAAAUGGAGUUCAUUAAUCCGAAUCCACGUCACCAAUCCUCGUAGUGUCGCAUGAAAUAAAUGGAUACCGUUGGAUAAACACCCCGCAAUAAGCUAUCCCUAGCCGUUGGAUUAUAGCUCCUACCAUUGUUCUUCUCCCUUUCCUUCCAUCUCACAGCCAAGUUUUCCCUUUUAAAUCCUAAAGCCUUCUCAACAAAAUUAACAAUUAACAGUUUACUACUUCGUCUUCCUCUCACUCUCUUUUUCGCUUUCUCUUAAAUAAUACGAAAGCUAAAAAGAAAAAGCUCUAAAUUUCAAUGGCGACCGAAGAAAUUAGUCGAACUCAAGGCCUCAAUCCUUCUCAACAAUCUUCUUCACUUCCAGACUACCCUCAGGUAGUUUGCAUUUCGUUGUUUGUUGGGCUUUUCCAGAUCAUUUCAUUUGAUGUUAACUUUUUUUAUUUUUCUGAUUUUACUGGAUAGAUGAUUUUGGAAGCCAUAGAGGCAUUGAAUGAGAAAGAGGGUUCCAGUAUGUCAUCCAUCGCCAAGCACAUCGACUCCACUCACUCCGAUCUCCCAGCGUCGCACUCCACUCUCCUAUCCCACCACCUCAACCAGAUGAAACAAAUGGGUCAAAUUGUUAUGUUGAACAACAAUUACACAAAACCCGACCCCAAUGCCCCACCCAAGCGUGGACGUGGACGUCCACCUAAACCCAAGGUUCCUCUUCCACCUGGCGUCGUCGUCUCUCCUCCCAGACCUCGUGGUCGUCCGCCUAAGCCGAAGGACUUAUUGGCUCCCCCCAAGCCCAAAUCCGUCAGCACCGGAAGGCCACGUGGGCGCCCACCUAAGAAGGCUAAGACUGGUACCGCCACUGCUCCUCCACCUCCUCCCGGCGUUAAGCGA